CAAGUUGGGGUGUGCGUCGUCUGUGUGCAACAACAUCAACGCUGGUAAGCACCUUUUGCUCAGACGGAGAAAACAAUAAUCAUUAAUUAGCGGCAGCUAGAAUCCUAUAAUCUAAUAUAUUUAUAUAUAUAUAUAAUUUUAUCAGCUCUGGGAAAUGAAGAGGCGAACGAUGCCGUUGAGAGUUGCGACCAAGCCUGCUCUAGCUUCUGCAGCGUGCAUGUUGGCAGCGCCACCGUGGUUGCUUAAGCAAAUGCAUGCAACUAGAUCGUCCUUGUGCUGAAUAAUUGGAUAUCGUAUCCACUUAAAGCUGCCUUGUGUAGUACGUCUUUGUUUGUGUCUCUCUUUAUAUUCCACUAAGGUCGGUGAUCUUGAUGCCACACACACUCAGAUGUGUGUUCAUCUCCAGAUACUACUCCAUGCUACCUGCCCUUUUUGUUUUGUUCAAUAACUGGGUAUCAUAUCCCGGCCAGUGUGCCAUCUAUUUUGUGUUUGUUUCCUUCUAGUUCCAAAGGGGUCAUCAUGAUGUUACCUUCUUUCGAUAUGGUGCUUUGCAUGACAACUGUUGUAUGGUACCAUCUUGUUGGCCAAUAAAUACAUCUUAUCCUAUGACCCUUUGCUAUGACCCUUUGCAAAUAAGUACAAGAUUGUUAUAAGCGUCAAUACUCAGUAUAAUUGAUCGCUGCUGUGAGUUCCCUUUCAGCUUAUCGUAGGCACACAUUAUUGCUAGCACGGUAAAGACAACCAACACGAAUGAUGAAGUAAACGUAGCGGUACUUUUGUAUACCAACACCCUUACUUAAAUGUACUGGUGUCAUUCCCUACUGGCACAUAUAUUCUUAUAUGCUAGCCAGAUUGGAAAAUUAACCAAUUAAAAUAAUUAUUUCAAGAUAGAAAUAACUUAUCGGCUUCUCGAAGCAUGUGUAAUUUUAAUUCAAGGACUCAAUGGAAGUUGAAUCACUUCAUCUAGAUUGCCUUCUGGAUUUUGGUUAACUAAAUUUAACAUUUGUGUCGGGGGGAAAUAUUAACGAUUUUCUUACGCUCUCUAAUUAACGGAUACAAGGGCUAGGGCCCACCCCUAAUACCCAUAAUCUCCGCUAACAACACAUCCCAGAGGCACUCCGCUCCGCCUCGCCCGACUUCAGGGUCGCAGGGUCGGACGUGCCCGACCCCCCAAGGCCUCGCCUCGUCUCAGCCGAUGGAGUUCCGCCUCGCCCGACCCUGAGCCCAACGGAUCGGACGCGCCCGACCCCUCGAAGCAGGACUCCGCCUCGCCCGACCCUGAGCGCAAGCGGUCGGACGUGUCCGGUCCCACCUGACAGAGCUCCGCCUACCCGAAGGUACGAGCAGGUCAUCAGACGGAAGCGCGGGCUCUGUGAGUCCCCCUGGGCUCACCCAACCGAUGGGACCGCGCAAGCUUCCAGAUACAGUUCUGACACAUGGAGAGGCGCCCGCGUUCCUCGACAUGACCUGUCAAAAUGUUGGUCUGCGCACUGCUGCCACGACUGCACAGGGCUACACCUGCACCGUCCUACCCCACUGUGACAUCUGUCAUAGGGCACUCAUCGCUCAUACCAUCUAAUGGAGGAGGGAAAACCGCCUAGUUUUCCACGUGGGCUAGCAAGAAGAGCACGUCAGCCACGCCGCCCCGUCAGGGUGCAUGGCUACAGUGGUUGACCAUCACCCGCGACGUGCACAGUCACAGUGGCCAGUCGUCACCACCAACUUGCACAGCUACAGUGGUCGGCCGCCAUGCACGACUCGCGUGUCCGGCUACAGUGACCGACCGCCGAGUCACCGAUGGGACCCAACGGCAACCCCUAUCCCUUAGUAGCAGUACCGACAAGACGCAGAGACAAGAAGGGAAGACGACGUCUCUAGUAGCCCCACUUGCUUCCCUUUUUACCUUUCUACCUGUUUACCUUCCUUACUCCCGGCUCAUUUGUAACCUCUGUAUCCUCCUUGCACUAUAAAAGGAGACCAGGGGGUCUGAGGGCAAGGGACCCUCGGAGACCGAACCCCGAAUUCACCCAAGUACAAACCAACCGAACCACCAGACGAGAAAGACUCACAGAGAUCUGGGAACCAGCUUCCCUCUCUCACCUAUUUGUAGCCUCUACUCCAGACUUGGUACGAGUAACACGAGCAGCCACCCGCACUGGACUCCUCCGCCAGAAACUGGUCCAACCAGUCGGGUCCCUCCCCCUGCUCUUCGUCCUCAUCAUCCUCAUCAUCGUCGUCCUCAUCCGUUGCCGUGUCUGGCCCCUCCGCAGCCUUCAGAACUCCGCUGCAGCUUUCUUUUUCUUCCUCACCGUCUCCUUGUCCUUCCUCUUCUUCUGUGCUUCGUCGAGGAGGCGGUUCCGCUGCCUCUGCACCACGUCCUCUGGCACCGGUGGACGGGAGGCUGUGACAUGGUUUAAGUUACCCUGCAGAUUCGAAGACUCCGCGUCAGAAUAGCAAACCAGGAAAUGCAGGAAAGAAGAACGAGAGUGCAAAUUUCUAACCAGCAGGACAUAGGCCUCGUCCGGGCGCAUCGGAGGGUGCCCCGGCACCGGGAACACGACAUCCCUGUCACCCAAUGCAUCCCGGACACGCUGCUCGAUCUCGGCGUCGGCAAUUGCACCCGUCGCAAGGACGGUGCUGUGGUACGCCCCAACAACUCCGGCCCCGGUCAGGCCCUCCUCCUUCAGAAGGUUGAUGGCUUCGAGGAGACCCCGGAUAUUCUUCUUCUCCUUCUCAACAGGGCCAUAUGUCCACGUUCCCGGUGCCUCCACGAUGACGCGGCCAGUGAACUCCGUCAAGAGGACAUCGGGGCGGUUCUUCACAUAGAGCCACUGCUGAUGCCACCCUUUGUGGGAUGACGGGGUCUUCAUCGAUGUAUACUCCUUGGGCCGAUGGCCACAGAGGUGGAUGCCGGCACACCCCAUCAGCAUCGGAAUCGUCCGCGUCUGGUUUCCUCUCUUCUCGGUCCUCUGAUGAAGAGUGACAGCGAAGAAGUACUUCCACAGGGCGAAGUUGGGCUCGAUCCCCAGGUAUCCCUCCCAAAGCACGACGAACGCCGCGAUGUGCUGGAUUCCGUUGGGGUUGAGGUGCUCCAGCUCAAUGCUAUAGUAGUGCAGCAGCCCCCGGAAGAAGCGACUUGGGGGAACCGCGAACCCCCUCUCGUGGAAGUGCGCGAAGGAGACGAUGUACCCGUCCUCCGGCUGUAGCACGGCCUUGUUCCCGGGAUACCGCCACUCGUUCUCGGCGAUCCUAUCGCGAAGAAGGCCCUUCUUCACGAGACCGAUCACGCGCGCGGUGUUGAAGAUUGACCAAGACCUUGAAUCCAUCGCCGAGGAAGGGGAAGGCUCGACGGCGGUGGUGGAAAGGUGAAUGCUCUGGCUCGAAAGAGGAUGAAAAGUGAACAAGGAGGCGAGAAAGGCUGAAGACGAGUGCGGAGCGGAGCAAGCAAGGUAAGCUCUCUCGUUUUACAGGGGGCGUGCGAGAAACGAAAGGCGAACCGAACGCAUUUAUUGCGACGUCAGGUAUGCCCCAUCGCCUCCGCCUUUCUUCGGAAACCGUACGCAUGAUUUCUUUUUAACCGCAGGGAACGCUACGCCCCCUCGCCCCACGAGCCCGGUGUUUUUUGCCGCUUCGUCUCCUGGAGGUCAUGCGCACAACUUCCUCCACAAGCGGCCCAGGGCCCGCUUCAGGUAAAAAAGGGAUACAGAGCUGAAAACACUCUAACGGCCCAUUACGGUCCAGGGGUUCGAAGGCUGGCCCUCUAGAGGGUUCGACAUCCACCCCAGGACAUUUCUUGAGCAAGGGGUGAGAAGGGACGGGUCCGCUAGCGACCACUACCCUGGUGAACAAAAGCCAAGGGCGUCCCGACCUCACAUUUGAGUCUCGAUUGGCGUUUAAGUUCAUGGUUUUUCCCCGAAGAAAGGCAAAGUGCCCCCGGAUCCGGUUGAACAGACCUGGGAACUAUAUGAACUGGCCGUCCGAAAUCUGGAGUACGCCACCAGCUUGGCCCAAGCCGGACCCGCCCGAACAGGGACCGGGACUCCACUCGAACUGACCCGUUAGCAGCUCACCGAGCACCAUGGUUCGUCCGAUGAGGAUAACAUGGCACGGCUCACCCCCUCCGUCCCAACGAACGGACGCUGAGGGGUAACGACUAAAAGACGAUCCGACCUCUCGAUCGGUCCCCUGCAAUGCGCGGGGGCUCGAGGGCUGGAAUCACAACGAAACGACCAUGCGCAUGGUUACGACUCGGAAUUUUGAGGCAGGAAUGGUCAUUGAAACAAUAGGGAAUCUUCCCAAACCGUACCAUCCUCAGAACACUCUGGCUACCCAAAACUCCCCGGCCAGGCCAAACAAGCAAAACUUUUCUCCUGAUCAAAUCAAGGUACAUGUUAAACAAGACCCCUGACAAACACUCUGCCGAGAGCCAAUCACAGCCUCUGGAGGAGCACCUUGCUCCACCAAAGGCUCGGGGCCUACUGUCAGGGGGAAAUAUUAACAAUUUUCUUACGCUCCCUAAUUAAUGGACACAAGGGCCAAGGCCCACCCCUGACACCCGUAAUCUCCACCAACAACACAUCCCAGAGGCACUCCGCUCCGCCUCGCCCGACUACAGGGUCACAGGGUCGGACACGCCCGACCCCCCGAGGUCUCGCCUCAUCUCAGCUGAUGGAGUUCCGCCUCACCCGACCCCAGGCGUAAGGGGUUGGACGCGCCCAACCCCUCAAAGCAGGACUCCGCCUCGCCCGACCCCGAGCGCAAGGGGUUGGACACAUCGGAUCCCACUAGACAGAGCUCCGCCUCGCCCGAAGGUAUGAGUAGGUCAUCAGACGGAAGCGCGGGCUUUAUGAGUCCCCCCAGGCUCACCUAACCGAUGGGACGCGCACAAUUCUAGAUACAGUUCUGACACGUGGAGAGGUGCCCGCGUUCCUCGACAUGACCUGUCGGAAUGUUGGUCUGCACACUACUGCCACGACUGCACAGGGCUACAACUGCACCGUCCUACCCCACUGUGACAUCUAUCAUAGGGCACUUAUCGCCCAUGCCGUCUAACGGAGGAGGGCAAACCGCUUGGUUUUCCGCGCAGCCUAGCAACUACAGCACGUCAGCCACGCUGCCCCGUCAGGAUGCAUGGCUACAGUGGUUGACCGUCGUCCGCGACGUGCACAGCUACAAUGGCCAGUCGUCACCACCAACUUGCACAGCUACAGUGGUCGGCCGCCAUGCACGACCCGCGUGUCCGGCUACAGUGGCCGACUGCCGAGUCACCAAUGGGAUCCAACGGCAACCCCCAUCCCUCAGUAGCAGUACCGACAAGACGCAAAGACAAUAAGGGAAGACGGUGUCUCCAGUAGCCCUACUUGCUUCGCUUUUUACCUUUCUACCUUUUUACCUUCCUUACUCCUGGCUCAUUUGUAACCCCUGUGUCCUCCUUGCACUAUAAAAGGAGACCAGGGGGCCCGAGGGCAGGGGACCCCCGGAGACCGAACCCCGAAUUCACCCAAGUACGAACCAACCGGACCACCAGACGAGAAACACUCACAAAGAUCUGGGAACCAGCUUCCCUCUCUUGCCUGUUUGUAGCCCCUACUAUAGACUUGGUACGAGUAACACGAGCAGCCACCCGCACUGGACGUAGGGCUAUUCCUGCCCGAACCAGUAUAAACCUCGCGCCCUCUCGUACAACCAUCCAAGCCUUACGCGUAGAGAAACAAAUUUACUAAGCCGGUAGUCUUGACCCGUGAUUCGUGAGACCGACAAUUUGCACAUACAAAUGUUAAAGUACAAAUGUUAAAUCUAGUUACCAAGCAGAAUACGAAAUAGCGGGCUAUAGUGAGGCUAUAGCGGCGCUAACUGCUGCAACAACAGUGUUGUACUAAUUAGCAGGCUAUAGCGGAGCUAUAGCGGUUGAGCACAGCUCUACGCUAAAUAUCAUAGCCCUCAAUUUUGUACAUUGUAUAUACUAUAUAAAUCUAGUUAACAUUUAGUCUAAAUGUUAAAUCGAGUUACCUAAAAUCCUGAAAGCAAAAUGUAUAAAUAUAUAUCUUUUAGGGUAGUAUAAGCUUCGAUUCCUUUUGCUGCUCUGUUAAAUCUCAUCUUUCGUUGUAGCCCAACACUCUAGUAUUGAUUUUGCACCAAGCUUCUUUGAGCCGCUCUGCCCUCUGAUUUUGCUGCGUAGGGGAAUCUUUAUCAGGUUGGGCUACUUCCAGUCGUGCGAUGUAUACCUUUGUAUCUUCUAGAAGGUAGACAGAAAACCCGCGUUCUCUUAAGGCAACAACCAGAAGAUUCUGCAGCGCACGGGGCAUAUCAUUGUUGUAGAAACGACCUUUAGUAUCGAUCUCCAACCCCUUAUAGUACUGGUUUUGCAACCAGUACCGUUAUGUCGGACCUUUAGUACCAGAUCAAAUAACCGGUUCUAAAGGGACUCCUUUAGUACCGGUUGGUAACCAGUAUCAACUUGUUUUGCGGCCAAAAAAAUAAAGAAAAAAAUAGCCAGAAGGCUAGCACACACACACAUCCCACGAAAUAUGCGCGUGCGCGGUCCAUGGGAUUCGAACCCAUGAAAUCAAGCUGCGCGCAACCCUUCGUUACCAUCUCACCUUCAGUACCGGGUCAUAACACCACCCGGUACUAGUAUCGGAUGCUGUAAUGACUCGAUACUAAAAGGCCUCUAGGGACCCUCAAAUUUGGACCCGAUACUAAUGCUAACAUUAGUACCGGGUCAAAGUGCAGCCAGUACUAAAGCAUGGGACGAAAGGUCAUAUUUCUAGUAGUGUAUAGUUGUUGUGUAGGACUGACUUGGCUGUCCUCUCUCUUCUCCAUCCCAUUGGUCUUACGCCGCCGCUCGCACGCGAGCCGGCACCCAACCAGAGGAGUGAGAGCUAGGGGCGGGUUGGGAGGUGGGGGUAGCGACUGGUGGCUAGGGUGAUGGUUGAUGUUGGCGGGGUUAGGGUUUCAUGGUUUUCAAGCUACCUACGGCCGGCGAACCUAGAGGAGGAGGUCGACAUCAGCUGCAACCCGCGGUGGUGGUGGUUUGGCCGGCGCCCCAGGCGAGGCAGCGUGGGAGUGCUGCUGGCGGGUUGGUGUUGGCGCUCAUUAUUGACACAUUUUUAGUACUAUUUUGUUCAUGGAAUAACACUCAAACGUGCUGGUGCUGCUGCCGCCAUCGCCGCCCUAGCCAUAAUAUAAAGGCAAAAUUUGCUAGAGGACAUGCAAAAUGAUGCUAGUUUGCUGGAGGGCACCGUUGACCAUGUAAUAUGCUACAAGACACUCUAGUUGUUCUAGAGUGUAUCAAUUUGCUGAAAGACAUUGCUACGACUAAAAUAAUGUUUCUGGACUGAGUUGGAGAGAGAGAUGGAGUGAAAUGUCUGUUUUGCCCAUGACCCCACUGAUCAGAUCCUUCUUCUUCCACCCUCCUUUCUUCUUUCUUCAACCAUUACCCAGCUCUAGUGUGUUGCAGAUCUACGAGGGUGGCGGCCCGGGGCGAGGGGCAUCGCUUGCCCUCAGACGAGCGCCGCGAGCGACGGCGCGGGGGCAGCAACGGCGCGUCGGAACCUGACCGUUCGUUAGCUCCUCUCGCUGCUGGGGAAGGAGGGGGAGGGGCCAUGGACGGGGUUCCCUCGAAAACCUUAGCCUCGAGCUCAGGCGGCUACGCGCAGGCAGCACUAGGCUCUUCGCGGGGAGGGGGCGCGGCCAAUCAUUGGCACCCCACUGGUCCAAUGCUGAUGAAGAUGGUGCCAGCGUCGUGAAGAUGGUGCCAGCGUCGUGUGAGGACCUCUCAUCUCCUCGAGUUCCAUGGCCAGCACAGGUGAGCGUCCGCUACCACAAAACAGAGGUGUCGUGAGAGUCAAAAAAACUCAUGAAAAUAGCUAAAACCAUCAUGAAAAUAAUCCAUGACACGACACUCUAACGAAAAUCCUCUCACAAAUAUGGUGCCAUCAAAAUACCAUUUUCAUGAGAGUGAACUGUCAUGAUUUUAUUUCGUGAGAGUAUUUCCUAUCAAUGACCUCCACGAAAUACUUUGUGCCACCAGGUCUUCAAGAUCAUUUUCAUGAGAGCCGAACGUCACGAAAGGUCCGCCACAAAUGUUUUUCCUGGGAGCCUCUAACUCUCAUCAAAAGCAUGUGGGCCGCCGCGAAAAACAGCCUGACCAAAUGACAAUUUUCAUUUUCAUGUGCUCUUACCGCCAUGAAAAUGGUCAUUUUCAUGAGAGUUGAUGAAACAAAAAAAUAGUGCCAUUUUCAUGAGAGUUCAAGCAACCAGGAAAAGGCACUAAUAAACAUCCAGAUCCCAUCCAGCACACAUCCAUGCACAUAUAUAACCCACAUAUUGCUCCAGCAACAUCCAUGCAUAUACAAGAUCCAAAUGUCUUGGUAUGAACCUACAUGCAUGUGAUGAACCAGUAACCUGCAAAAAGAGCUCAUAGGAUCUUGUCCUCAUAUUGUAGCUGUGAAAUUCUUGCAAGUAGUGUUGCAAUCAGUUCACUUUGAACCAAAAGAGCUCAAAGGAUCAUGUCCUCAAAGUUCCUCUUAAAGCUUAUGGGUUUGCUGGUGGAACUGGAAGGGCUUGAUGCAGCAUGCCAUUCUGCAAUAGAGAAAAAUUUAGAAAGCUGUACUAGUUAAAAUUGGAUGCAGCAGAGACACAUGAAACUAGUAUUUAUACAAUUCUAUAUAUAUAAUAAUUUGUCCCCUAAAUUUUUAGGAUCCUCUCGACGGUGGUGAGUCUUCCAGUAAGGCAAUUGAAUGUCCAUCGUGAUAAAAUUCUCCUUUGGAUUUAUCAUCUUCUCAACCAGAAAUCCUAGGAGUUCAUCCUUAAGCCUUACCAGUUGUAAUUUGGAAAUAUGUGAAAGUUAAACGAACAAUUAAAAUCUAAGGAUCCUUAUCAUCAUUUCCAUACGUUUGCGAAUUAAAAUAAUGAAGGAUACAAUGUUAGGUGAAAAUUCAAGAAACAAAAUUUUGUAUAGAGAUAAUGGUCCGACAUUAUUACAAGUUAAAGUUGUUUUAAAUAUCCUUGUAAUCUUCCUUUGGUUUCCUCGACGAUUCCAAGACAGUAACCUUGCUUCUAUCAAUGAUAAUUAUAAGGAGAACCCAAUGAAAACUGUGUAUUCAUAUUAGAACUAACUAAGGUUAAUUCGGAUAGGAAAGGAAAUCAAAAAUAGAUGGUACCCACACUUACUUAAAGUUGUAGGGUAGUAGUAUGUAAUGCUUGUAAUUCUGUUGCUCCAAGAAUUUGUAUAUGUGGUUCAAUGUAGACUUUGGUUGAUCCUGUAUCUGCUGUUGGUUGAAUAAGUGUUUCUAACCAUUUCUAGCCGUUAGAACUGGGACUAAAGGGAGCUCUUAGUGCUGGUUGAUAUUACUAGUCGGGACUAAAGAGCCCCCGUUAGAGUUGGUUUUCGGACGUGGAACUAACCACUCCUUUAGUCUCAAGUCCAAAAAUGAUUGAGACAUUUGUUGCUGGAUGGAACACUAGUAGAGAAUUGGCUUUCGAUGCGCCCCCUUUUGUCCCGGUUUAAAGUUGGACUGGGACAAAAGAGGGUGCGCCACGGUAGGUAAAAAUGGAGGGGGGAGUUAGUCCCGGUUGGUAAUUGCAACCGGGACUAGAGGCCCCCCUUUAGUCCCGGUUGCAAUGGCUAGCUGGGGGGCGUCGGUGGCGGCACCUUUUUGUCCCGGUUGGAGUCUCCAACCGGGAUAAAAGGUCCACCCUUUUAUCCCGGUUGGAGGCUCCAACCGGGACAAAAAGUUUAGUCCCGGUUGGAGCUUCCAACCGGGAUAAAAGGGUGUCCCUUUUGUCCUAGUUGGAGCCUCCAACCGGGACUAAACUUUCAACCGGGACAAAAGGUGUGGUUGGAGUUUUUAACUGGGAUAAAAACUCAUCCCCCAUUAUAUACCAAGACAGAGGACUUUCUUCCUCCUCCAGCCCGAGCCAGUCCAGCACAUUCACAGAGAGUUGACCUUCACCUACUCUCCGGUGGUGCCGAAGCAAGGAGGUGCUGCCCGAAGUUUUUUCCCUCAUUUUCGUGGGAAUUUCACUCAGCUAACACAAGUGUUGUGAAGGUUUGCUACUUCAUCCUCGUUUAUGCUUUGAUUUAUGCUUUGGAGAUGGAAAGAUUAUUUGUUAGAAUGUGAUGAAGUAGAAAAUGGAGAGAAUAUUUUGAGCUAGAAUGUGAGGGAGAUUGAUGUGUCAUAUAUAGUAUGCAUUCUUGCAGUGGUUUAAGAAUGAUGCUACCUUGUCCAGACAAUUUAUCUUAUCAAAUUCAAUAUAGUUUUUCAAAUCCAUACUUGUUGAACUUGCAUACCGUGUUCAUCUCUACGAGGAUAUUCUCUGCCGAGCAGCAACGUAUGUCAAGAAGGAGGUUCGAUUCUACGAGGAAGAGUGGAUACGGACAUCGUGACCGUGUCCCCUUUUCCGUAGCAUCUAACCUCUUUCAUGAUGAAGUGCGGUGCCGCCCAGUUGAGAACAUGCUCGCGAGAUGAACACAGUAUGCAAGUUCAACAACUUCUGCAGUAGUAAGGAAAGAAUUUUUGUACAUAGAUGACUUCUGCUACUUGUUGAACUUAUCAAAUUCAAGAAGGUUUUUCAAAUCCAUACUUGUUGAACUUGCAUACCGUGGUCAUCUCGCAGAGGAUGUUCUCCGCCGAGCAGCAACGUAUGUCAAGAAGGAGGUUCGAUUCUACGAGGAAGAGUGGAUACAGACAUCGUGACCGUGUCCCCUUUUCCGUAGAAUCGAACCUCUUUCAUGACGAAGUGCGGUGCCGCCCAGUUGAGGACAUGCUCGCGAGAUGAUCACGGUCUUUAAGUUUAACAACUUAUGCAGUGUUAAGGUAAUAAUUUUUGUACAUAGAUGGCUUCUGCUACUGGAGAAAGUGGCGAUGGUGGGGGUGAUCGUGGUUCCUCUUUCGGCAAGGGGAAAAUCAUAGUUGGCCCUCAGCAUAAGCCAAAGAAAAAGAGCGCACUGGAAAAAGCAAUGCUUCGUUAUUUGCAGCAACGUCAUGAAGAAGUUGUUGCCGCGGGUCAGGAACCUCCUUUUGGUCGUCGUUAUGCUCCACCCUUAGUCCCGGGUGUUUCACAUCCACUUAGUACUACCGUUUCAGGCGGCACAAAUAAACCUAAGGAUGAGGCUAGGUCAGCGGAACUUUCGUCUUCACUGUCCAAGGAUGCUUAAAGUCCUCCUAGAUAAUAACCAGUGGAUGGCUUGUUGUAUUGUAUCAUGUUGUUUGGAUCUUUAAUUUAAAUAUGUGUAUUUGGAUCUUCAUGUUGUUGUAUUGUACCAUGUUGUUUGGAUCUUUAAUCAAUUUUCACACGUAAUCCAUUGUCAAGUGUAAUCCAUUUUCAUGCAUAAUAAGAUGCAGAUGGACCGGCAAUGGAUGUAUAAUGCAGACAGGCAGAGCAAGGUGUUUAUUGAUGGCUUGCAUUAUUGUCUCGAAGUGGCCAAAGCGAACAAGCCAGAGAAUGGGUUCGUAUGUUGUCCAUGCUUCCAAUGCAAUAACAAGAAGGAGUAUUCAUAGGAUUCCUGGGGGACUAUUCACAGCCACUUGUUUAAAUACGGUUUCAUACUUAACUAUUUGGUUUGGACCAAGCACGGUGAACGAGGGGUCGUAAUGGAAGAUGGCGAGAAGGAGGAGGAAGAUGACACCAUUCCAGACUGGGUUGUAGGCCAAGCUUUUGCAGGUACUACAAUGGGCGAGGCUCAUGAAGAUGAGUUUGCAGAAAAUGGCCCUAUUGAUGACUUUGGUCAGGUGAUACGAGAUGCAUACAGAGAUUGCGAAAUUGAGAAGGAAGCAGCAAAGUUGCAGCGCAUGAUAGAUGAUCACCAAAAAUUAUUGUACCCAGGUUGCCAGCUGGGCCAUAAAAAACUAGGUACGACACUAGAAUUUGUGCAAUGGAAGGCAAAAAAUGGUGUGUCCGAUAAGGCAUUUCAGGGGAUGUUGACCAUUGUCAAGAAGAUUCUUCCCGAGAAUAAUGAAUUACCGUCCACAACAUAUGAAGCUAAACAGAUUAUUUGCCCUCUCGGAUUGGAUGUUCAGAAGAUACACGCAUGCCCUAAUGACUGUAUCCUCUAUCGUGGUGAUGACUACGAGAAAUUGGAUGCUUGUCCCGUGUGCGAAGCCCUGCGGUAUAAGAUUAGGUGAGAUGAUCCUUGUGAUGUCGAGGGGCAGUCUCCCAAUAAGAGAGUUCCCGUGAAGGUGAUGUGGUAUUUCCCUAUAAUACCACGCUUGAAGCGCUUGUUCAGGAAAAAGGCGAAUGCUAAGUUGAUGUGAUGGCACAAAGAAGACCGUAAGGAAGAUGAGAUGCUGAGACACCCCGCAGAUGGGGCACAGUGGAGAUCAAUUGAUAGAGCAUUCUCGGACUUUGAAAGUGAAGCAAGGACAUAAGGUUUGGUUUAAGUACUGAUGGAUUCAAUCCAUUCGGUGAGUUGAGUAGUGGCCAUAGUACUUGGCCUAUGACCCUAUUUAUGUUGAACCUUCCUCCUUGGCUAUGCAUGAAGUGGAAGUUCAUUAUGAUGCCGGCGCUUAUCCAAAGUUCAAAACAACCCGACAACGACAUUGACGUGUACCUAAGACUGUUGGUUGAUGACCUUUUACAGCUCUGGAAGGAAGAAGGUGUACGUGUGUGGGAUGAGGAUAGACAAGAGAUCUUUAAUCUACGAGUAUUGUUGUUUGUAACCAUCAAUGAUUGGCCUGCACUGAGUAACCUUUCGGGACAGACAAAUAAGGGAUAUCGGGCAUGCACCCACUGUUUAGACGACACAGACAGCAUGUAUUUGAAGCAUUGUAAGAAGGUCGUCUACAUGGGUCAUCGUCGAUUUCUCCCUGCUCACCACCAGCUGAGAAAGAGCAGGAUGCAUUUCAAAGGGGCGCCAGACCAUCGUAAAAAACCUGCACACCAUAAUGGAAAGUGUGUCUUCAAGAUGAUGAAGGAUGUAAAUGUAGUCUUUGGAAAGGGUCUUGGUAGCCAACCUAUUCCAAACGACAAUAACGGACAUGCACCCAUGUGGAAGAAAAAGUCAAUAUUUUGGGAGCUACCUUAUUGGGAAAUCCUAGAGGUUCGCAAUGCAAUAGACGUGAUGCACCUGACGAAGAAUAUUUGCAUGAACGUGCUAGGCUUCAUGGGUUUUUAUGGGACCUCAAAAGACACAUUGGAAGCACGACAGGACCUGAAAGCCAUGGGGCAACGAGAUGACCUACAUCCGAAAAAGAGAGAUAAUGGAUAGCACUACUUACGUCCUGCCAGUUACACUCUGAGCAAGGAAGAGAAGGAUAGCAUGUUUGAAUGCUUGAAUAGUAUGAAGGUCCCGUCUAGGUACUCCUCGAAUAUAAAGGGAAUAAUAAAUAUGAAAAAAAAGAAGUUUAUAAAUCUCAAGGCCCAUGACUGUCACAUGUUGAUGACCCAGUUGCUUCCGGUUGCACUGAGGGGUGUUCUACUAGAAAAUAUCCAGUUGCCGCUCGUAAAGCUAUGUGCGUUUCUAAAUGCGAUUUCACAGAAGGCAAUCGAUCCAUCCAAGCUAUCAAAGCUACAGAACGAUGUGGUGCAAUGUCUUGUCAGUUUUGAGUUGUUAUUUCCACCAUCCUUCUUCAAUAUUAUGACGCACUUACUGGUUGACCUAGUAAAAGAGAUUGGUAUUCUCGGACUUGUAUACCUGCACAAUAUGUGGCCUUUCAAGUGUUCAUGGCAGUCCUAAAAAACUAUGCUCUUAAUCGUGCCCAUCCAGAAGGAAGCAUCGCCAAGGGAUAUGGAACAGAGGAGGUGAUCGAGUUUUGUGUUGAUUUUAUUGAUUCAAUUGACUCGAUUGGGGUUCCAACUUCACGCCAUGAGGGGAGGCUCCGAGGAAUGGGCACCCUUGGAAGGAAAUCAAGUUUGAGCAAUGAUACUGAUUUGUUCGACAAGGCACACUACACGGUUCUACAACAGUCAUCCUUUGUGUCUCCAUAUAUUGAGCAGCACAGGCAGAUGGUAGUUUCCAAAAACCCGACCAAAUCCGAUGCUUGGCUUACCCGUCUUCACAUGGAAACUUUUCCCUCCUGGUUGCGCCAACAACUUAUGGGUAACUCUGAGAUUCACCCACAGCUUGCCUGGUUAGCCAGGGGACCUGCUAGCACAAUUGUGAAAUUUCAAGGCUAUGAGAUAAAUGGUUAUACAUUUUACACGAGAGCCCAGGACCAGAAAAGCACGAAACCAGAAUAGUGGUGUCCGCAUACAUGCCAUGGACAGAAAUAAUAGCAAGGAGUCGUAUUAUGGUUUCAUAUAGGAGAUAUGGGAACUUGAAUACGGACCGUUGUACAUCCCUCUAUUUCUUUGUAAUUGGGUGAAGCAAACUGCCGUAACCAAAGAUCAGUACGGAAUGACAAUAGUAGAUCUGAGCAAGACUGGAUACAGUGAUGACCCAUUCGUACUUGCCAACAAUGUGCAACAGGUGUUCUAUGUGAAGGACAUGUGUAGCAAACCCAAGAGAAAUCCAGAAGAGACAUGGGAGCCAAAGUGCCACAUAGUUUUUCCAGGUAGAAGAAAAAUCGUGGGAGUCGAGGAUAAAACAAACCAAUCAGAUGAUUAUGAUUAGUUUGAUGGCAUGCCUCCAUUCGCCGUUGAAGUUGAUCCAAGCAUCCUGCUAUCCAAAGAAGAGGCUCCGUACUUACGCCGCGAUCAUGAUCAAGGAACUUUCGUGAAGAAGAAAUUCUACAACGUUGUAUUGUAAUGCGCUAAAUUUACAUGACCUUUGUGUAGUAAUUGAUACAAUUUUUAAUUUACCCUAUGUAUGAUUUGAUGUGUUCUUAAAUUUGUUAGGUGAAGAUUUAUUAGAUAAACAUGAACAAUGUUAACCACAUACAUACAUGGAUUUUUCUGCGCAUUGAAAUUAUUUAAUGGAAUAAUUUCUUGAUCACAGCGAUGUAGUAAAAUAAAUAUUUUAGAGCCUAAAUGAACUGGUAUAGAAUUAAUGACUAACUCACACUUAUUGUCAAUUUACUCGCUAAUUAAAUAUAUUUUUGCAUGUACAAAAUAUGUGAAGGUUUUUGUUUUUCAUCCUGAAUUGCAGUGAAAAGAUAAAUAAAAUCCAUUUCCAAAAAACAGGCGGGAGAAGAAAACUGGGAAAAGGACCUUUUGUCCCGGGUGCCAACAGAAACCGGGACAAAAAGCCCCCCCCCUUUUAUCCCGGUUGGUGGUGGCACCCGAGAUAAAAGGGUAGGCUCCAAGCCCCACUUGGCGGACGCACCCUUUUGUCCCGGGUCCCGUCACCAACCGGGAUAAAAGGGGGGGCCUUUUAUCCCGGUUGGUGAGGGGACCCAGGACAAAAGGCCCUUUAGUCCCGGGUGUCAUUACGAACCGGGAUAAAAGGGGGGUUAAAAGGCACUAUAGCCCCUUCUACCCCCCACGCCAGUUACAGUUAGCAAAAUUUUCACCAAGAUCCCGCGCGCACUCUGCUCCGUCGCUGCCCGUCCGCCUUCCUCGCCAGCCGUCAUCGUCGUCGUCCCCCAUUGCCCCGGCCGUCGUCGUCCCGCCGGCUGACCGUGCCCAGAUAGCCUCCUCCUCCAUCGCCCCGGCCCGCCUCGAUCCUCCUGCGUCGUGCCCGGCCCCUACCUCAUCGACGCCGGCCACCUCCAUCGCGGGGCCUCAUCGCCGCCUCCAUCCUCGUCGCCACCUCGACGCCCUGGGUCGCCGCCUCGUCGCCCCUCGUCGCUGCCUCGUCGCCGUCCUGCCUCCGCCGUCUCGCCGUCCCGCGCGCCUUCGCUCCGUCGUCGCCUCCGCCGUCCCACCGCCCCAGCCACCGCCAUCCCGCCACCCCGGCCACCUCGUCGCCCCGACCACCGUCGACCGCGCGUGAGGUCCGCCGCACCGGCACUGGCGCCGGGAGUACCGCCUUGCUGACGCAAGCCCACCGGCUUGCGUCAACAAGGGCCUUUUUUAAGUUAGAAAAUAAAUAGAAAGGAGUAGUAAUUAGGUAGAAAUUCAAUAGAUUUUUGUAUAUGUGUUACAAAAUCAAAUUAGUGUAAAUUAGUUGUAAUUAGGUUCGUCGCUCUGCCUAGGUUAGAAAUGAAUCGUGUUUCGUCGUGGUUCCGUCCCCGCCUCCGCCGUCCCGCCACCCUGACCGUCGCCGUCCCAACCUAGGCACCGUCUGUGGUUCCGUCCCCGCCUCCGCCGUUCCGCCUCCAUCGCAAAUUCAUGUUAUUGCUAGAAAUUCCAAUAAAUAUGAACAAAUUAGUAGAAAUUUGGUAGAAAUUAAUCAUUGCUGCGGCCACCUCGCUCCACAAAUUCAUGUUAUUGCUAGAAAUUCAUAAAAAUUCAUGUUAUCACUAGAAAUUCGUACAAAAUUCAUGUUAUUGCUAGAAAUUCGUAAAAAUUCAUGUUAUUGCUAGAAAUUCGUACAAAAUUCAUGUUAUUGCUAGAAAUUCGUACAAAUUCAUGUUAUUGCUAGAAAUUCGUCACAAAGUACUACUAAUUUGCAAAAAUUUGUAUAAAUAUUCCGGACUUUGUGGGAUUCAUGUUAUUUUCUGAUUUCAUGUAUAUACCCUUAUGUACAUAUAACUAAGGAGAUUUCUAUGACUUUCAUGUAUGUUUCAAUCAAUAGUUGAAAUGGCAGACGAUGAGACCGCAAGGUAUCUCAUGGAGCAGAUAAUCGCUGGUGAUGGUAGUGGCGACAACCUUCCACUAUCGUACACCGAUGAAGAGGGCACCCAGGCGGACAUGUUCCUCAACAUGUCCGCCGAUGGGAAUGAAGAGCAAAAGCCCCAGCAACACCUUGCCGGGGCGGAAGGUUCCGGCGAGGUAUAUAUAACGAUUCUUGUAUUGUUUCACACCACCGUUACUACUACGUACUAAUUAACGAAUCAUGAACCGUUAGCCCUCUGGAUCGACGCAAGGGCAGAAGACACGAGGUCGUACAAAGGUGAUGGAAGGGAGGCUUGUCAUCACGGAAGUGAUAGAAGAGGGCAGGCCGGUUGCUCCCGAGAAAGUAGCAAAGAAGUACGUGAGUCAGAUCGGGGCAAUCGUCCGGGACAACGUGCCUAUCAGCAUCAGAGAAUGGAAGGGCAGAAGCACUAAUCCGUACGCCCUCCUGGAGACAGAAAGAAUAUGCUGUGGGAAGAUGUCAAGAGACAUUUCACAUUCACCGAAGGAUAUAUUGAGAAGGAUGUGAAAGCGUGGACGCUUAAGAAGAUGGCUACACAAUUUCCAGACAUUUAAGAAGAUGCUAGAUACCCACUACAUUAAGAAGGGCCGAACUCCAGACUUCAACGCGUGGUCAAAGUUGAGGGACCACUAGGAUGCAUUUGUUGAAUAUAAGAGGAGUGAAUACGAUGUGAAAAAGAUCACGACCAACACAACAAAUGCUAGUCAGAAGGGCUACCAUCAUCAUCUGGGGCGAGAUGGUUAUGGCUCAGCAAUUCCCAAGUCGAGGAAGAUGGAACAAGAUCUGAUUGAACGGGGAAUCGUACCGGCAACUAUUGAAUGGCCCGAACGAUCAAAAAAUUGGUACUACGCUCAUGGAGGCUCCCUGUGCCAAGAGGAUGGGACGUUGAUUUUCAAUAACACAAUACGUUAGAAGGCCAAACAUCUUGUGAAGAACAUUGAAGAUUCUAAGGCUGGGAGGUUGAAGGUGGACCGAGAAAAUGAUGAGCUCACAUUGGCCCUUGGUAAUCCAGAGCACCCAGGAUGUUGCCGAGGGUUCGGGGUCGUUCCGUGGAAGUUUGUUUUCCGAGGCGACAGCGCCUCGUACAGAAGCCGGAAGCGAAGAAAGGAACAGAUCGAGGAGAGCUGGUGGCAGAUGCUAGAAUCCAAAGUGCAGGCACAAGAACAAAGAAUGAUGGAGGAAAUCAAUCGUCGAGUGGCCCACGCAGUUGUGGAGUUGGCCCAAUCUGGAGCAUUGCCGAAUCCUAACAACGCCAGCCCUUCUCAAUGCCUCUUGAGCAGUUAUGCUUCUACAGGGGUCCCCGAUGCGCACACGCCCAGGUUACCCGUGGAGGAGCAACGGUUCCCCGUGGAUGCCAUCACGCAACACACCACAUGUGAGCUGCAUGCACCGGUCGGCAACCUCACUAUUAAGGUAUACUUAUACAUAAUAUUUAUGCAAUCUUGUCAAUUGAUCCACGCCUCGAUAUCGGAGUUUAACUUGUUUACUUCUACUAUAUGUACAGGUAGCGUACGGGAGUGCGUUAGCAACCCUGGCGGGGCAGAGCAGUCAUGGCAUGAAGAUUCCACCUGGCUACGCUAGCGUCCGCGUAGAGCAAAUAGUUGAUAGCCAAUAUGAAGGUCUAGAGCUCGACCUCCCGGGAGGUGACAGGGAAAGAACACUGGCAGAUGCGCUUCAUGGGAUCAUUCUAUGGCGAAAACGCUACAUCAUUAUUCCCGGCACGGAGCCAUCUCCUCAGAGCUCAAGACCACUCCCCGUAGAUCCCCAGCAGCGACCUUCUCCUCAUAGCUCGAGACCGUCAUCUCCUGCACAACCUGCUCCAGGACCGUCCCUUCCAUCUAUAUCAAGGUCUCCAUCUCCACCACAUCCUGGUGGUGGGAGCGACGACGACAAUAACAACACCCCUUCCUGAUCACCAUCGCCGGCACCAAGAGCGGCCCCCAUGAAGGAACCUGCACCACCACUAAAAAAGUCACGAGCACCGCCUCCCAAGCAAAGACAGAGAAAGAAGAAAACAAAGGAGCCUGAAGUGACUCGUAAGGAACGCUGGGAGACAAUGUCUCAUGCGGAACAGUGGGCAGAAAUCCAACAAGAGGCCAGUGAGUGGUUCAAGAAACAAGCCGAAGAAAAAAAAGCAACGGAGAUGCAGCCACCGCCAGUAAAUCGAAGAGAUUUAAACUUUUUUAUCAGGAUGGAAGAAGGAGCCAAGAAAAGGAUACCACUCUUAUCAAACUAUGAACGGGCUUUAGUAAAGGCUGAUGAAAAGGAUAAAAGGAAAGGAAAGUCAUCUUCCAGCGGUGCUGUCCCCGACCUCAGCCAUUUAUCAAAAAAAGAUGCUCAACGGGUAAAAGCAAUGCCCUUGGAUCAACAAGCAGAAGUAUUGAAGUUCAUGCAAGAAACAGGUCUGGGACUUGAUGAAUGCCUAGGGCAAGUUGAGACGCCAACUGCACCGCCCCCUGAGCCGAGAUGGCCUUAUGAGCUAGGCAAACCUCUAGUAAAGCCUUCAUUGGUACGAAAGCUAUCAACAAAGAUGUACGCAUUCCAUCAAUGGUACAUGAUGGCAUCCGCUGACUCAAGGGAGAUGCUCGGCCUGAAGGUAAAACCGAUGGAUUUUCACGACAGAGGCGAGAAAGUGCUGUGGCUAGACUUCAAGGAUAUAUACGAAGUGUACCAUCAUGAUGCCAUAGACGUCUCUCUGAUCCGCGCUUGGGUUCUGUAAGUGUCCGUUUAUCUCUACAUGUAAAUUUUGGCGUGCGUCACCGUACUAACUUCGUCUUCCAUUUCAUGUAGGAUGCUAAUUCAGACAUGCCGCCGAGAGGCGUACCUACAUAUAGGCUUCAUGGAUCCAUCUGUAGUUAACCAACAGCAGAUACAAUUAGCAUCGGAGAAAACCUUGGUGGAAGUAUACAAUUUCCUAGACAAACAAACAUUCAAGGAUUUCAUACUAUUUCCAUACAACUUCAAGUAAGUGUGUGUAUACCGUCUACUUUCGAUGUCUUUUUCCUUAUCUCUACAUGUUAGUUAGCUCUAAUAUGCAUGAACAUUUUACGCACGCAGCUUCCACUGGAUCCUUAUUAUAAUUGAGCCUCAAAGAAGCCACGUCACUGUCUUCAAUUCGUUGAGGAAAGAUCCAGUGGAGCACCAAGAAAUGCAACACAUGCUAGGCUUGUAAUAAUUCUGGACCUUUAUCUCUAUGCAAAAGUUUGUUUCCUAAAUUCUAUCCCUGUUACACUAUAUCAUUCAUUAUUCUAAUCCACAGCGUAUGGAAACAAUUCAUAAGGACACAAAAAGGUCCAUUCAAAGAAAAACUUACAUGGAACACAGACUUCCCGGUACAUAUGAAGUCUGCACAUUUAUUACAUUGUAUAACACGAAUAUUUCAUAACUUAUUUUUUUCCGUAUUGAAGUGCUUAAGACAGGAACUCGGAAAUAAUCUAUGUGGCUACUACAUCUGUGAGCACAUGCACAGUUUUAUGGGACCCAAGGGACUAAAGAUGACGCCGCACAACUUUAAAGUACGUAAAAUAAAACUAUUACUAGUUAAUUAUUUUCUAGCUCCUUAUAUGUAUUUGUUCACGUAACAUUCACAAAUUUCCAAAUUAUAGAUGUUAAAUAUUCAACAAGGACUCUUGAAGGAAGAAAGAGUAGCGGCAAUAUGUGAAGGUCUCAUUGGAUUCCUAAUGGACAAGGUGGUAGAUCCAAAAGGAGAAUUUUAUUUUGAUGGACGACAAUUAGACACUCUGAUCAGCAACACCUCGAUGGGAAGAUUGUAGAUAGAUACUUUGAUUUAUUUGUAUAUAUAAUACGCGCUAAUUAUGAUCGAUUUGUACUAGUUGAAUUCUGUAUAUGAAUUGUGUAUAAGAAUUGUGUAUAUAUAUAGUAACUGUAUAAUUACAAAUCCCAUUCGUUUAAAUACUAGUUAAUUUCAUUCUAAAAAAAUCUCAACUACUUAAGGUUAACAAAAGGGCUGCGGUACUACGUACGUGAUGCAUGCAUGAAAAAUUCAGGCGCCAGGCAGGUGCCAUGCAGGGCAUCAUUUAGUCCCGUUUGGAAUCCAGCCGGGACUAAAGGGUAACCCUUUACUCCCGGUUGGGAAACCCAACCGGGACUAAAGGGGGACCGUUACUCCCGGUUAAAAGACCCGGGACUAAAACCCCCCCUUUUGUCCCGGUUGGCUUAUCCCGGAUAAAUUUUCGGGAGAUAUGCACCCUACCAACCGGGACUAAAGGCCAAUUCUCCACUAGUGGAAGGUCCUUUCUCUACCAUGAAUAUUGCCAGAAAGAAUUGAAAGAGACCGCUUGCUAAAAACAUGUCAUAGAUGCGGACCAAGCUACCAAGGAGGUAGACCAAACAUGAUACACACCAUGCGUACCUUGCUGUGCAGACUAUGCAUGGACAAGAUACCCGACCACAUGUUGGCUUUGGUCACAUCAAAAGAAUCAUGUAGGCCAUUAAUAAACUACUUGAAGCGUCAUUCCGUAUCUUAUAUCCAUCAUCUGCAUUACAUUACAUUAAAUAUUAUUAACUAUUUGAAUAAAAUGAACCAAUUUAAAAAUAAUGAAUUGUACAUUACUACAAAAAGCCCUAGCACUGCCAGUUCCAAAAACAUCAUUGUUGACGGCCGUUAAGUACCAAAUAUGACGGUCAAUAUCCUAAAGAAUAAAGGACAAUUGGCAUUUCUUACACACAUAUUUGGUUUCGAAUAAUGUAGUUCUACAUGUCCUUGGAGAUUAUUUGGGUGUGGGUGAAAUAAUACAAAAAGAAGGAGAAAACACACUCCCAUGGCAAAGAAACAUAACUCCGACCAAUGAGAGAUAGCCACAGGGGCAGCACAUGGAUCCAUGGGCCCACAAACUGCAUCAAACCAUCUUACAAGGCGGGUAGCACCCACAACUGUCAUUAGGACCCACCUGGAAGUCUAGCAAAGAAGAAGGUUGUGAGUGGGGCCACGAGGGGUUCGGUUGAAUCAUCUCUAGCUCCCUUCAUCCCCAGCUGGCGCGUGGCGGUGGUUCAUGGUGUCCCGACAUCGGUUAGAGGACAUUCCCCCAAAUAUUCCUCCUGUAAACCAGCUCUAUGAACCUAUAAAUAGAGGGGUGUGCUCUCCAUUCCAACACACACCACAAGUUGAAGCACUCUCUCCCUCUUUAGUUUCCAAGUUUACGGAGAUAGGCUGGAGUAGCUCUGCUAAAGGUUCCAAGUCCACUUGGAGUUAAGCGUAUGUCUCUUGUAUCAUUAUUUCCUAGAGAGACUUUAUGCUAUUCAAGUUAUUUAUCUUCUUCAUAUAGUGUUAUGCUUAGUUCUUAUAUGCAUGAGUUAGUCUAAUACCCUUGCUCUAUUGAUAUGCUCAGCUUAUGUGCUCGUAUGCUAGUCAUGUACCCUUGCUGUCAUAGUAUAGGGUUAUAUGCUGUCAUGUGUGCCUAUAGACCUUGCUACAGUAUAUACUUGUUGUGUAUACAUACCAUUUGUAUAUACAUUAUUACAAGUUAAGGUAGUUUUAAAUAUCCUUGUGUUGACAACCAAAGCUUGAUCUUUUGUUUCCAUUGCCAGCGGAUUCAUCGGCUCAGAGUAGGAUCAAGACAUCAAGUUGAUGGAGUUCUUUAUAUUUCAAGAGGAGUCAUGGAGUUCUUUAUAUUUCAAGAGGAGUUGAUGGUGCUUUCAAUAUUGCAACCAGACAUCAUUGGCUCUGAAGACACCGAAUCAUCGGAGUUCUAUGAUCAGUUUCGGAACAUGAAGCCUUCAUACUCCGAAACUGGGGGGCCUGUGUUGACACCGAAUUAUCGGACUUCUAUAAUUAGUUUCGGAACAUGAAGCCUUCAUACUUCGAAACUGGGGGGUAUGUGUUUACACCAAAAUUUAGAAAUGUGCUCUGAAAGGAAGGACCUGGGAGAUCUAUUGGCUGAAAUACAAAUCCAUCGAAACUAGCCUUAUGCUAAGAGAUCAGAAUAUUGUACAAAGUCUAGAAAGUUCUAUUUACAUCUAAGUAACUCGAUAACUAGCCUUACGCUAAGAGAUCAGAAUAUUGGACAAAGCCUACAAAGUUCUAAUAUAGGUAACGUAAUGACCAGGUGAGGAUAGUUACAAGCUCGCUUGAGAUCGAAGCCGAUGUAGCCCUGCGCGCAAGAAGAAACUCACCUAUUUCUACUCUACUCUUACUCCUAGGGUUUGAUGGCGUGGCGUCAAAAGAUUGUAUUGAUUGAUUGAUUAUUUGAUACAAAGCUCAUGGGCCUAUAUUUAUACCCUUGAGAAAGCUAAAAUCCUAAUCAGUUAUGACAUGAAUCGUGACAGAAAAUCUAACUAAAGAUAGAUCUCCAUGCUUUCCCUUAUUUGGUGGAGUCGAUUUCACUUCAUAUCGGAUCCCUCCCGAUCUUCUAUCGGCUUCUAGCAUCCGGUCAUCUGCGACUGGCCUUGGUCAACAUCAGGUGUCAACAGACUUAUUUCUUCUACAAGUUCAUCGGCUGUCAGAGCCUUGUCUUAGUCAGUUGACUCUAGUAAAAAAUCGAUGUCAAUACAUGCCCCCCAAUUUUUGAAUAAAAUAUUAUAUUUCAAAAUUCUCUUCUCUUGUCAACAGCUUUUGAAAGAAAAAGAGUCACUGCUGCAAUCAUAAUCUUUUUCCCCGGGUUUUGUGAUAGCACCCUCCUCAUUUUAAGGGAUUCACCAUGUGGAAAUUAUAAUAUAACUGCUUCACCCAUUUCGUUUUCUUCACCAAACCAACUAUUGUCAGCCGCUACAACCAAAAAUCAAUUAUUCCCUUCACAUGCCUAGCGACUGCAUCCAUCACUCAUCGUCACCAUUAGUCUCCAUGUGUCAAGGCUUCUUCAACCAGCAAUGGCGACAUUAUCUUCCAUUCCACAGGUACCAUGUAUCCUAGCCAUUCCUUUCCCCUUUCAACCUGAAAUCCAAUCUAGUCACUAUAUAUCAAACCUGUGUUCUUAAUCAAUACUUGCCCCCUUGUACUUAGAAACACCCUUUUGAUCCCCAUAUCCGAUACGCAAGCAGAAUACUUUCUAGGCCCCAUGGGUAGUGAAGACCCAAUAGAAUCUAUUAAUGCUGAAAUACUUGGACAAAGUCUAGAAAGUUCUAUUUACAUCUAAGUAACUCGAUAACUAGCCUUACGCUAAGAGAUUUAAAUAUUGGAUAAAGCCUAGAAAGUUCUUAUAUAGGUAACUGAAAAGUGUGUUGACGCAAAAAUUGGAUGGUUGACUCCUGCGUACUAACACACGGAACCAGGGAGAAUCUGCUUAGCUACUGUUCGGGUUAUAGCCCUCUCGAUCCGUAGCGUGCCAGUUAAUCUGACCUGCUGAUUGACAAGUAAAAAUGUCAAAUUAAGAGCAAAUCAGCUGGUGUUCCGAAUCGCUCCACGGGACGUAUCAGUAGACAGCCGAUACGGGCAAACGACAAUCAGCUAGAUCAGCCGAUUUGCUCUUGUAUUUGACGUUUUACUUGUCCUUCUCAAUCAGCAGGUCAGAUUGACUCGCACGACGCAGAUCGAGAGGGCUAUAACCUAAACAAGAGCUAAGCAGAUUCUCCCGGGUUUCAUGUCUUAGUACACAGAAGUCAACCGUCUGAUUUUAUCAUCAACACGCUUUUUGGCACGCUCAGUGGGACCCGAUUCAUAUCUUAAUGGUAAUUGGUGAUCAAGUUUCAAACAACGUAUCCACUGGUAGAAAACUGAGCAUUAGUCCCGGUUGGUAAGGGUCAUAUCUCUCGGAUAUCCAUCCGGGAUAAACCAACCGGGACAAAAGGGGGGGGUCUUUAGUCCCGGGUAUUUUAACCGGGAGUAAAGGACCCCCUUUAGUCCCGGUUGGUGUCACCAACCGGGACUAAAGGGCCUGCCACGCCAGGCGCGGGACAGGCCCUUUAGUCCCGGUUGGUGACACCAACCGGGACUAAAGGGGGUCCCUUUAGUCCCGGUUGGAUUUCCCAACCGGGACUAAAGGGGUCCCCUUUAGUCCCGGCUCAAUUCCAACCGGGACUAAAUUGCGCUUGCAUGGCACUGGUGACGCCUGAAUUUUUCAUGCAUGCAUCACGUAUACGUAUAGUAGUACCGCGGCCCUUUUAAUUUGUUAACCUUGUAGUUGAGAUUUUUUUAGAAUGAAUUAAAUCAACUAGUAUUUAAACGAAUGGGAUUUGUAAUUACACAACUACUAUAUAUAUACACAAUCCUUAUACACAAUUCAUAUACACAAUUCAACUAGCUUAAUUAGUACAAAUCGAUCAUAUAUACAAAUAAAUCAAAGUAUCUUCCUACGAUCUUCCCGUCGUGGUGUUGCUGAGAGGAGUGUCUAAUUGUCGUCCAUCGUAAUAAAAUUCUCCUCUUGGAUUUACCACCUCGUCCAUUAUGAAUCCAAUGAGACCUUCACAUAUUGCCGCUACUCUUUCUUCCUUCAAGAGUCCUUGUUGAAUAUUUAACAUCUAUAAUUUGGAAAUUUGUGAAUGUUACAUGAACAAAUACAUAUAAGGAGCUAGAAAAUAAUUAACUAGUAAUAUAUUUAUUUUACGUACUUUAAAGUUGUGCGGCGUCAUCUUCGGUCCCUUGGGUCCCAAAAAACUGUGCAUGUGCUCACAGAUGUAGUAGCCACAUAGGUUAUUCCCGGGUUCCUGUCUUAAGCACUUCAGUGCGGAAAAAAAAUAAGUUAUGAAAUAUUCGUGUUAUACAAUGUAAUAAAUGUGCAGACUUCAUACGUACCGGGAAGUCUGUGUUCCAUGUAAGAUCUUCUUUGAAUGGACCUUUGUGUGUCCUUAUGAAUUGUUUCCAUACGCUGCGGAUUAGAAUAAUGAAUGACAUAGUGUAACAGGGAUAAAAUUUAGGAAAUAAAUUUUUGCAUAGAGAUAAAGGUCCAGAAUUAUUACAAGCCUAGCAUGUCUUGCAAUUCUUGGUAGUCCACCGGAUCUUUCCGUAACGAAUCAAAGACAGUGACGUGGCUUCUUUCAGGCUCAAUUAUAAUAAGGAUCCAGUGGAAGCUGCGUGCGUAAAAUGUUCAUGCAUAUUAGAGCUAACUAACAUGUAGAGAUAAGGAAAAAGACAUCGAAAGUAGACGGUAUACACACACUUACUUGAAGUUGUAUGGAAGUAGUAUGAAAUCCUUGAAUGUUUGUUUGUGUAGGAAAUUGUAUAUUUCGGCAAAGGUUUUUUCCGGCGCUAAUUGUAUCUGUUGUUGGUUAACUACAGAUGGAUCCAUGAAGCCUACAUGUAGGUACGCCUCUCGGCGGCAUGUCUGAAUUAGCAUCCUACAUGAAAUGGAAGAUGAAGUUAGUACGGUGACGCACGCCAAAAUUUACAUGUAGAGAUAAUAAACGGACACUUACAGAAUCCAAGCGCUGAUCAGAGAGACGUCCAGGGCAUCAUGAUGGUACACUUCGUAUAUAUCCUUGAAGUCUAGCCACAGCACUUUCUCCCCUUCACCGUGAAAAUCUAUCGGUUUUACCUUCAUGCCGAUCAUCUCCCUCGAUUUGGCGGAUGCCGUCAUGUACCAUUGAUGGAAUUCGUACAUCUUUGUUGACAGCUUCCGUACCAUUGCCGGCUUCACUAGAGGCUUGCCUAGCUCAUAAGGCCAUCUCGGCUCAGGGGGCGGUGCAGUUGGCGUCUCGACUUGCCCUAUGCAUUCUUCAAGUCCCAGACCUGUUUCUUCCAUGAACUUCAAUAUAUUUUCUUGUUGAUCCAAGGGCAUUGCUUUUACCCGUUGAGCAUCUUUCUUUGAUAAAUGGCUGAGGUCGGGGACUGAACCGCUGGAGGAUGAUUUUCCUUUUCUUUUAUCCUUUUCAUCAGCCUUUACUAGAGCCCGUUCAUAGUUUGACAAGAGUGGUAUCCUUUUCUUGGCUCCUUCCUCCAUCCUGAUAAAAAAGUUUAAAUCCCGCCGACUUACUGGCGGUGGCUCCAUCUCCCUUGCCCUUUUUAAUUCGGCUUGUUUCUUGAACCACUCACUGGCCUCUCGUUGGAUUUCUGCCCACUGUUCCGCAUGAGACAUUGCCUCAAAGCGUUCCUUGCGAGCCACUUCAGGGUCGACCUUUGUUUUCUUCUUUCGAGGCUGUCUUUGCUUGGGAGGCGGUGCUCGUGACUUCUUGAGUGGUGCUGCAGGUUCCUUCGAGGGGGCCGCUCUUGGUGCCAGCGACGGUGAUCGGGGAGGGGUGUUGUUAUUGUCGUCGUCGCUCCCAGCACCAGGAUGUGGUGGAGAUGGAGACCUUGAUAUAGAUGGAAGCGACGGUCCUGGAGCAGGAGAUGCCGGUCUCGAGGUAUGAGGAGAAGGUCGCUGCUCGGGAUCUACGGGGAGCGGUCUUGAGGUCUGAGGAGAUGGCUCCGUGCGGGAAAUAAUGAUGUAGCGUUUCUUCCAUAGAAUGAUCCCAUGAAGCGCAUCUGCCAAUGUCUUUUCCCCGUCGCCUCCCGGGAAGUCGAGCUCUAGACCUUCAUACUGGGCAUCUACUAUUUGCUCGACGCAGACGCUGGCGUAGCCUGUUGGAAUGUCCAUGCCAUGACUGCUCUGCCCUGCCAGCGUUGGUAACGCACUCCCAUACGCUACCUGUACAUAUAGCAGAAGUAAACAAGUUGAACUCCGAUCUCGAGGCCUGGAUCAAUUGACAAGAUUGCAUAAAUAUUAUGUAUAAGUAUACCUUAAUAGUGAGGUUGCCGACCGGUGCAUGCAGCUCACAUGAGGUCCGUUGCGUGAUGGCAUCCACGGGGAACCGUUGCUCCUCCACGGGUAACCUGGGCGUCUGCGCAUCGGGGACCCCUGUAGAAGCACAACUGCUCCCGAGGCGUUGAGAAGGGCUGGCGGUGUGAGGAUUCGGCAGUGCUCCAGAUUGCGCCAACUCCGCAACUGCGUCGGCCACCCGCCGAUUGAUUUCAUCCAUCAUUCGUUGUUCUAGCAUCUGCCGCCAGCUCUCCUCCAUCUGUUCCUUUCUUCGCUUCCGGCUUCUGUAAGAGGCGCUGUCGCCUCGGAAAGCGAACUUCCACGGAACCACCCCGAACCCCCGGCAACGUCCUGGGUGCUCUGGAUUACCGAGGGCCAAUGUGAGCUCAUCAUUUUCUCGGUCCACCCUCAACCUCCCAGCCUUGGAAUCUUCAAUGUUCUUCAUGAGAUGUUCGGCCUUCUCACGUAUUCUGUCAUUGAAAAUCAGCGUCCCAUCCUCUUGGCUUAGGGAGCCUCCAUGAGCGUAGUACCAGUUCUUUGAUCGUUCGGGCCAUUCAAUAGUUGCAGGUAUGAUUCCCCGUUCGAUCAGAUCUUGUUCCAUCUUUCUCCACUUGGGAAUUGCUGAGCCAUACCCACCUCGCCCCAAAUGAUGGUGGUAGCCCUUCUGACUAGCAUUUGCAACGUUGGUCGUGAUCUUUUUCACACCUUCUUCACUCCUCUUGUAUUCAACAAAUGCAUCCCAGUGGUCCCUCAACUUGGGCCACGCGUUGAAGUCUGGAGUUUUGCCCUUCUUGAUGUAGUGGGUGUCCAGCAUCUUCUUGAAUGUCUGGAAUUGAGUAGCCAUCUUCUUAAGUGUCCACGCUUUGACAUCCUUCUCGCUAUAAUCUUCGGGGAAUGUGAAAUGCCUCUUCACGUCUUCCCACAGCAUAUUCUUUUCUGUCUCUGGAAGGGCGUACGGAUUAUCGCUUCUGCCCUUCCAUUCUCUGAUGCUGAUAGGCACGUUGUCCCGGACAAUUGCCCCGAUUUGACUAACGUACUUCUUUGCGACUUUCUCGGGAGCAACCGGCCUGCCCUCAUCUGUAACUUCGGUGAUGACAAGCCUCCCUUCCAUCACCUUUGUACGACCUCGGGUCUUCUGCCCUUGUGUCGAUCCGGAGGGCUAACAGUUUAAGAUUCGUUAAUUAGUACGUACUAGUAGCGGUGGCGUGAAACAAUACAAGAAUGGUUGUAUAUACCUCGCCGGAACCUUCCGCCACGGCAAGUUGUUGCUGCGGCUGUUGCUCUUCAUUCACAUCGGCAGACAUGUUGAGGAACAUGUCCGCCUGGGUGCCCUCUUCAUCCGUGUAUGAUAGUGGAACGUUGUCGCCACUAUCAUCACCAGCGAUUAUCUGCUCCAUGAUAUACCUUGCGGUCUCAUCGUCUGCCAUUUCAACUAUUGCUGCAAACAUACAUGGAAUCAUACAUGACAGUCAUAGAAAUCGUCUUAAUACAAAUUUGUAUAUAAUCACAGUUCGGAAUCAUACAUGUAUAUAAUGAAAUCAUAAAAUAACAUGAAUCGUACAAAGUCCGGAAUCUUUAUACAAAUUUCUAUGAAUUUAUACAAAUUUCUAUGAAUUUAUACAAAUUUCUAUGAAUUUCUAUGAAUUUCUAUGAAUUUCUAUGAAUUUCUAUGAAUUUCUAUGAAUUUAUACAAAUUUCUACGAAUUUCUAUGAAUUUCUAUGAAUUUCUAUGAAUUUAUACAAAUUUCUACGAAUUUCUAUGAAUUUCUACAAAUUUCUACGAUUUUCUAUGAAUUUCUACAAAUUUCUACGAAUUCCUACGAAUUUUGACGAAUUUCUACGAAUUUUGACGAAUUUCUACGAAUUUCUACGACGGCGAUAAGGGCGGCGAAGGCGGGACGGCGGCGGUCAGGGCGGCGGAGGCGGGACGGCGGCGGUCAGGGCGGCGGAGGCGGUUCACCGGAACCACGGGCGGUGCCUAAGCUACUACGUUGUGAUGGGCGGCAGGACGGCGGCGAUCACGGCGGCUACUCGGCGGCGAUCACGACGGCUACAAGGCGACUGUCACGGUAGCUACUCGGCGGGACGGCGGCGAUCACGACGGCGGGACGGUAGUUAACAACCUAACUACAAAUCUAACUUAACAAACUAACUAGAAAUCUAAAAAUCUAACUUAACAAAAUUAGAAAUCUAAAAAUCUAACUUAACAAAAUUACAAUUCCAUCUAAAAAAACAAAAUUAAAAAUUAAAAGAAAACGGCCAGCUCUCCCGGCGCACCGGCCGGCGCGGCAGACCUCUCGCGCGCGGGGCGGCGGCCGGGGCGGCGGGACGGCGGCGGCCGGGGCGGCCUGACGGCGGCGGCUGGGGCGGCGACGAGGACGAAGACGACGACGGCGGGAUGACGGCGGCCGAGGCGAAGACGACGACGGCGGCCGGCGAGGGGCGACGAGGAUGGAGCUGGCGACGAGGGGCGAUGCAGCCGGCGAGGGAGGCGGACGGGCGGCGACGGGCGGAGAGGGAGGCGGACGGGCGGCGACGGGCGAGGGAGGCGGACGGGCGACGACGACGGCGCAAUGCGGGACUUCGACGGCGCAAUGGGGGACGACGACGGCGGCGGCCGGCGAGGGAGGCGGACGGGCGGCGACGGGCGGAGAGCGCGGGACUUGCGAAAAUUUCGCUAAGUGUGGAACUGGCGGGGGGUAGAAGGGAGUACAGUGCUUUUAACCCCCCCCCCCUUUUAUCCCGGUUCGUAAUGGCACCCGGGACAAAAAGGGCCUUUUGUCCCGGGUCCUGUCACCAACCGGGACAAAAGGCCCCCCCUUUUAUCCCGGUUGGUGACGGGACCCGGGAUAAAAGGGUGCGCUCCCAGCCCCACCUGGCGGGGGCACCCUUUUAUCUCGGGUCCCGUUACCAACCGGGACAAAAGGCCCCCCCUUUUAUCCCGGUUGGUAACGGGACCCGGGACAAAAGGGUGCCCCCGCCAGGUGGGGCUGGGAGCGCACCCUUUUAUCCCGGGUCCCGUCACCAACCGGGAUAAAAGGGGGGGGCCUUUUAUCCCUGUUGCAAAUGGCAACCGGGAUAAAAGGGUACGUUCGGGCGGGAGACGAAACGUACCCUUUUAUCCCGGUUGCCGUUUGCAACCAGGAUAAAAGGGGGGCCUUUUAUCCCGGUUGCUGUUAGCACCCGGGACAAAAGGUCCUUUUUCCUAUUUUUCUUCUCCCGCCUGUUUUUUGGAAAUGGAUUUUAUUUAACCUUUUCACUGCAUUCCAGGAUGAAAAACAAAACCUUCUCAGAUUUUGUACAUGCAAAAAUAUAUUUAAUUAACGAGUAAAUUGACAAUAAGUAUGAAGUAAUCAUUAUUUCUAUACCAACUCAUAUAGCCUGUAAAAUAUUUAUUUUACUGCAUUGCUGUGAUCAAUAAAUUAUUCAAUUAAAUUUUUUGAAUGCGCAGAAAAAUCCAUGUUAGUAUGUGGUUAACAAUGUUCAUGUAUAUCUAAAAAAUCUUCACCUAACAAAUUUAAUUACAAAUUUUAUCAAUUAAUACACAAAGGUCAUGCACAUUUAACGCAUUACAAUACAACGUUGUAAAAUUUCUUCUUCACGAAAGUUCCUUGAUCAUGAUCGCGGCGUAAGUACGGAGCCUCUUCUUUGGACAGCAGGAUGCUUGGAUCAACUUCAACGUCGAAUGGAGGCAUGCCAUCAAACUGAUCAUAAUCAUCUGAUUGGUCUGUUUUAUCCUCGACUCCCACGAUUUUUCUUUUACCUAGAAGAACUAUGUGGCACUUUGGCUCCCAUGUCUCUUCUGGAUUCCUCUUGGGUUUGCUGCACAUGUCCUUCACAUAGAACACCUGAUGCACAUCAUUGGCAAGUACGAAUGGGUCAUCACUGUAUCCAGUCUUGCUCAGAUCUACUAUUGUCAUUCCGUACUGAUCUUUGGUGACGGCAGUUAGCUUCACCCAAUUGCAAAGAAAUAGAGGGAUGUACAGCGGUCCGUAUUCGAGUUCCCAUAUCUCCUGUAUGAAACCAUAAUACGACUCCUUGCUAUUAUUUCUGUCCAUGGCAUCUAUGCGGACACCACUAUUCUGGUUCGUGCUUUUCUGGUCCUGGGCUCUCGUGUAAAAUGUGUAACCAUUUAUCUCAUAGCCUUGGAAUUUGACGAUUGUGGUAGCAGGUCCCCUGGCUAACCAAGCAAGCUGUGGGUGAAUCUCAGAGUUACCCAUAAGUUGUUGGCGCAACCAGGAGGGAAAAGUUUCCAUGUGAUGACGGGUAAGCCAAGCAUCGGAUUUGGUCGGGUUUUUGGAAGCUACCAUCUGCCUGUGCUGCUCGAUAUACGGAGACACAAAGGAUGACUGUUGUAGAACAGUGUAGUGUGCCUUGUCGAACAAAUUAGUAUCAUUGCUCAAACUUGAUUUCCUUCCAAGGGUGCCCAUUCCUCGGAGCCUCCCCUCGUGGCGUGAAGUUGGAACCCCAAUCGAGUCAAUUGAAUCAAUAAAAUCAACACAAAACUCGAUCACCUCCUCUGUUCCAUAUCCCCUGGCGAUGCUUCCUUCUGGACGAGCACGAUUACGAACAUAGUUUUUUAGGACUGCCAUGAACCUCUCGAAAGGCCACAUAUUGUGCAGGUAUACAGGUCCGAGAAUACCAAUCUCUUUUACUAGGUGAACCAGUAAGUGCGUCAUAUUAUUGAAGAAGGAUGGUGGAAAUAACAACUCAAAACUGACAAGACAUUGCACCACAUCGUUCUGUAGCUUUGAUAGCUUGGAUGGAUCGAUUGCCUUCUGCGAAAUCGCAUUGAGAAACGCGCAUAGCUUUACGAGCGGCAACCGGACAUUUUCGGGUAGAACACCCCUCAGUGCAACCGGAAGCAACUGGGUCAUCAACAUGUGGCAGUCAUGAGCCUUGAGAUUUGUAAACUUCUUUUGUUUCAUAUUUAUUAUUCCCUUUAUAUUCGAGGAGUACCCAGACGGGACCUUCAUACUAUUCAAGCAUUCAAACAUACUAUCCUUCUCCUCCUUGCUGAGAGUGUAACUGGCAGGACGUAAGUAGUGCUGUCCAUUAUCUCUCUUUUCCGGAUGUAGGUCAUCUCGUUGCCCCAUGGCUUUCAGGUCCUGUCUUGCUUCCAAUGUAUCUUUUGAGGUUCCAUAAACACCCAUGAAGCCUAGCACGUUCACGCAAAGAUUCUUCGUCAGGUGCAUCACGUCUAUUGCGUUGCGAACCUCUAGGAUUUCCCAAUAAGGUAGCUCCCAAAAUAUUGACUUUUUCUUCCACAUGGGUGCAUGUCCGUUAUCAUCGUUCGGAAUAGGUUGGCUACCAAGUCCCUUUCCAAAGACUACAUGUACAUCCUUCAUCAUCUCGAACACACGCUUUCCAUUACGGUGUGCAGGUUUUUUACGAUGGUCUGGCGUCCCUUUGAAAUGCAUCCCGCUCUUUCUCAGCUGGUGGUGAGCAGGGAGAAAUCGACGAUGACCCAUAUAGACGACCUUCUUACAGUGCUUCAAGUACAUGCUAUCUGUGUCAUCUAAACAGUGGGUGCAUGCCCGAUAUCCCUUAUUUGUCUAUCCUGAAAGGUUACUCAAUGCAGGCCAAUCGUUGAUGGUUACGAACAACAGUGCUCGUAGAUUAAAGAUCUCUUGUCUAUCCUCAUCCCACACACGUACACCUUCUUCCUUCCAGAGCUGUAAAAGGUCAUCAACCAACGGCCUUAGGUACACGUCAAUGUCGUUGCCGGGUUGUUUUAGGCCUUGGAUAAGCGCCGGCAUCAUAAUGAACUUCCGCUUCAUGCACAGCCAAGGAGGAAGGUUGAACAUACAAAGGGUCACAGGCCAAGUACUAUGACCACUACUCAACUCACCGAAUGGAUUGAAUCCAUCAGUGCUUAAACCAAACCUUAUGUUCCUUGCUUCACUUUCAAAGUCUGGGAAUGUUCUAUCAAUUGAUCUCCACUGUGCCCCAUCUGCGGGGUGUCUCAGCAUCUCAUCUUCCUUACGGUCUUCUUUGUGCCAUCGCAUCAACUUAGCAUUCGCCUUGUUCCUGAACAAGCGCUUCAAGCGUGGUAUUAUAGGGAAAUACCACAUCACCUUCACGGGAACUCUCUUCUUGGGAGACUGCCCCUCGACAUCACCAGGAUCAUCUCGCCUGAUCUUAUACCGCAGGGCUUCGCAGACGGGACAAGCAUCCAAUUCCUCGUAUUCAUCACCACGAUAGAGGAUACAGUCAUUAGGGCAUGCGUGUAUCUUCUGAACAUCCAAUCCGAGAGGGCAAAUAAUCUGUUUAGCUUCAUAUGUUGUGGACGGUAAUUCAUUAUUCUCGGGGAGAAUCUUCUUGACAAUUCUCAACAUCCCCUGAAAUGCCUUAUCGGACACACCAUUUUUUGCCUUCCAUUGCACAAAUUCUAGUGUCGUACCUAGUUUUUUAUGGCCCUGCUGGCAACCUGGGUACAACAAUUUUUGGUGAUCAUCUAUCAUGCGCUGCAACUUUGCUGCUUCCUUCUCAGUUUCGCAAUCUCUGUAUGCAUCUCGUAUCACCUGACCAAGGUCAUCAGUAGGGUCAUUUUCUGCAAACUCAUCUUCAUCAGCCUCGCCCAUUGUAGUACCUGCAAAAGCUUGGCCUGCAACCCAGUCCGGAAUGGUGUCAUCUUCCUCCUCCUCCUCGCCAUCUUCCAUUACAACCCCUAGUUCACCGUGCUUGGUCCAAACCAAAUAGUUAGGCAUGAAACCGUAUUUAAACAAGUGGCUGUGAAUAGUCCCCCAGGAAUUCUUUGAAUACUCCUUCCUGUUAUUGCAUUGGAAGCAUGGACAACAUACGAACCCAUUCUCUGGCUUGUUCGCUUUUGCCACUUCGAGAAAAUAAUGCAAGCCAUCAAUAAACACCUUGCUCCGCCUGUCUGCAUUAUACAUCCAAUGCCGGUCCAUCUGCAUCGUAUUACGCACGAAAAUGGAUUACACUUGACAAUGGAUUACGCGUGAAAAUCGAUUAAAGAUCCAAACAACAUGGUACAAUACAACAACAUGAAGAUCCAAAUACACAUAUUUAAAUUAAAGUCCCAAACACUGCAUAAGUUGUUCAACUUGAAGACCGUGAUCAUCUCGUGAGGAUGUCCUCAACUGGGCGGCACCGCACUUCGUCAUUAAAGAGGUUAGAUGCUACGGAAAAGGGGACACGGUCACAAUGUCCGUAUCCACUCUUUCUCGUAGAAUCGAACCUCCUUCUUGACAUACGUUGCUGCUCGGCGGAGAACAUCCUCGGCGAGAUGAACACGGUAUGCAAGUUCAACAAGUAGCAGAAGUCAUCUAUGUACAAAAAUUCUUUCCUUACCACUACAGAAGUUGUUGAACUUGAAGACCGUGUUCAUUUCGCGAGGAUGUCCUCAGCUAGGCGGCACCGCACUUCGUCAUGAAAGAGGUUAGAUGCUACGGAAAAGGGGACACGGUCACGAUGUCCGUAUCCACUCUUUCUCGUAGAAUCGAACCUCCUUCUUGACAUACGUUGCUGCUCGGCGGAGAACAUUCUCGCCGAAAUGAACACGGUAUGCAAGUUCAACAAGUAUAUGGAUUUAAAAAACCAUAUUGAAUUUGAUAAGAUAAACCGUCUAGACAAGGUAGCAUCAUUUUUAAACCACUGAAAUAAUGCAUACUAUAUAUGACACAUCAAUCUCCCUCACAUUCUAGCUCAAAAUACCUCUCCAUUUUUCUACUUCAUCAUCACAUUGUAGCAAAUAAUCUUUCCAUCUCCAAAGCAUAAAUCAAAGCAUAACACGAGGAUGAAGUAGCAAACCUUCGCAGCACUUGUUGGCUGAGUCAAAUUCCCACGAAAAUGAGGGAAAAAAGUUCGGGCAGCACCUCCCUUGCUUGGGCACCACCGGAGAGUAGGUGAAGCUCAGCUCUCUAUCAAUGUGCUGGACUGCUCGGGCUGGAGGAAGAAGAAAGUCUCUGUCUCGGGGUAUAGUGGGGGAUGAGUUUUAAUCCCGGUUAAAAACUCCAACCGAGACAAAAGGAAACACCUUUUGUCCCGGUUGGAAAGUUAGUCCCGGUUGGAGGAUCCAACCGGGAUAAAAGGGACACCCUUUUAUCCCGGUUGGAGGCACCAACCGGGACUAACCCUUUUAUCCCGGUUGGUGCCUCCAACCGGGAUAAAAGGGUGUCCCUUUUAUCCCGGUUGGAUCCUCCAACCGGGAUAAAAGGGUCCCGCCACCGACGGCCCCCGCUAGCCGUUGCAACCGGGACUAAAGGGGGGCCUUUAGUCCCGGUUGCAAUUACCAACCGGGACUAAUGCUCCCCUCCAAAUUCCCGCACCCCGGCGCACCCCCUUUUGUCCCGGGCCACUUUUAAACCGGGAUAAAAGGGGGUUGAUCGAAAGUCAGUUCUCUACUAGUGAUCGGUGACUCCGCUCGAGGAGAAUUGUUUAUAUCAAGCAUAGAAAUGACAACGUUGGAAGUGGAGGAUAUAUUUUGCUCUGUUGAUUUAAUUGCCGCGAGAGUGGCGGACAAGUUCUAAUGAUUGAAGAUCAGAAGCGUCUCGUGGAGAAUUUUUCAGAAGCUAUAUUUGGAAUUAUUAUAUUAUCUCAGGAGCAGAUUAAAUAUAACGCCACCACUGAAAGCCGAUGAGAUGUAUCUAUCGGCUACAUGCUAUUCAGAUGAAUUUGAUGACAGAUUAAUUACGGAGGAGACCGACCGAUACAACAUUAUGGUUUCUUACUGCUGAUCUGUUAUGAAAGAGGAUGUGAGAAGCUGAUAAUCAAGCAACAAUAAAAUGAUAUACACGCAGGGCAUUAAAUAUUGAGUUAAUGAUUGGGAGUACUACCAUUAUCUUAUGAAAAGUCCAUCGGCUAACCAAACAGCGUCAGCCGAUGGAAGCAAAUAGUGUCAGCCGAUAGAAUGAUGUUAUAUAAGUAUAUAUAUCGGCCUCCGAGCCAAUGGGAAGUAGGAACUAUCAGCCGAUGCACACAUCCAUGGACAUAGCCGAUAAGACAUUGUAUCGGCUGCUUGGCAAAUAAAAAUAGCAUCGGCUGACCGCUUGUUAAAAUAUUAUCGGCCGAUUGCUUGGCAAAAUAGUAUUGGCUGACUGCUUGGCAAAUAAAAAAAUAAUAGGUUGACCAAAAAAGGAUAGCAUUGCCUGAUUGCUUGGCAAAUAAAAAAAAUUACGUCGGCUGAUUGGUUCCAGCAAAAUAGUAUCGGCUGCUUGUUGAUCAGAAAAAGCCGAUACUGUUACAGCUCCCGCAACUGUGCUUUGCUGUCAUCGGCUGGGUUGUUCGUGCUCCAUCUGCAAAUAUUUGUCCCGGCUAGAAAGUAUCGUACGUGCAUUGGGAUUCGGCAGUACAAAUCACGUACACGCGUAUGGUCUGCUCAGAAGCUGUCUGUUCGACGAAGUUCCAGGCCAAUGGUGGAGACUUGAUGACCAUGGUGACCUGCAUUAAUCAACAUGAAGUAUGUAUCGGCUGUUCGGUGAUUGGUAGCAAAUCAGCUUUCUCAUAGCCGGUGACAUAUGGGGCAAGAAAUAUCAGGCUUAAAAAAGGACAGUACGAUCAAUGUCGAAAGUUGUAGCCGACGGUUCUAUUAUUGUGCAGUCGAUGGAACAUAGAAGAUGCAUCUGAAUGAGCAAAAGGAAGGGAGCCGAUAGAAGGGAAUUUAAGUUGCAUGAGAUCCAAUUAAAUUAAGAUGACGAGAGGUGUUGACAUCGAAUCAUCGGACUUCUACGAAGUCUUCAUACUCCGAAACUAGGGAGUCUGUGUUAACACCAAAAUUUAGAAAUAUGCUGAUGCAAAAAAAUAAUGAAAUCUCCUAAAUAAGGCUCAAGAAAGAAAAAGCAAGAAAAGAAAAUCAAUCGCACGCGGCAAGAAUUGAAUAAAAUAUUCUAGAGGUAGAGUUGGUUAGGAUAAGCUUAAUUAGGGAUAGAGUUGGAUUAGUUAGAGAUAGUAUUUUGAUUAGAAAAGAUUGUGUACAUGACUUGUACGUGGUGCGUCAGAGGCCAUCCGCCCUAUAAAUAUAAGGGGUCGUGGCCAUUGUAAUUAUCAUCACACGAUCAAUAUACAACAUAUUUAUCUUUUACCUUUUCGGCUUCACGCCAUUGUAUUAGGAGUAGGAGUAAUGUAGCUUCCUGACGAGUUCCUUCUAGCAAGCUGUGCUGCAUUGACCUUGAUCUCUGGCGAGCUGCAAAGUUCCGUCACCAGGUGUUCUAGGCUUUAACCACCGGGCGCAUCGCUUGUGGUUUCGUCUAGUUUCAUCUACAAGGUAUCGAAUAUCAUGGAUCUUUAACUUACGCAUCGCUUCUGUCUUGAUCUACGGUAUUCACCAGUUAUCCUGCCUUGGUUAAGUCUGCAUCGGCUGAUAUUUAUCUGUUCUAUCAUCUUGCCGUUCAGUUUGCUUUAAUUAGCUUUAGAUCGGUUCAUUAUAGAUGAUAGAUCGCUUAAUAGCCUGUUGCAUCUUAAUCUUGGUUACCCCUUCAAGUGCUGUUGGGAUUAAGUUUCGUUAUGAUUGGAUUCAUCGGCUGGUGGGGUUGGUGGGGUUCAGAUUAACAUCGUGCUAAAUAUUUCUAGACUGCAACUACUGGACGCAUCGCUGUGGUUUCAUCUAGAGAUAUUGGUAGAGAGUUUAGUUUAGAUCUCAUCGGUUCGUGGCUCUAGCUAUGGUGGAGCGGCAGCUGAAUAGCAUCCUGUUUUCUAUCGGUCGCCUGGCCGAUAGUUAUUGCAAAAUAUAUUAAAUCGCCUGGAUGGCCGAUGGAUCACUCACGCUCGUCAAGGAUCAUAUCGGCCUGAUCGGCCAGUUGCCUCGGACUUCAAAGGAUUAUUUUCACCUUGUCAGUUGAAUGGUCAAACUGGCUGGCACGCCCGCGCACACCAUGCGCGCCGAUUUGGAUUUUGCACUGGAGUUAAGUAGAUCUUCCAGGUCCUCAUGUGGUGACGAAGGAUCCACCACCAUCAGGAUUUUGCGUCAACACAUUUUGGCACGCCCAGUGGGACACGGUUAUAAGGUUCAUAUUUUUAUUCAUAUAAAAAAGCAUCUUCGGCAUCAUCGGCCAAAUGAGUGUUCAUCGGCUUGUUAGAAUUAAUUCAAUAUAAUAUUUCAGCAAAAGCAGCCGAUGUAGCGAUUGGAGAUAAGGCCAAGUCAAGUCUGCGUGUAUACGCAUGUUCCGGUGGGAUCAUCUUCAUAAAUGCCAAUGACGAUUAGAGAUGAAGCUUCCUGCAAAAUGAUUGGCUACUCUAUCCGGGAAGAAUUGCUUUUUUAUGAGGCAUAUAUAGAGACCCAUGUUGCAAUUAGGGGGCGUAUUCGUGCAUUGGCUGAAAUAAAAAAAUGCAUCGGCAUAUUGAAAAUUGCAUCGGCCGAUUGACAGUCGUAUCAGCUGAUUGGAAAAAUAAAAAGGGAUCAGGGAUCCGCCGAUUGAAAAUUGCAUCAGCUGAUGGAAAAUGAGAGCAACAGUUACAAUAUUUUUUUUAAAAGAAAGCAAGUAUCGGCAAGCAGUAGCCGAUGGAUUUGUAUUUCAGCCAAUGGGGUUUUUGUUUCAGCUGAUAGUACUACUGGCUGAUGGCAAGUCCAAUGGAGUUAAAAUUGCAUUGACUGAUUGAAAUAAAAAUUAAGUAUCGGCUAAUUUAUGGCCAAGUAGCAUCUGCUGAUUUGUUGCAAAGUAGUUUCGGCUGAUUUAUGGCAAAAUAGAAUCGGCCGAUUUAUGGCAAAGAAGCCAAUAGACAAAAGCAUCGGCUGGUAGAGAAGCCGAUUGAGCAAGCAUCUGUUGAUGAGCUAUGUAUGGGAAAAAGUAUUGGCUGCUUAAACAAUUGACAAAAGCCAAUUGGUCAGACUGAGAAGCCAACUGGGAAAGCAUCGAUCGAUGGAUUGCGUAUGGGAGAGAGUAUCGGUUGAAGUCUUUAGUAUUGACUGCUAGAUAUUUGAGCAAGCGUCGGCCGAUUGACUGCUUGGUAAAAAAAACAUCGGGCUGAUUGCUUGGUUAAUAAAAAAAUUGCAUCGUUCAAGCAAAGAUUGCAUGGGCUGAUUGGUUCAAGCAGAAUAGUAUCGGUUGCUUAUAGAAUAUAUCGGAUAUUAAUUUCGAAGCAUGAAAAUAUUCAUACUCCGAAACUGGGGGGCCUGUGUUGACAACAAAAGCUUGCUGGUUACUGCAUCAAGUUUUGGUGUCAACAUACUUGAUCUUUUGUUUCCAUUGCCAGCGGAUUCAUCGGCUCAGAGUGGGAUCAAGACAUCAAGCUGAUGGAGUUCUUUAUAUUUCAAGAGGAGUCAUGGAGUUCUUUAUAUUUCAAGAGUAGUCGAUGGUGCUUUGAAUAUUGCAACCAGACGUCAUUGGCUCUAAAGAUACCGAAUCAUCGGACUUCUAUGAUCAGUUUCGGAACAUGAAGCCUUCAUACUACGAAACUGGGGGCCUGUGUUGACACCGAAUCAUCGGACUUCUAUAAUUAGUUUUGGAACAUGAAGCCUUCAUACUUCGAAACUGGGGGGCCUAUGUUAACACCAAAAUUUAGAAAUGUGCUCUGAAAGGAAGGUAUCGGCCGAUGAUGCAAAAAAAUAAUGAAAUCUCCUAAAUAAGGCUGAAGAAAGAAAAGCAAGAAAAGGAAAUCAACGCACACGGCAAGAAUUGAAUAAAAUAUUCUGGAGAUAGAGUUGGUUAGGAUAAGCUUGAUUAGAGAUAGAGUUGGAUUAUUUAGAGAUAGUAUUUUGAUUAGAAAAAAUUGUGUACAUGACUUGCCUUGUACGUGGUGCGUCAGAGGCCAUCCGCCCUAUAAAUAUAAGGGGUCGUGGCCAUUGUAAUUAUCAUCACACGAUCAAUAUACAACAUAUUUAUCUUUUACCUUUUCGGCUUCACGCCAUUGCAUUAGGAGUAGGAGUAAUGUAGCUUCUCGACGAGUUCCUUCUAGCAAGCUGGGCUGCAUCGACUUCGAUCUUCGGUGAGCUGCAAGUUCCGUCACCAGGUGUUCUAGGCUUUAACCACUGGGCGCAUCGCUGUGGUUUCGUCUAGUUUCUUCUACCAGUUACCGAGUAUCUUGGAUCUUUGACUUAUGGCACAUCGCUUCUGUCUCGAUCUACGGUAUUCACCAGUUAUCCCGCCUUGAUUAAGCUUGCAUCGGCUGAUAUGUAUCUGUUCUUUCAUCUUGCCGUUCAAUUUGCUUUAGUUAGCUUUAGAUCGGUUCAUCAUAGACAAUAGAUCAUUUAAUAGCAUGUUGCAUCUUGAUCUUAGCUAUCCUUCGAGUGUUGUUGGGAGUAAGUUCCGUUGUGAUUGGAUCCAUCAGCUAGCAGGGUUUAGAUUAACAUCCUGCUAAAUAUUUCUAGACUGCAACUACCGGGCACAUUGUUGUGGUUUCACCUAGAGAUAUUGGUGGUGACGUUAGUUUAGAUCUCAUCGGCUUGUGGCUCUAGCUAUGGCGGGGCAACAACUCAACAACAUCCUGUUUUCAAUCGACCGUCUAACUGAUAGCUAUUGUAAAUUAUAUUAAAUCGGCUGGAUGACGAUGAAUCACUCACAUUCAUCAAGGUACUGGAAUCGGCUUCACAGCCGAUAUAUUUGUCAUGAUUUAUUUUGUUGCACCAUUAUCGCUACUGUGCUAGGAUUAUAUCGGCCUAAUCGGCCAGUUUCCUCGGACUUCACAACGACUAUCAUCUCCUUGUCAGUUGAAUGGUCAAACUGACUGGCAUGCCCGCGCACACCACACGUGCCGAUUUGGAUUCUGCACUGGAAUUAAGCAGAUCUCCCAGGUUCUCAUGUGCUGAUGCAGGGUCCACCACCGCCAGGAUUUUGUGUCAACACCUUGUAAUCUUCCUUUGAUUUCCUCAAUGAUUCGAAGACAAUAACCUUGCUUGUAUAAAUGAUAAUUAUAAGGAGAACCUAGUGGAAACUGUGUAUUCAUAUUAGAACUACCUAUGGUUAAUUAGGUUAGGAAAGGAAAUCGAAAAUAGACCGUACCCACACUUACUUAAAGUUGUUGGGCAGUAGUAUGUAAUGCUUGUAAUUCUGUUACUCCAAGAAUUUGUAUAUGUGGUCCAAUGUAGACUUUGGUUGAUCCCAUAUCUGUUGUUGGUUAAAUAAGUGUUUCUGGCCAUUUCUAGCCGUUAGAACCGGAACUAAAGGGGGCUCUUUAGUACGGGUUGAUAUUACUAACCGGGACUGAAGAGCCCCCAUUACAGUUGGUUUUUGGACGCGGAACUAACAACUCCUUUAGUCCCGAGUCCAAAAACGACUGAGAUAGAAGAUCCUUUCUCUACCGUGAAUAUUGCCAGAAAGAAUUGAAAGAGACCGCUUGCUAAAAAUAUGUCAUAGAUGUAGACCAAGCUACCAAGGAGGUAGACCAAACAUGAUACACACCAUGCGUACCUUGCUGUGCAGACUAUGCAUAGACAAGACACCCGACCACAUGUUGGCCUCGGUCACAUCAAAAGAAUCAUGUAGGCCACCAAUAAACUACUUGAAGCGUCAUUCCGUAUCGUAUAUGCAUUGCCGGUUCAUCUGCAUUACAUUACAUAAAGUAGUAUUAACUAUUUGAAUAAAAUGAACCAAUUUAAAAGUAAUGUGUUGUACUCUACUAUAGAAAGCCCUAUCACUGUCGGAUCCAGAAACAUCAUUGUUGAUGGUCGUUAAGUACCAAGACGGUCAAUAUUCUCAAGAAUAAUGGAGAAUUGGCAUUUCUUACACACAUAUUUGGUUUUGAACAAUGUAGUCCCACAUGUCCUUGGAGAUUAUUUGGGUGUGGGUGAAAUAAUACAAAAAGAAGGAGAAAACACACUCCCAUGGUGAAGAAACAAAACUCCGACCAAUGAGAGAUAGCCACAGGGGCAGCACACGGAUCCAUGGGCCCACAAACCGCAUCAAACUGUCUUACCAAGGCGGGUAGCACCCACAACCAUGAUUAGGACCCACCUGGAUGUCUACCAAGAAGAAGGUUGUGAGUGGGGCCAGGAGGGGUUCGGCUGAAUCAUCUCUAGCUCCCCUCAUCCCCAGCUGGUGCAUGGCGGUGGUUAAUGGUGUCCCUACAUCGGUUAGAGGAGAUUCCCCCAAAUAUUCCUCCUGUAAACCACCUGUAUGGACCUAUACAUAGAGGGGUGUGCUCUCCAAUCCAACACACACCACAAGUUUAAUCACUCUCUCCCUCUUUAAUUUCCAUGUUUAUGGAGUUAGCCUAGAGUAGCUCUGCUCAAGGUUCCAAGUCCACUUGGAGUUAAGCAUAUGUCUCUUGUAUCGUUAUUUCCCAGAUUGACUUUAUGCUUAGUUCUUAUAUGCAUGAGUUAGUCUAAUAGCCUUGCUCUAUUGAUAUGCUCGGCUUAUAUGCUCGUAUGCUAGUCAUAUACCCUUGCUGCCGUAGUAUAGGCUUAUAUGCUCUCAUGUGUGCCUUUAGACCUUGCUACAAUAUAUACUUGUUGUGUAUACAUACCAUGUAUAGGCUAGUCGAUCUAUACCAUGGCAUUGGUUCAAUAGCCAUGUUUUUGGUGGCUCCAACCCUAGUCAGAAUAGCUCGGGACAGCUAGAGUGUUGUUAAAAAUGCAAGAGUGAUGGUUGGGUUGUUUAGCAUCGUUGGAUAUGGGUUUUCCCCACGGGUUUCUAAGAGUAGGCGGCAGCUAGUGACAGCCCUGUCCGUCCUUCGUAAUCCCCCCACAUUCAAGUACGCCAUAGAAGUUCAUAAAUUAGCAGUAACUACACCGGCAGACCGGUAGGGUAUUGUCUCCCUAUAGUACCUUGGUGCAUAGAACUAGGUCAUAUACACUGUGUGUCUAUGUUUACGCUGAUAUGAUCUGUGCAGUAUAUAGCAUGUAUAUAUGAACCUAGAGCUAACUCCUAGUCCAUUCUCCGUAGCUUAGUUAUCUUGAGAUGAUUCUUCUGUGUGUGUAACACUACCCAUCUUAUCAUUAUCCUUAAUCCUGUCUUGUGUAAUAUAUCUACUCAUCCUAUGAUAUACUCAUAUGCAUAGUAAACUAUUUUGACCUACCCGCCUUCCUUUGGGAAAUACGAUACCCUGGAAUAAUCCUAGGUGAAAUGCUACAACGGUAUAUCCAUGUGCUUACGGAAUUAUUCCUGACCAUUAAAUAUACCAACAAUCAUCACUAUCUAUUUUGGGCAUCGUUAGUGAAGGGUCGGCAGUGAUGGGCAUCCCCUUCACCAAUGGAGCUGGAACUGGCGGUGAUGGCCAUUAAAAAAAAUGGGACCCCACCCAGCGUACCCCGCAACCCGGCCGGCUGCGCCUCCCAUCAUCCCCGCCGGUCGCCCUUCCUCUUUGCCGGCCGAGCAUGGUUCCGGCCCUCGUCCCUACCGCCUCGCCUCCAUCGCGACCCCCUGCCGAUGCCCUCAUGCCUGGCCCCCCUCGUCUGGCCGGCCACCCUCCCGAUGCAUCCACCGGGGCCCUCGCACCACCAACCACCCUAGCCUAGAGAGAGAGAGGAGGAGGGAGGUGAGGCCACGCACCUCGUCCUACAACGCCGCUGUUGCUCCUCGGCCCACCGCGCCUCACCCCACACCACAGCCGCACCUCGCCAUCUUACCGGCCGCGACGCCCCAUCUCACCGGCCACCGUUCCUCACCCCCACAUCGGUCAUCGCUGCUCCUUGCCCUACUGCUGCUCUUUGCAGCCGCGAAUGAGGGGCGAGUGGAGGGGGAGGGGCGGGGCAGGAGGAGGGCAAGAUCCGGGAGGAAGGGAGAGAUUUUGGGAGGUGGAGAUGGAAGGAUAUGGCGGAAGGUAGAGAUCUAGAGGGAGAGAGCGGGGGGGAGAGGGGGGCAUGUGGGGAGAGAGCGCAUGUGGGGUGGGGCCGGGCUGGUGGGAUGGAAGGUAGAGGGGCCGGAGGGCGCAGUGCAUUCAACUGGAUUAAGUAAAUAUUUCGGAUUCGAGACCCCAGCUUUAUUAUCACCGCUGGUCCGUAGUACCAUUCGGUGCCGGCUCAUAAUUUAAUUUGAACCGGUGGUGAUGUUUUAUUAUCACUGCUGGUUUCAAUUUUCACCAUCGGAUCAUAUAAAAAUCCGGCGGUUAAAAAUCCGCUGGUUUCGAUGAAAACCGACAGUGAUAGGACGACUGUGAUAGUCUCUUCUCUAGUAGUAGUAUAUUAGUACCGGCUGCCGGAUGGUGUUGCCGACGAGUACUUCUCCAGGGGCGAUUCAGUACUGAUGUUAGCAAAGCUUGUUCUCUAUGAAUUUGGGGAUGGAAAGCUAGUUCUCUAGUUGUGAUUUGUUACAUAUAUCUCUAUGAUAGUCUAGAAAUUGCAUGUCCUUCGUUGACAUAGUUGAAGCUGCUUCAAGAAUUUACUUCGUGCAGUCGUGCAGCAUAUUGGAUUAUCACCUAGACAGGAUACAUAGGUGAAGCAUUGCAUGUGAUUGUGGCUGAUAAUUAUGCAGGACGCUGUUGCAAUCAACCAUCAAGAAGACUGGAGCGAUGGGGUUGCCUCAUCAACAAUUUUUAUAUAUGGCUGCAGUAUUAUUAAGCCCACGUCAAUAAUUUUUUCUCCGCAGCAUAUAUAUGGUUACUCAGUUCGCUGGAGUAUCGCUGUGGAAAAACAUACGUACUGCGCCUCGGAACUAACUGGCAUUCAGGCCAUCAACGACCAGAUAUUUGGGACAACCAACAAAUAGUAGGUGGUUCCUAAGUUGUAGUCGUAUGUACUAAUGCGCCUCGAUGGGGUUUUCUUCAGAUAUUUUAUUGCCGUUCAAUGAACAAGCAGAUACAUAACCUGUGCAGAAAAUUCCAUCUCCACGCAUGCCACUGCACCAACAAGAUCCUCAGUCGACGAUGAUGGCUCAGCCUGUUCCUUCUGCCACCAAAUCCUCAAUCUUCCCUCCAGCAACGGAGAAUGCACCUUUAGUACCUUCAGUAUCAGAUGUUGCAAUCGGUACCGUGAAACCGAGACUAAAAUCCUUACUUUGCAGGGGGCAAAACAAUCUUGCAAAUAUAUAUUUUGAAUUCCAACAAAAUUUAAGAAAUGUUAAAGAUGACUAGCUGAGAGUCAACAGACAAGAUAUGAUAUUAGGAAUGUGGGAGGAUGAAUGCAUUUGUACAGGGGUCAUACUAUUUCCAGACUCUUCUAUAUUUCCAUAUGACUACCUACUUCAAUGUCACGCGAGCCAUUCAAAAAGAUACAUGGUACACUUGUAUGUCUAAUCCAUUAUUGAUUAUUUCCUCUUGUCAUCUCUUACAAGUAUUUCUCCAUACUAUAGAAACGUGCAACACAUUUUUAGGAUAUGGACACGCAUGAUUAAUAUGCUUGGACUAGUAUACAGGUCAUCUUUGGAUGAGUACAUAUGAAUGCCAGGGAGGGACUGAUGGAUAUAAGGAAAAGGGACCAUGCAUAAAUAAUGACAUAUGUAACAUGGCAAUCUUCAUUGCCAUGCAACUCCUAUCAACAAUCAUGGAAUACAUACUACUGCUCCAGAAGGGUGGUGUGCAAAUUUAUUUUACCUCGCGGUGAAAAUCUCCAGAGCAGGCCUGAAGUUAAAAUAAGAGGCAGUCACUAUCGAUCAUGACAGUCUCGAAACUGUACAGCACUAUGCUAGUCCUAGUCCUCAUGUCGUUCGUGCUGUCGUGUAGCAUGAUGGAUUAUUAACUGGGCAGGACACGGAGAUGGCUAGCGAUGACAGAGGAUGACGUACAUGAUAUUCACCUCUGAAAUGAAGCGUAGGCUAAUGAAGCACAAUUGCAUGUGAGUGUGGCAGAUAUUUAUACAGGACAGUGAUUGCAAUAAUCGACCAUCGAGAUCGAAGACAGGGGCGAUGGGGUUGCCUCAUCAAUAAUUCGCGCAACCAGACAAGCUGCAGACUCAAUAUGGUACGAAGCUAUUUGGUCAGCCCACAUGCUCUGAUAUAACAUUGGCAUCUGCUGAUCUACAGUAUAUAUGACCAGAAAUAUUGUGCCACCUCAAUAAUUUUCCGAAGUAUCGUUGGGGAAGCACCUACAUACUAUGCCUCGGAACUAACUGACAUGUUGGCCUAGGCGGUCCAGGCCGAUUGGACAGGCUCUUCCUUAUGGCUCCUCACGUCCCCUUCGUUUCCGAGUAAUCUCAGGUGUUCUGAAGUUUUCUUUUCACUUGCAUGUGGACCUUAUAUAUCAAUAGCUUCGGGAUAAGAAUGCCUCUUGAUAACCUUCCAAAUCGUCGCUUGAUUCACUUUGAUUCCAAAAUCAUCUUGCCAUAUCUUUUGAGACUUAGGCCCUAAGGCAUCAUGGAGGAUUGCUCGCCAAGAAUGAGCACCAUUGGGCUCCUGAGGACCCUAGGCCGAUCAGCCUGGGCUCUAUAGGUUGAUUGGCCCAGGCCCUCUCUGGGCCCAUUGGCCUUCAUCUUUCUCUGAGUCGACGCUUAUUGAGGGCUUUGUCCAAUUAUAGUCCAUUAUAGUCUAAUUUCCAAAAAAAUAGAAUAUCCUCCAAAAUACAAUACAUUUGUGAAAACAGCCCAAUUAUUAGGUAUGAUCAAUAGUCUAGGUAUUAAAUUAAUGUUAUUAUUUAAGAUAAAUAGGGAUAAAGGGUGUCAUUAAUAACGAGCACCAACCAGCGUACCAGCUGUUAACACUAACCGAUGCUAAUAUGUACCCUUUAGUACCGGCUAUUUCACCCGGUACUAAACGAGACAAGAGCACCCUAACAGAGGUUAAUACCAUCCAUUUCAUGAGUAAAAUACUAUGAUUCAAAAAUAAUUCAAAUCCCUUAAGACAAUACCUAUCAAAUGAGUAGAUUGUAAAUAGAGUAAAACAAUGUCCUAAUGAAACGGAACACUUCUGGUUCGUGUAGAGCACAAUAUAGAAAACAGUAGGGUAGCUGUACGAUUGACACGUGGUCCAUUAAUUAUUGAGCCAUCACUAUGGACAUGUCUUCAUGAGUAGUGUACUAGUCAUGACACAUGGUAUGUAGUAGGUGGAGGUAUUGAGUUAGCCAUGCCAUGAGCACUUAGUUACAACAAACACUUUGCCAUUAUCGAGCAUCCCAAAUCACUACAAAAUCCAUAGUUUACCAUAUACUACAAAAUCUGAGUUAAAAUAAGAGCAUACACGGAAGAGUCCGAAUGCACCGGUUUAGGACCAGGCACAUUGAAUUACUAGAAAAAGUUAUCGGACAAGGUUUUGGGUAACCGCAUGAAAAAUGUUGGAUUUUACUGAACACUUAGUUACAAUUACCAUGCCGUGAGCACUUAGUCACCACAAACAUUUAACCACUUUAGAUCAUCCUGAAUCCCUAUAAAUUCUGUACCUUACACCGUACCAUGAAAACGACAAGAACAGAGACAGAUGCAGUGAAAAUCUCCAGAGCAGGCCUGAAAUUAAAAUAAGAGGAGGCAGUCUCUAUCGAUCAGGACACGGAGAUUGCUAGCCAUGACAGAGGAAGACAUGAUAUGAUAUUCACCUCUGAAAUGCAGCGUAGACUAAUGAAGCACAAUUGCAUGUGAGUGUGGCAGAUAAUGGACCAUCGAGACCAUCGAAUGGUAUGAAGCAUGAUUAUCACCUAGACAUGAUAUCCUAGACAGGACGGUGAAUUGUAAAAAGAGUAAUCUUGAUCAAAGAAUGUCCUAAUGAAACGGAACAUUUUUGGUACGUGUAGAGCACAAUAUAGAAAACAGUAGAGUAGUUGUACGAUUGAAACUGCAUCCAUCCACGUGGUCCAUGAAUUGUUGAGCCAACACUGUGGACAUGUCUUCAUGAACACCAUCUAGUGAGGACAGGAUGCAGAAAAAUAUAAAAACAUGUCAUAGGGAGGCAGACCAAUCUUGCAAGGAGGUAAACGAAACGUGAUACACGAUCUGCCUACCUUGUCGUGGAUACCCCAAGAGAAGAUGUCAUAGAGGUGCAGACCAAGCUAGCAAGGAGGUAGAUGAAACGUGAUACACGGCCUGCCUACCUUGCCGUGGAUAUUAGCCCUGAUAUCAUUCUAUUGUUCAAGGAAUAACACUCAAUGCUGCUGCUGCUGCUGACCUGGCUCCAUAAAGUUGUAUUCCUCUAGCCGCUUGCACUAACUUUAUCUGAAGUAUUAUUCUCUCUGCCCUGAUAUCUGAAGUAUUAUUCUCUCUGCUGACUUUGCUGAAGAACCUACAUAAUAUGUCUUGGAACUAACUGACAUUGAUUCACAGACAAACUCUACAAGGUGCUGUUGUUGCCAUAUUUUAGAGCAUCCCAAAGGACUAUAAAUAAUAUAGUUUACCAUAUACCGUAUACCAUUAUAUGUUAGCUAAAAUAAGAGCAUAACAUGUCGCAGGAGUCCAAAAGCACCGGUUGAGGACCAGGUACAUUGAAUUACUAGAAAAAGACAGGGGGCAAUGUUUAGGUAGCCACAUGAAAAACAUUUGAAUUUACUGUUCCAUGAACACUUAGUUACCAUGCCGGGAGCACCUAGUUAACACUAAAAUUUAGCCACUUUAGAUCAUCCCGAAACACCCUCAAUAGCGACAAAUUUUGAUUUAAAUGCCGUCACCAAUGAUCCUCAAUAGCGACGUGUUUAGGUUUAAAUCCCGUCACUAAUAACCCUUGGUAGUGACGUGUUUUGGUUUAAAUCUCAUCCCACUGAUCCUCAAUAGUGACGUGUUUUUAGCAACACACGCUAUGAAUGACUUGUCAUUGGUGACAUGUUAAAUGCGUUAUCUCAAUGGCAAAUCAUUGGUGACGUGUUUUAAAAAAACAUGUCACUGUGAGAGUUAUUGGUGAAGGGUAAUUAAAAUGCAUCACUAAUUUUGUAGCAUUAGUUAUGAUAUAAUUUAGUAACGCAAAAAUCUACCAUCAGUAAUGAGGUUUAGAGCCGUCGCUAAUGUGGGUUUCUUACGAGUGAUGCAAGCUCUACAAGGUGCUGUUGUUGCCAUUUUAAAGCAUCCCAAGUGACUACAAGUUAAUAGCAUAGUUUACCAUAUACCAUAAAAAUAUUAGUUACAAUAAGCACAUCCGCAUGUGGAAGAGUCCGAAUGCACCAGUUGAGGACUAAACACAUUGAAUUACUAGAACCAAAUGUAAGACAAAGAAAGGGGUCAAGGUUUGGGUAACCGCAUUAAAAACAUUGGAUUUUACUGUACCAUGAACACUUAGUUACCAUUACCAUACCUUGAGCAUCUAGUUACCACAAACAAUAAUUUAGCCACUUUAGAGGUUCCAGAAUCACUAUAAAUAAUAUACCAACACCGUACCAUGAAAACAUCAAGAAGAGAGACGGGUACAUGGACCACCAUCAAGUGAGUAGUGACAGCACGCACAAGAAUACCCGGAACCUGUUAGCUUGUCUGUAGUGAUCUGUUUUCUUCCCCAUAAAAUCCAUGAGUAUUGCCACAAAUAAUGAAAGAGGCUGACCAAGCUAACAAGGAGGUAGAGAAAACGUGAUACACGUAGGUUUCAUUCAAGACAUCCAUGUAAGAUUCAUUCAAAACAUUCAUGGAAAUUUCUUGUAAGUUUUCAUGUAAAUUUCAUUCAAGACAUUUGUUAGAGGUGUUGUAUAUAUAUACCUUAACGUACAUAUAUCUAUGAUUUCAUGGUUGUUAGUGAUGGCAGAUGAGGAGCAUGCAAGGUAUUUAAUGGAGCAGAUUAUUGCUAGUGGUAGUGGCUCCAACCUGCCCGUAACGUACACCAACGAAGAGAGCAGCCAGGCGGACAUGUUCCUCAACAUAUCCGGUGAUGGCAAUGAAGAGCCCGAGCAAAACCUUGCCGUGACGGAAGGUUCCAGUGAGGUAUAUAUCAUUUCCAUUGUUUUACCCCAUCUAUAAUUUCAUAUUCAUUAUUACUAUGUACUAAUUAAUGGAUCUUGAACCAUUAGCCCUCUAGAUCAACGAACCGAAAUAAGCCCCGAGGUCUUACAAAGAUAAUGCAGGGAAGGCAUCACAUCACGGAAGUCACAGAAGAGGGCACAUCAGUUGCUCCCGAACAUGUGGCAAGAAAGUACGUGAGUCAAACCGGGCAAUGUGCCCAUCAGCAUUAGGGAAUGAAAGGGCAAUAGAAAUGAUCUAUACACGCCCCCGGAUACACAAAAGGAUAUGCUGUGGGCAAAUAUCAAGAAACACUUCACAUUUCCCAAAGGAUAUGUUGAAAAAGAUGUGAAAGCGUGGAUGCUGAAGAAGAUGGUCACCGAAUUCCAGACAUUCAAGAAGAUGUUGGAUGUCAACUUCAUCAAGAAGGGUCGAACUCCGGGUUUCGAUGAGUGGCCAAAGUUAAGGGACCACUGGGAGUCAUUUGUCAAAUACAAGACGAGUGAAGGUGGUGCGAGUAAGGUUCGCAUCAAUGUUGCCAAUGCUAGCAAGGAGUACCAUCAUCAUCUAGGGCGACGUGGUUACAGCACUGCAAUUCCCAGAUGGCGCAAGAUGGAACAAGACCUGAUCGAUCGGGGUAUCGUACCAGCAACUCCUGACUGGCCUGAUCGAUUGAAAAAUUGGUAUUAUGCUCAUGAAGGCAAUCUGAGCCAACAGGAUGCGACAUUGGUCUUCAAUAAAACAAUACGUCAGAAGGCCGGAAGGCUUAUUAGGAACAUUGAAAAUGCUAAAUCUGGGAGGUUCAAGGUGGAUAGAGAGAAUGAUGAGCUCACAUUGGCCCUUGGGACUAUCAUCUCUAGCAUUUCCAGCUCCAGGACUGUCGUCACCACCGGGACCGUCGCUUCUUGCUCGAUCACAGUCUCCAUCUCCAGCACAUCCUGGUGGUGCGAACGAUGACGACAACAACACCCCUCCCUGCCCACCAUCGCCGGGACUAAGACCCGCAUCGAGUAAGGAACCUGCAGCACCACUGAAGAAGUCGCGACCACCGCCUUCCAAGCCAAGUCAGCAAAAGAAGAAAGCAGAGAAGCCUAAGCCCACUGAGAAGCCAACAACCGAUAUGACCGAUGCGGAAAGAUGGAAGGCACUCAAAGAAGAAUGCAGGGAGUGGUUCUGUAAAAAGAACCAAAGAAAGAAAAGGAAAGCAGAUGGAGCCACCGCCAGUAGAUCCAAGAAAAUUAUAAUUUUUUAUUAAGAUGUCAAAAGGAGCCAAGAAGAUGAUUCCACAACUAUCAAACUACGACCGGGCGUUAGUCAAGGCUGAUGAGAGUUAAAAAAGGAAAGGAAAGUCAUCUUCAAGUGGUACUGUCCCCCACCUCGAGGAUCUACCAGAAAAAGACGCUAAAAAGAUAGUAGCAAUGCUCUUGGAUCAACAAACACAUAUAUCAUGAGAUUCAUGCAAGAAACAGGUAUGUGCCUUGCUGAAUGUCUAGGGCAAGUUGAUAUGCUAGCUCUAGAGCCAUUUGUACCGAAAUGGACCUUUGAGCUAGGCAAGCCUCUAGUAAGGCCUGAGCUGGUACAGAAGCUAUCCACAUAGCUAUAUGAAUACCAUGAAUGGUACAUGAAGCAGUCUGCCAAUGAGAGGAAAAUGUUCGGUCUCAGGGAAAAACUGAUAUUUUUUUUCGGCGAAGGCGAGAAAGUCUUGUGAUGGAAUUCAAGGAUAUAUAUGAAGUGUACCAUCAGGAUGCCCUUGAUGUCUCUCUCAUCAGCGCCUAGGUUAUGUAAGUGUAUGUUUAUCUAUACGUAAUUUUUGUCUCAUAUCAUUAUUUCUUUUGCGUGCGUCACCCUACUAACUUCGUCUUCCAUUUUAUGUAGGAUGCUAAUUCAGAUGUGCCGCAUAGAAGCGCACUUCCAUGUUGGCUUCAUGGAUCCAUCCCUAGUUAACCAAAAGCAGAUACGGAAGUAGCUAGAGAAAAUGUUGGAGGUGGUAUACAACUUCCUGGACAAACAAAACUAUAGAAUAGGGGCAAUAUGUGAAGGUCUUGUAGGAUUCCUAGUGGACAAGGUGAUAAAUCCAUAAGGAGAAUAUCAUUACAACGGACGAGCAUUAGACACACUGAGCAACACCUAGACGGGAGGAUCCUAGGAAUGACCUAGACAGAUUUUGGUAUAAAUAGUAAUUGUGUAAAUACUAGUUUGAUUUGUAUAGGAAUAUACUAAGAAUUGUAUAUAUAGUAAUUGUACAAAUACUAGUUUGAUUUGUAUAAAUACUAGAUUGAUUUUAUUAUAAAAAAGUUUUAAGUCGUACGUGCAUGCGCCUACAAAGGCGCGUAUGCCCUUUAAUCCCGGUUGGAAAAACAAACCGGUACUAAAGGGGCUCGUGCCGCACCUGGCAUGACCGCCCCUUUAGUCCCGGUUGAACGACCCAGGACCAAAGAUCUGCCCCGUCUCAUAAAUUUUAUCCUGGAUGCUUUUUAGAGAGAUUUGAGGCCUAUCAACCAAGACUAAUAUCGAGUUUUCUACCAGUGGAACUAACUAACGUUCACAUGCUUCUGACAUUCACCUGCCAUUUGGUGUAGACAAGGGCACCCUAACAUAUGGUUAAUAUUAUUCAUGAAAGAAAAUCCUUUGAUUCAAAAAUACUUCAAACCUAAUAAUACAAUACUUCUCACAUCUGAAAAAUAUGAGAUGGCCCGACAGUAUUCUAACCGACGCAAUAAUAUUUUGAGGGCAGCACUACUACAGCGACCCUCAUUCGUGCCGGUGCUGGAACCCCUAUCACGACCCUGAUACAAAUGAGGGUACAUUAUUGUUGCCAGUGCUAGAAUAGCCACGAAUAACUUGCUAAACAUGCUGUUACACUCACUACUAGAAAAAUAACCUCUCGUCCUGAGGCUUAGUACCGGUCACUUUUUUGCCCAGUACUAAUGUUAGUAUUAGUACCGGAUCCAAAUUUGGGAUCCCCCAGAGACCCUUUAGUACCAGGUGGAGUCUCCACCCGAUACUAAAGGCUUUGUUACCGGGUGAAGGAUCCUCCCGGUACUAAUGGGGGAUUUUUAGUACCGGGUGGGAACCCCACCCGAAACUAAAAUCUCCCAUGCGGACCCCUCCCCCCCCCACGCGUUGCCUCUGUCCUCCCUCCUCCUCCUCUGAGUAGUUAUCCCUUCCUCAUCCCUCCUCCUCCUCCCACACGUGGGGUGAGGUGAGGUGGCAGUAGCAACGACAGGUGGUGUGGCGGGUCACGGCGGGCCGGAUGCGGAGCCGCAACGGUGGUCGGCGGGAUGGGGUGGGGCAGAGCGGCAUGGCAGGGCGGAGCGGUGGGACGGGGCCGAGGUGGAGGUGCCGGGCGGAGGUGGAGUGGCAGGACAGAGGCGGAGGCGGAGCGGCGGGUCGGCGAGCGGGUGGAGGGUGGCGACGAUGGGGCGGGCAGAGGCAGAGGGGUGGGUGGAGGGGCGGCGUGGUCCACCGGCGGGGGGGGGGGGGGGAGAGGGAGGCGUGGGGGGUGCGGUUGGUGAUUUCAAUUUUCUUUUAAUUUUUUAACACCCUUCAGUACCAGUUAUUUUAACCGGGUCUAAAGGGAUCCCCUCUUGUACCGAAUUGCUAGUACAGGAUGCACAACCGGUACUAGAGGGAGGUUCCCAACCGGUACUAGAGCCACUUUCCCCGGUAGUGACUUUUUCACCGAUUAGAAUAUGUUAUUAUUCUAAUCAGCUUUUGUUGAUCUCCUGUAUAAUUUAGUACCUAAUUCUACUAGCAAUUGUUAACGCCGACACGUAUUGGGUAUAGUCCUAACAGUGUCUAACUAGGGCACUACAUUUGUUAACCUAUAACUACUGGUAUCGAUUAGCCCUGGUUAGAAUACUGUCAAGGCAGCCAGAAAAAAUUGUUUGCCAAUUCUGCUAUCCAUCAGAACCAUGACUAGUACCGUAUUGUAAUAAACGAAUUACACAAAUAACUGAUGCACACAAAGGAAUAUGCACUCGCAUGUGCUAGACGUUCGUAGCAACAACAAAUUACUCUCAUCAUCAAUUAAACAUAAUAGAUUAAACAUUAACUGAACAUAGUUCAACACGUACAUCAACAAGACAAAGCAGUUUAAACAUCAACUGAACAGAACUGAAAACAUACAUCAACUGAUGAUAAACUUCGACAUGAACACAACACAUAAACAUCAACUUCAAUAGAACUUAAUAGAGCAUAUUAAACAACAACAUCGACAAAACAUAUAAACCCAGCUCAGUAGCUCAAGCAUCAACUAAAACUGCUGAAUUAAAAUAACAUAACAUAGUGUAGUUCAUCAUGAUGAUAACUAACAGAACCGAAAAGCCUAACUGGGUAAAAGAGCAAUUCAUUCAUAAUGCUUCAGCACUUACAUCACCGGAGUAUGCAACUGGCGGCGUCGCUUACGUCACUAUCACCGCGCUUGGCGAGUAAAGGAGGAGGAGGUGGCAUAGUAAUCGAAGAGGAGGCCGCUGUCGGCGGGUUUAGACUACGUGGAGGUGUGGGUAGGGUUAAGGUGGCUCUGUGGACGAGUAUAUAUAAGAGGUCUGGGCUUGUUAGAAUAAGAUAACAUUCUAACUGGCCAAAUUCGGAUCCGGUUAGAAUAAAUUGUUCUAACCAGCCUUAAUUCGAGGUGGUAAGGAUAAGUUAACAUUCUAAUCAGCUCUAUUUGGAGCCCGAUUGAAUGUUCUUGUUAUUCAAAAAAAGAUCAAGUUCAUCAAUUUUUUUCUAGAAAAACAUCAAGAUAAUUUAAACACGAUAUAUAACAAGAUUAAUACAUUUAAAAAUUGUUUUCUCCAAUAAUUAACGAUAUUUAACAAAUUCAAAAAAAAUCCAAAUUAACAGAACAUAAUAACCAAUUGUUCGAAAAAAUCAAAAUAGUCCACACAGUAUCAUAUUACAAAUUCAGAAAAAUAUCAAAAUAAUCCCUGAUCCACUCGAUACCGUCGUAGAACUUUGAAAUACUGAGCUUCUUGAUUCAUCUGAGGUCCACGUACUCGUCUCAGUAACACUAGUGGUGGCCAUGCAUCUUGUAGAUGUCUUCUAAUGAAUUAAGCUUGACAUACAAGGUCGUGCCUUCCACUCCUUGAGGAUUGCUUAUGACGUUUCUGCAAAUAACGAAGCAUUGCUUUCUCCAACAUGAUUAUUUUCUUCGGCUUAUCCCAAGGGACAACUAUGGUUUUCCCCUUGCCGGAAGAGGAACGAUGAUCGCCCCCACCAUCGCCACUUCCUCCAGUAGCAGAAGCCAUCUAUGUACAAAAAUUCAUACCUUAGCACUACAGAACUUGUUGAACUUGAAGACUGUGAUCAUUAGGCGAGCAUGUUCUCAACUAGGUGGCACCGCACUUCGUCAUGGAAGAGCUUCGAUUUUACAAAAAAGGGGACAUGAUCUUCCAUGAUGUCCGUAUCCGCUCUUUCUCGUAGAAUCAGAGCUCCUCCUUGAUAUACGAUGCUGCUCGGCGGAGAACAUGCUCACCGAGAUGAACACGGUAUGCAAGUUCAACAAGUAUGGAUUUGAAAAACCAUAUUGAAUUUGACAAGACAAACUAUCUAGAUAAGCGUAGCAUCAUUCUUAAACCACUGCAAGGAUACGUACUAUAUAUGACACAUCAAUCUCCCUCACAUUCUAGCUCAAAAUACCUCUCCAUUUUCUACUUCACAUUCUAGCAAAUAAACUAUCUAUCUCCAUUCUACACAUCAAGUUGUUUUAACUAAUACAAAUCGUAUAUAACAAGCAAAAUAUCCAUCACAUUCUAGCUCAAAAACAUGUAUAAAUACAAAUCCUCUUCAUUCUCCCUUUUUCUAACAAACAAACUCAUUUUUCUCCCUCUCCAAAGCAUAAAUUAAAGCGUAACAUGAGGAUGAGGUAGCAAACCUUCACAACACAUUGGAUGAGUGAAAUUCCCACGAAAAUGAGGGAAAAAAAUUCGGGCAGCACCUCCCUUGCUUCGGCACCUCUAGAGAGUAGGUGAAGCUCAGUUCUCUAUUUUUGUGGUGGACUAGCUUGGGCUGGAGGAGGAAGAAAGGCCUCUGUCUUGGUAUAUAAUGGGGGAUGAGUUUUUAUCCCAGUUAAAAGCUCCAACUGAGACAAAACGGCCAAUCUUUUGUCCCGGUUGGAGCCUCCAACCGGGACAAAAGGGGCACGCCAUCGACGCACGGGAGCUAGCCGUUACAACCGGGACUAAAGGGGGGCCUUUAGUCCCGGUUGCAAAUACCAACUGGGAUUAAAUCUCCCCUCCAUUUUUGCCUACCGUGGUGCGCCCCCUUUUAUCCCGGGUCAACUUUAAACCGGGACAAAAGGGGGCGUCGAAGAUCAGUUCUCUACUAGUGACCCCUCCCCACCUAUCUCUCUCCCUCCAUGCUCCUCGAUCUGUGCCUCCCCUCCCCUCCCCUUCCACUCGCCCCUCACCGACGGUAAGGAGCAGCGGCGGGGCGAGGUGAGGUGGCAGCAGCAAUGGCAGGUGGUGGGUCGCAGCGGAGCGGCUACGGUAGGCAGCCGGACGGGGCAGAGCGGCGGGGCGGGGUGGAGGCGGAGGUGGCGGGUAGAGGCGGAGCGGCGAGGCGGAGGCGGAGGUGGAGGCGGAGUGGUGGGACGGCAGGGCCGGGCGACUAGUAUAGGUGGGCGGGCGGAGGGCGGCGACGGCGGAGCGGGCGGAGGCAGAGGGGCAGCGGGGGCCGCCGGCGGGGGGUGUGAUCGGGGAUUUCAAUUUUUUUUAAAUUUUUUAACACCUUUUAGUCCAACUGGUUCUAAAGGGACCCCUCUAGUAUCAAAAUUGCUAGUACCGGUUGCACAACCGGUACCAGAAGUGGUUCCUAACUGGUACUAGAGCCACUUUCCCUGGUAGAGACUUUUUUACCAGUUAGAAUAUGUUAUUAUUUUAAUCAGCUUUCGCUGAUCGCCAGUAUGAUUUAGUACCUAAUUUUACUGGCGAUUGUUACCGCUGACACGGAUUGGGUAUAGUCCUAACAGUGUAUAACUACGGCACUACAUUUGUUAACCUAUAACUACUUGUAUCGAUUAGCCCUGGUUAGAAUACUGUCAAGGCAGCCAGAAUUUUUUUUUUUUGCCAAUUCUGCUAUCCAUGAGAUCCAUGACUAGUACCGCAAUGUAAUGAAUGAACUGCACAAAUAACUGAUGCACACAAAAGAAUAUGCACUUGCACGCUAGACGUUCGUAACAACAAAUUACUCUCAUCACCAAUUGAACAUAAUAGAUUAAACAUUAACUGAACAGAAUUCAACACGUACAUCAACACGACAAAGCAGUUUAAACAUCAACUGAACUGAACUGAACACAUACAUCAACUGAUGAUAAUUAUCGACAUCAACAGAACACAUGAACAUCAACAUCAAUAGAACUUAAUAGAGCAUAUUAAACAACAACAUCGACAAAACAUAUAAACCCAGCUUAGUAGCUCAGGCAUCAACUAAAAUUGCUGAAUUAAAACAACACAACGUAGUGUAGUUCAUAAUGCUUCGGCGCUUACACCACUGGCGGGUCGCUUACGUCGGCAUCACCGCGCUGGCUGAACCUCCGACACCCCCACCACGGCAAACGGAGGUGAUGGCGGAAGGUGAGGCAACGACAGUAGCUGGUGAGCUCCCGCUCCAAUGUCUCGCGAGUAAAGGAGGAGGAGGUGGCAUGGGAAUCGAAGAGGACACUAGUAGAGAAACGACUUUCCAUCCACCCCCUUUUGUCCCGGUUUAAAGUUGGCCCGGGACAAAAGGUUCACCAACCGGGAUUAAAACUCGGUCACUGGUGGGGGGCUCACCAACCGGGACCUUUUAUCCCGGUUGCAAAGGCUAGUGGGAAAAAAUUACUCUGAGAGGCCUUUUAUCCCGGUUUGAAACACCAACCGGGAUAAAAGACCCCCCCUUUUAUCCCGGUUGGUAACACCAACCGAGAUAAAAGGGUCAAGAGCCUUUUAUCCCGGUUGGAAACACCAACCGGGAUAAAAGGGGGUCUUUUAUCCCGGUUGGUGUUUCCAACCGGGAUAAAAGGGUCCCCCACGAGUUAAUACAAAAGGAUAGUAUCCCCUACAUAGUCAGAUGUGGUGUGUAGGUGGGAUGGUAAGGAAGCUACGCGCGAGGCUGGAGGUUGUGGGUUCGAAUCCCACGAACCGCGCACGCGCAUAUUUCGCGUGAAAAAUCGCGUGACUUGCGACUUGCGCGUGUGGGGGGGCCUCCUGGGAGCUCGGGAAUUUUUUUUUUUUGCAGCGCCGGCCGUGGGUGAACCCUUUUAUCCCGGUUGGUAUUACCAACCGGGAUAAAAGGGGGUCUUUUGUCCCGGUUGAGUGACCCGGGAUAAAAGACCCCCCCUUUUGUCCCGGUUGGUUUAUCCCGGAUGCAUUUUCGAGAUCUUUGCACCCUACCAACCGGGAUAAUAGGUGAGUUCUCCACCAGUGGGAGGCCGCCGCUGGCGGGUUUAGACUACGUGGAUGUGUGGGUAGGGUUAAGGUGACGGUGUGGACUAGUAUAUAUAAGAUGUCUGGGCUUGUUAGAAUAAGAUAACAUUCUAACCGGCCAAAUUCGGACCCGGUUAGAUUAAAUUGAUAUUCUAACCGGUCCUAUUUCUAGGUGGUAAGAAUAAGUUAACAUUGUAAUUGGCUUUAUUUGGAACCCGAUUGAAUCUUCUUGUUAUUCAAAAAAACAUCAAGUUCAUCAAUUUUAAUCCAGGAAAACAUCAAGAUAAUUUAAGCACGAUAUAUAACAAGAUUAAUACAUUUAAAAAUUGUUUGAUUCACAAAUUAACGAUAUUUAACAAAUUCAAAAAAUCCAAAUUAACAGAACACAAUAACCAAUUGUUCGAAAAAAUCAAAAUAAUCCACACACAUUAAUAUAUUACAAAUUCAGAAAUAUAUCAAAAUAAUCCCCGAUCCACUCGAUACCGUCAUAGGACUUUUAAAUACUGAGCUUCUUGAUUCGUCUGAGGUCCACCUACUCGUCUCAGUAACACUAGUGAUGGCCAUGCAUCUUGUAGAUGUCUUCUAACGAAUCAAGCUUGACGUACAAGGUCAUGCCUUCCGCUCCUUGAGGAUAACCAUCUUUGGUGAUCUUGAAAUGGCAGACGGUGGAUGUGCCAAAGGUACGUGACGAUCCUUCUAAAUGUAUGCCACCACAACUUCCGUCUGAUCGCCAUGGGUGACACCAAGAAGAGCUACCAUGCGGCAAGGGACGAACAAUUUAUCAAUUAGUGCCGCUGUCCAUCGCCAUCAUCUAAUCCAGCCAUAUCUUGUUGUAUAUUUAAGUAUAGAAAUUAAGAUUUAAAAAUAAACAGAAUAAAUUGAGAUCGAUUAUGUAUGUAUAUCAGAACAUUAGCUUUUGGAAAAAGGGCUUCGAUGGAAGAGAGGCACGGGGCAUAGAGACAACAACGAGUGACAAUAUGUCAGAAGAAUACCCGAUCACAAUUAUUGGCACACACAGCCGAUAUUUACAGUAGUCAAUACCCCUGGUAAAUAACCACACCAUCAAGAGUAAAUAGUGACAAUAUGCAGUAUAUACACGACAUAGCCUUGGCUGCCGUGGAAGCACCAGAAGGGAGACAAAUAACAGGGACCACUACAUCAAGUAGAUAGUGACAAUAUGCAAAAGAAUACCCGCGCCUGUUAGCAUGUGUGAACUGACCACACCACGAAACGUGAUACACGGCAAGCGUACCAAGGCCUUGCUGUGCAGACUAUGCAUGGACAACACAUGGUACCUGACCGCUUUUGGCCUCAGACACAUCAAAAACUGCAUCGUUCCACGUUGUACAUCCAUUGCUAGUUUAUCUAUAUUACAUAAUAUAUUAUUAGCUAUUUGAAUAGAAUGAACCAAUUAAAAAAUUACGUUGUAUUUUAGUACCGGCUGCAGGAUGGUGUUACCAACCAGUACUAAUUGGCCUGUAGGAGUGAUGGUUAUUAGACUUGGUACUGUUGUUAGCAUCAUUAACCUAAUUGUGCGCCGUAUGAAUUUGGGGAUGCAAAGCUAGCUCUCUAUGAAUGUGAGGGAUGGAAAGCUAGUUCUCUAGUAGUAAUUAUAUAUAUGACAGUCAGGAAAUCGAACACUAUGCUGCUACGAGUCACCAUCAUUUCCUUCAUUGACAAUCUGACAUAGGUGAAGCUGCUUCAAUAAUUUCCUUCGCGCAGUCGUGGAGCUUAUUGGAUUAUCACCAGGACGGGACACGGAAAUGGCCAGCAAUGAAGCUGAUUGCCGUCUGAGGAAGACUACAUACUUACCUAUGAAAUGAAGCGAUUGCAUAGACUAAUGAAGCAUUGCAUAUUUGCAUGUGAGUGUGGCAGAUAAUUCUGCAGGACAUGAUUGCAAUCCACGCACCAUCGAGAAGACUGGGGCGAUGGGGUUGCCUCAUCAAUAAUCACGUGGAUGCAUGCAUGCAUGUUCCCUCAACCGGACAAGGGUCUGAUAUAUGGCUAUAGUAUUACUGAGCCCACAUCAAUAAUUUCCGCUGGUGUAUCGUGUGGGAAGAAUCAACAUACUACACCUCUGAGUUCUUGGAACUAACUGACGUUCACAUGCAACCUCCACAAGGUGCUGUAUGCUUUUGACAUUCACCUGCCAGUUCGUGUAGAGGACACCCUAACGUAUGGUUAAUAUUAUCCAUUUCAUGAGUAAAAUACUGUGAUUCAAAAAUACUUCAAAUCCCUUGAGACAAUACUUCUCACUUGACUAACCACUAACCAACCCCGAAACCCUAACUCAACUCCGAACCCUAACCCCUAACGGCAUAACCACUCCGUUUUGCCGGCGAGAUGGAGGAACUGGCUGGAAGGUAGAGAGGGCAGCGGUCCAGGGUUGAAAACGACGGGCGAGCGCAGUAACAUGUGGAGGAGGAAGUGCCACGUAUUCGUUCACCGCUAUUGGGCAGCGACACACGACACGCCCAAUAAGAUCUUCGCACGGUAGAAGGACGUCAUGUAUUCAAUAAUGUUAUUGGUCCCCCAUGUGCAGAAGGGCGCGCGCGUAUGGAAUAACAAGUAGGGACACUGCAACUAAUCUACUCUGCUCGUCCAGUCCCUAGCCUAUAAAUAGAUGCCAUGCUAGCUCUUGUUGUGCUCACAAUUAAUCCGAUUACACACGAGCUUCUCUCCCUGGCCAAGACACAACCAUAGUAUGAUGAAGAACAUGGCACUAGCCGGCAAUGGUAUGAAGAAGUUAAUCCUCGCUGUUCUCUUACUGUGUCUAGUUAUAGGGCAGAUACAAGUGGAAGCUAAGAGCUGCUGCCCAUCCACCACUGCAAGAAAUGUCUACAAUACCUGCCGUUUCACGGGUACAUCCCGUCCAACGUGUGCAAAACUGUCAGGCUGCAAAAUUAUCAGCGGGAACAAAUGCAAGCCCCCUAACGACCACCUCACCCUUGACCCGGACACUGGUAAAUAAUAAAUUUAUCUCACUUGAUUUCUUCGUGAUUUGAGUCGUUAAUGUAUUUUCCAUCUGAUGAAACGUAUUGGUUUUGCAUUGAAGAGGAAGUUAAUGUGCUUAACUUCUGCAAGUUGGGGUGUGCGUCGUCUGUGUGCAACAACAUCAACGCUGGUAAGCAACUUUUGCUCAGACAGAGAAAACAAUAAUCAUUAAUUAGCGGCAGCUAGAAUCCUAUAAUCUAAUAUAUAUAUAUAUAUAUAAUUUUAUCAGCUCUGGGAAAUGAAGAGGCGAACGAUGCCGUUGAGAGUUGCGACCAAGCCUGCUCUAGCUUCUGCAGCGUGCAUGUUGGCAGCGCCACCGUGGUUGCUUAAGCAAAUGCAUCCAACUAGAUCGUCCUUGUGCUGAAUAAUUGGAUAUCGUAUCCACUUAAAGCUGCCUUGUGUAGUACGUCUUUGUGUCUCUCUUUAUAUUCCAAUAAGGUCGGUGAUCUUGAUGCCACACACUCAGAUGUGUGUUCAUCUCCAGAUACUACUCCAUGCUACCUGCCCUUUGUGUUUUGUUCAAUAACUGGGUAUCAUAUCCCAGCCAGUAUGCCGUCUGUUUUGUGUUUGUUUCCUUCUAGUUCCAAAGGGGUCAUCAUGAUGUUACCUUCUUUCAAUAUGGUGCUUUGCAUGACUACUGUUGUAUGGUACCAUCUUGUGGCCAAUAAGUACAUCUUAUCCUAUGACCUUUGCUAUGACCCUUUGCAAAUAAGUAGAAGAUUGUUAUAAGCGUCAAUACUCCGUAUAAAUUGAUCGCUGCUGUGAGUUCCCUUUCAGCUUAUCGUAGGCAUACAUUAUUGCUAGCACGGUAAAGCCAACCAACACGAAUGAUGAAGUAAACGUAGCGGUACUUCUGUAUACCAACACCCUUACUUAAAUGUACCGGUGUCAUUCCCUACUGGCACAUAUAUUCUUAUAUGCUAGCCAGCUUGUAAAAUUAACCAAUUAAAAUAAUUAUUUCAAGAUAGAAAUAACUUAUCGGUUUCUGGAAGCAUGUGUAAUGUGAAUUCAAGGACUCGACGGAAGUUGAAUCACUUCAUCUAUAUUGCUUUCAGUAUUUUGGGUAACUAAAUUUAACAUUUGCACAUACAAAUGUUAAAGUACAAAUGUUAAAUCUAGUUACCCAAGCAGAAUAUGAAGAUAGUUUAUAGUAUAUAUAUACUAUAUAAAUCUAGUUAACAUUUAGUCUAAAUGUUAAAUCUAGUUACCUAAAAUCCUGAAAGCAAAAUGUAUAAAUAUAUAUCUUUUAAGGCAGUAUAAGCUUCGAUUCCUAUUGCUGCUCUGUUAAAUCUCAUCUUUCGUUGUGGCCCAACACUCUAGUAUGCAUGUUGCACCAAGCUUCUUUGAGCCGCUCUGCCCUCUGAUUUUGCUGCGUAGGGGAAUCUUUAUCAGGUUGGGCUACUUCCAGUUGUGCGAUGUAAAGAUUCGUAUUUUCUAGAAGGUAGACAAAAAACUCGCGUUCUCUUAAGGCAACAACCGGAAGAUUCUGCAGCGCACAGGGCAUACCAUUAUUGUAGAAACGACCUUUAGUACCGAUCUCCAACCCCCUUUAAAACUGGUUUUGCAACCGGUACCGUUAUGUCGGUCCUUUAGUACCAGAUCAAAUAAGUACCGGUUGGUAACCAGUAUCAACUUGUUUUGCGGCCAAAAAAAUAAAGAAAAAAACAGUCAGAAGGCUCGCGCACACGCGCAUCACAUGAAAUAUGCGUGUGCGGGGUCCAUGGGAUUCGAACCCAUGAAAUCAAGCUGCGCGCGACCCUUCGUUACCAUCUCACCUACAUAGCGCAUAUGCUUUCCUGAAGUAACCCGUGGAGGAGGCUUUAGUACCGGGUCAUAACACCACCCGGUACUAAAAAUGACUCUUCAGUACCGGGUCAUAACACCACCCGAUACUAGUAUCGGAUGGUGUAAUGACCCGAUACUAAAAGGCCUCUAGGGACCCUCAAAUUUGAACCCGGUACUAAUGCUAAUAUUAGUAGCGGGUCAAAGUGCAGCCAGAACUAAAGCAUGGGAUGAAAGGUCAUAUUUCUAGUAGUGUAUAGUUGUUGUGAAGGACUGACUUGGCUGUCCUCUCUCUUCUCCAUCCCCUUGGUCUUACGCCGCCGCUCGCACGCGAGCCGGUGCCCAACCAGAGGAGUGAGAGCUAGGGGCAGGUUGGGAGGUGGGGAUAGUGACUGGUGGCCAGGGUGAUGGUUGAUCCUGGUGGGGUUAGGGUUUUAGGGUUUUCGAGCUUCCUAUGGUCGGCGAACCUAGAGGAGGAGCUCAACAUCAGCUGCAACCCGCGAUGGUGGUGGUUUGGCCGGCGCCCGAGGCGAGGCAGCGCGGGAGUGCUGCCGGUGGGUUGGUGUUGGCACUCAUUAUUGACAACUAUUUUGUUCAUAAAAUAACACUCAAACUUGCUGCUGCUGCUGCUGCUGCCAUCGCCACCCUAGCCAUAAUAUAAAGGCAAAAUUUGCUAAAGGACAUGCAAAAUGAUGCUAGUUUGCUGGCGGGCAUCGUUGACCUUGUAAUAUGCUACAAGACACUCUAGUUGUGUAUCAAUUUGCUGAAAGACAUUGCUAUGACUAAAAUAAUGUUUCUGGACUGAGUUGGAGAGAGAGAUGGAGUGAAAUGUCUGUUUUGCCCAUGACCCCACUGGUCAGAUCCUUCUUCUUCCACCCUCCUUUGUUCUUUCUUCAACCAUUACCCAGCUCCAGCGUGUUGCAGAUCUACGAGGGUGGCGGCCUGGGGCGAGGGGCAUCGCUCGCCCUUGGAGGAGCGCUGCGAGCGACGGCGCGGGGGCGGCAACAGCGCGUCAGAACCUGACUGUUCGUUAGCUCCUCUCGCUGCUGGGGAAGGAGGGGGAUGGGCCAUGGACGGGGUUCCCUUGAAAACCUCAGCGUCGAGCUCGGGCGGCUACGCGCAGGCAGCACUAGGCUGCUUCACGGGGAGGGGGCGCGGCCAAUCAUUGGCACCCCACUGGUCCAAUGCUGAUGAAGAUGGUGCCAGCGUCGUGUGAGGACAUCUCAUCUCCUCGAGUUCCAUGGCCAGCACAGGUGAGCUGCCGCUACCACAAAACAGAGGUUUCGUGAGAGUCAAAAAACCUUAUGAAAAUAGCUAAAACCAUCAUGAAAAUAAUCCGUGACAUGACACUCUCACGAAAAUCCUCUCACAAAUAUGGUGCCAUGAAAAUACCAUUUUCAUGAGAGUGAACUGUCAUGAUUUUAUUUCGUGAGAGUAUUUCCUAUCAAUGACCUCCACGAAAUACUUUGUGCCACCAGGUCUUCAAGAUCAUUUUCAUGAGAGCUGAACAUCAGGAAAAGUCCGCCACAAAUGUUUUUCUUGGAGCCCCUAACUCUCAUGAAAAUCAUGCGGGCCGCCACGAAAAACAGCAUGACCAAAUGACAAAUUUCAUUUUCAUGUGUUCAUACCGCCAUGAAAAUGGUCAUUUUCAUGAGAGUUGAUGAAACAAAAAAUAGUGCCAUUUUCAUGAGAGUUCAAGCAACCAGGAAAAGACACUAAUAAACAUCCAGAUCCCAUCCAGCACACAUCCAUGCACAUAUAUAACCCACAUAUUGCUCCAGCACACAUCCAUGCAUAUACAAGAUCCAAAUGUUAAUAUAGUAGACAUCCAUGCCUGAACUAGUCUGCCACACAAGUCAUUGAUGCUACAAAUCCUACAAUCGCAGCAUGUGCAUACAAGUCACAGAAUGAGACAAUGUACCCAAAACUAAAAGGUUAGCAUCAACUGUGCUUCAACCAAAGUUGUCAUCCCAACUCUCCUCUUCAUCCAUGCCAUUCUUGUCGUGGCCGUCACUGUCAGUCCCCAUGGCAUUGCCAAUGCUGUGCAUGUCUUGGUAGGAACCUACAUGUGAUGAACUAGUAACCUGCAAAAAGAGCUCAAAGGAUCUUGUUCUCAUAUUGUAGCUGUGAAAUUCUUACAAGUAGUGUUGCAAUCAGUUCACUUUGAACCAAAAGAGCUCAAAGGAUCUUGUCCUAAAAGUUCCUCAUAAAGCUUAUGGGUUUGCUGGUGGAACUGGAAGGGCUUGAUGCAGCAGAUGCCAUUCUGCAAUAGAGAAAAAUUUAGAGAGCAGUACUAGUUAAAAUUGGAUGCAGAAGAUACACAUGAAACUAGUAUUUAUACAAGUCUAUACAAUUAAAAUCUAAGGAGACUUAUCAUCGUUUUCAUGUGUUGUGAAUUAAAAUAAUGAAGGAUACACUGUUAGGUGAAAAUUCAAGAAACAAAAUUUUGCAUAGAGAUAAAGGUCCAACAUUAUUACAAGUUAAGGUAGUUUUAAAUAUCCUUGUAAUCUUCCUUUGGUUUCCUCAACGAUUCGAAGACAAUAACCUUGCUUCUAUCAAUGAUAAUUAUAAGGAGAAUCCAGUGGAAACUGUGUAUUCGUAUUAGAACUACCUAAGGUUAAUUAGGUUAGGAAAGGAAAUUGAAAAUAGAUGGUACCCACACUUACUUAAAGUUGUCGGGCAAUAGUAUGUAAUGCUUGUAAUUCCGUUGCUCCAAGAAUUUGUAUAUGUGGUCCAAUGUAGACUUUGGUUGAUCCCGUAUCUGCUGUUGGUUAAAUAAGUGUUUCUAGCCAUUUCUAGCCAUUAGAACCGGGACUAAAGGGGGCUCUUUAGUACGGGUUGAUAUUACUAACCGGGAUUAAAGAGCCCCCAUUAGAGUUGGUUUUUGGAUGCGGAACUAACAACUCCUUUAGUCCUGAGUACGAAAACAACUGACAUAUUUGUUGCUGGAUGGAAGGUCCUUUCUCUACCGUGAAUAUUGCCAGAAAGAAUUGAAAGAGACUGCUUGCUAAAAAUAUGUCAUAGAUGUAGACCAAGCUACCAAGGAGGUAGACCAAACAUGAUACACACCAUGCGUACCUUGCUGUGCAGACUAUGCAUUGACAAGAUACCCGACCACAUGUUGGCCUCGGUCACAUCAAAAGAAUCAUGUAGGCCACCAAUAAACUACUUGAAGCGGCAUUCCGUAUCGUAUAUGCAUUGCCGGUUCAUCUGCAUUACAUUACAUAAAGCACUAUUAACUAUUUGAAUAAAAUGAACCAAUUUAAAAGUAAUGUGUUGUACUCUACUAUAGAAAGCCCUAUCACUGCCGGAUCCAAAAACAUCAUUGUUAAUGGUGGUUAAGUACCAAAUAUGACGGUCAAUAUUCUCAAGAAUAAUGGAGAAUUAGCAUUUCUUAGACACAUAUUUGGUUUUGAACAAUGUAGUUCCACAUGUCUUUGGAGAUUAUUUGGGUGUGGGUGAAAUAAUACAAAAAUAAGGAGAAAACACACUCCCAUGGCGAAGAAACACAACUCCAACCAAUGAGAGAUAGCCACAGGGGCAGCACACGGAUCCAUGGGCCCACUAACCGCAUCAAACCAUCUUACCAAGGCAGGUAGCACCCACAACCGUCAUUAGGACCCACCUGGAAGUCUACCAAGAAGAAGGUUGCGAGUGGGGCCAGGAGGGGUUCGGUUGAAUCAUCUCUAGCUAGCUCCCCUCAUCCCCAGCUGGUGGGUGGUGGUGGUUGAUGGUGUCCCUACAUCAGUUAGAGGAGAUUCCCCCAAAUAUUCCUCCUGUAAACCACCUCUAUGGACCUAUACAUAGAGGGGUGUGCUCUCCAUUCCAACACACACCACAAGUUGAAUCACUCUCUCCCUCUUUAGUUUCCAAGUUUAUGGAGUUAGGCUAGAGUAGCUCUGCUCAAGGUUCCAAGUCCACUUGGAGUUAAGCAUAUGUCUCUUGUAUCGUUAUUUCCUAAAUUGACUUUAUGCUUAGUUCUUAUAUGCAUGAGUUAGUCUAAUACCCUUGCUAUAUUGAUAUGCUCGGCUUAUAUGCUCGUAUGCUAGUCAUAUACCCUUGCUGUCGUAGUAUAGGCUUAUAUGCUCUCAUGUGUGCCUGUAGACCUUGCUAUAGUAUAUACUUGUUGUGCAUACAUACCAUGUAUAGGCUAGUCGAUCUAUACCAUGGCAUUGGUUCAAUAGCCAUGUUUUUGGUGGCUCCAACCCUAGUCACAAUAGCUCGGGACAGCUGGAGUGUUGUUAAAAAUGCAAGAGUGGUGCUUGGGUUGUUUAGCAUCGUUGGAUAUGGGUUUGCCCCACGGGUUUCUAACGGUAGGCGGCAGCUAGUGACAUCCCUGUCCGUCCUUCGUAAUCCCCCCACAUUCAGGUACGCCAUAAAUGUUCGUAAAUUAGCAGUAACUACGCCGGUACACCUGUAGGGUAUUGUCUCCCUGUAGUACCUUGGUGCAUAGAACUAAGUCCUAUACACUGUGUGUGUAUGUUUACGCUGAUAUGAUCUGUGCAGUAUAUAGGAUGUAUAUAUGAACCUAGAGCUAACUCCUAGUCCGUUCUCCAUAGCUUAGUUAUCUUGAGAUGAUUCUUCUGUAUGUGUAACACUACCCAUCUUAUCAUUAUCCUUGAUCCUGUCUUGUGUAAUAUAUCUACUCAUCCUAUGAUAUACUCAUAUGCAUAGUAAACUAUUUUGACCUACCCGCCUUCCUUUGGGAAAUAUGAUACCUUGGAAUAAUCCUAGGUGAAAUCCUACAACGGUAUAUCCAUGUAAAUGCGGAUUUAUUCAUGACCAUUAAAUAUACCAACAAUCAUCACUGUGAGUUUUGGGCGUCGUUAGUGAAGGGUUGGUAGUGAUGGGCAUCCCCUUCACCAAUGGACCUGGAACCGGCGGUGAUGGCUAUUAUAAAAAAGGGGACACCACCCAGCGUACCCCACGACCCGGCCGGCCGCACCUCCCAUCAUCCCCGCCAGCCGCCCUUCCUUUUCGCCGGCCGAGCAUGGUCCCGGCCUUUGUCCCUACCACCUCGCCUCCACCGCGACCCCCCGCCGAUGCCCUCGUGCCUGGCCCCCCUCAUCUUGCCGGCCACCCUCCCGAUGCGUCCACUGGGGCCCUCGCACCACCAACCGCCCUUGCUUAGAGAGGGAGAGAGAGGAGGGAGGUGAGGCCACGCACCUCGUCCUACACCGCCGCUGUUUCUCCUCGGCCCACCGCGCCUCACCCCACACCACAGCCGCGCCUUGCCAUCUUACCGGCUGUGACGCCUCAUCUCACCGGCCACCGUUCCUCACCCCCACUUCGGUCGUCGCCGCUCCUUGCCCUACCGCUGCUCUUUGCCGCUGCGAAUGAGCGCCGAGUGGAGGAGGAGGGAUGGGGCAGGAGGAGGGCAAGAUCCGGGAGGAAGGGAGAGAUCUCGGGAGGUGGAGAUGGAAGGAUAUGGCGGAAGGGAGAGAUCCAGAGGGAGAGAGCAGGGGAGAGAGGGGGGCGUGUGGGGAGAGAGCGCGUGUGGGGUGGGGCCGGGCUGGUGGGAUGGAAGGGAGAGGGGCUAGACGGGCGCAGUGCAUUCAACUGGAUGAAGUAAAUAUUUUGGAUUCGAGACCCCAGCUUUAUUAUCACCGCUGGUCCGUAGUACCAUCCGGUGCCUGCUCGUAAUUUAAUUUGAAUCUGCGGUGAUGUUUUAUUAUCACCAUCGGAUCAUAUAAAAAUCCGGCGGUUAAAAAUCCGCUGGUUUCGAUGAAAACCGACGGUGAUAGGAUGACUGUGAUAGUCUCUUCUCUAGUAGUGGUAUAUUAGUACCGGCUGCCGGAUGGUGUUGCCGACCAGUACUUCUCCGGGGGCGAUUCAGUACUGCUGUUAGCAAAGCUUGUUCUCUAUGAAUUUGGGGAUGGAAAGCUAGUUCUCUAGUUGUGAUUUGUUACAUAUAUAUCUAUGAUAGUCUAGAAAUUGCAUGUCCUUCGUUGACAUAGUUGAAGCUGCUUCAAGAAUUUACUUCGUGCAGUCGUGCAGCAUAUUGGAUUAUCACCUAGACAGGAUACAUAGGUGAAGCAUUGGAUGUGAUUGUGGCCGAUAAUUAUGCAGGACGCUGUUGCAAUCAACCACCAAGAAGUCUGGAGUGAUGGGGUUGCCUCAUCAAUAAUUUUUAUAUAUGGCUGCAGUAUUAUUAAGCCCACGUCAAUAAUUUUUUGUCCGCACCAUAUAUCGAUGGGGUUGCCUCAUCAAUAAUUCGCGCAACCAGACAAGCUGCAGACUCAAUAUGGUACGAAGCUAGUUGCUCAGCCCACAUGCUCUGAUAUAACAUUGACAUCUGCUGAUCUACAGUAUAUAUGACCAGAAAUAUUGUGCCCACCUCAAUAACUUUCUGAAGUAUCGUGGGGAAGAACCUACGCGUACUAUGCCUCGGAACUAACUGACAUAUCGGCCCAGGCGGUCUAGGCCGAUUGGACUGGCUCUUCCUUGUGGCUUCUCACAUCCCCUUCGUCCCCAAGUAAUUUCAGGUGUUCUGUAGUUUUCUUUUCACUUGCAUCUGAGCCUCCUAUAUCAAUAGCUUCGGGAUAAGAAUGCCUCUUGAUAACCUUCCAAAUCCUCGCUUGAUUCACAUUGAUUCCGAAAUCAUCUUGCCAUAUCUUCAGAGACUUAGGUCCUAAGGCAUCAUGGAGGAUUGCUCGCCAAGAAUGAGCACCAUUGGGCUCCUGAGGACCCUAGGCCGAUCAGCCCGGGCUCUAUAGGUCGAUUGGCCCAGGCCCUCUCUGGGCCUGUUGGCCUUCAUCUUUCUUUGAGUCGACGCUUAUUCAGGGCUUUGUCCAAUUAUAGUCCAUUAUAGUCUAAUUUCCUAAAAAACAGAAUGUCCUCCAAAAUACAAUGCAUAUGUGAAAACAACCCAAUUAUUAGGUAUGAUCAAUAGUUUAGGUAUUAAAUUAAUAUUAUUAUUUAAGAUAAACAGGGGUAAAGGGUGUCAUUAAUAACAAGCGCCAACAAGCGUCCUAGCUGUUCAAUAAAUUUUUUCUAGUACCGAUUGGUAACACUAACCGGUGCUAAUAUGUACCCUUUAUUACCGGUUAUUUUACCAGGUACUAAAGGAGACAAGAGCAUCCUAACAUAAGGUUAAUAUCAUCCAUUUCAUGAGUAAAAUACUAUGAUUCAAAAAUAAUUCAAAUCCCUUAAGACAAUACCUAUCAAAUGAGUAAAUUGUAAAUAGAGUAAUCUUGAUCAAACAAUGUCCUAAUGAAACGGAACACUUCUGGUUCGUGUAGAGCACAAUAUAGAAAACAGUAGGGUAGCUGUAUGAUUGACACGUGGUCCAUUAAUUAUUGAGCCAACACUAUGGACAUGUCUUCAUGAGUAGUGUACUAGUCAUAAUACAUGGUAUGCAGUAGGUGGAGGUAUUGACUUAGCCAUGCUAUGAGCACUUAGUUACAACAAACACUUUGCCAUUAUCGAGCAUCCCAAAUCACUACAAAAUCCAUAGUUUACCAUAUACUACAAAAUCUGAGUUAAAAUAAGAGCAUACACGGAAGAGUCCGAAUGCACGGCACAUUGAAUUACUAGACAAAAUUUAUGGGACAAGGUUUUGGGUAACCGCAUGAAAAAUAUUGGAUUUUACUGAACACUUAGUUACAAUUACCAUGCCCGUGAGCACUUAGUCACCACAAACAUUUAACCACUUUAGAUCAUCCUGAAUCCCUAUAAAUUCUAUACCUUACACCGUACCAUGAAAACGACAAGAACAGAGACAGAUGCGGUGAAAAUCUCCAGAGCAAGCCUGAAAUUAAAAUAAGAGGAGGCAGUCACUAUCGACAGGACACGGAGAUUGCUAGCCAUGACAGAGGAAGACAUGAUAUGAUAUUCACCUCUGAAAUGCAGCGUAGACUAAAUGAAGCACAAUUGCAAGUGAGUGUGGCAGAUAAUGGACCAUCGAGACCAUCGAAUGGUAUGAAGCAUGAUUAUCACCUAGACAUGAUAUCCUAGACAGGACGGUGAAUUGUAAAAAGAGUAAUCUUGAUCAAAGAAUGUCCUAAUGAAACGGAACAUUUUUGGUACGUGUAGAGCAAAAUAUAGAAAACAGUAGAGUAGUUGUACGAUUGAAACUGCAUCCAUCGACGUGGUGCAUGAAUUGUUGAGCCAACACUGUGGACAUGUCUUCAUGAACACCAUCUAGUGAGGACAGCAUGCAGAAAAAUAUAAAAACAUGUCAUAGGGAGGCAGACCAAUCUUGCGAGGUAGACGAAACGUGAUACACGAUCUGCCUACCUUGUCGUGUGGAUACCCCAAGUGAAGAUGUCAUAGAGGUGCAGACCAAGCUAGCAAGGAGGUAGAUGAAACGUGAUACACGGCCUGCCUACCUUGCCGUGGAUAUUAGUCCUGAUAUCAUUCUAUUGUUCAAGGAAUAACACUCAAUGCUGCUGCUGCUGCUGACCUGGCUCCAUAAAGUUAUAUUCCUCUAGCCGCUUGCACUAACUUUAUCUGAAGUAUUAUUCUCUCUGCACUGUAUAUAUGGUUACGGAGUUUGCUGGAGUAUCCGGGGGGAAGAACCUACAUAAUAUGUCUUGGAACUAACUGACAUUGAUUCACAGACAAGGUGCUGUUGUUGACAUGGUACAGUAAAUAAUAUAGUUUACCAUAUACCGUAUACCAUUAUAUGUUAGCUAAAAUAAGAGCAUAACAUGUCGCAGGAGUCCAAAAGCACCGGUUGAGGACCAGGUACAUUAAAUUACUAGAAAACAAAAGGGGACAAGGUUUAGGUAGCCACAUGAAAAACAUUUGAAUUUACUGUACCAUGAACACUUAGUUACCAUGCCGGGAGCACCUAGUUAACACUAACAUUUAGCCACUUUAGAUCAUCCCGAAACACCAAUGACCCUCAAUAGCGACAAAUUUUGGUUUAAAUGCCGUCACCAAUGAUCCUCAAUAGUGACGUGUUUAGGUUUAAAUCCCAUCACUAAUAACCCUUGGUAGUGACGUGUUUUGGUUUAAAUCUCAUCACCACUGAUCCUCACUAGUGACGUGUUUUUAGCAACACACGUUAUGAAUGACUUGUCAUUGGUGACAUGUUAAACGCGUUAUCUCAAUGGCAAAUCAAUGGUGACGUGUUUAAAAAAACAUGUCACUGUGAGAGUUAUUGGUGAAGGGUAAUUAAAAUGCAUCACUAAUUUUGUAGCAUUAGUUAUGAUAUAAUUUUGUAACGCAAAAAUCUACCAUAGUAAUGAGGUUUAGAGCCAUCACUAAUGUGGGUUUCUUAUCGUAGUGAUGCAAGCUCUACAAGGUGCUGUUGUUGCCAUUUUAAAGCAUCCCAAAUGACUACAAGAGUCCGGUUGAGGACUAAACAAAUUGAAUUACUAGAACCAAAUGUAUGUCCAGAACAAAGAAAGGGGUCAAGGUUUGGGUAACCGCAUUAAAAACAUUGAAUUUUACUGUACCAUGAACACUUAGUUACCAUUACCAUGCCUUGAGCACCUAGUUACCACAAACAUUAAUUUAGCCACUUUAGAGGUUCCACAAUCACUAUAAAUAAUAUACCAACACCGUACCAUGAAAACAUCAAGAAGAGAGACGGGUACAUGGACCACCAUCAAGUGAGUAGUGACAGCACGCACAAGAAUACCCGGAACCUUUUAGCUUGUCUGUAGUGAUCUGUUUUCUUCGCCACAAAUAAUGAAAGAGGCUGACCAAGCUAGCAACGAGGUAGAGCAAACGUGAUACACGUAGGUUUCAUUCAAGACAUCCAUGUAAGAUUCAUUCAAAACAUUCAUGGAAAUUUCUUGUAAGUUUUCAUGUAAAUUUCAUUCAAGACAUUUGUUAGAGGUGUUGUAUAUACACUUAACGUACAUAUAUCUAUGAUUUCAUGGUUGUUAGUGAUGGCAGAUGAGGAGCAUGCAAGGUGUUUAAUGGAGCAGAUUAUUGCUAGUGGUAGUGGCUCCAACCUGCCCGUAACGUACACCGACGAAGAGGGCAGCCAGGCGGACAUGUUCCUCAACAUGUCCGGUGAUGGCAAUGAAGAGCCCGAGCAAAACCUUGCCGUGACGGAAGGUUCCAUCGAGGUAUAUAUCAUUUCCAUUAUUUUACCCCAUCUAUAAUUUCAUAUUCAUUAUUACUAUGUGCUAAUUAAUGAAUCUUGAACCGUUAGUCCUCUAGAUCAACGAACCGAAAUAAGCCCCGAGGUCUUACAAAGAUAAUGCAGGGAAGGCUUCACAUCAUGGAAGUCACAGAAGAGGGCACAUCGGUUGCUCCCGAACAUGUGGCAAGAAAGUACGUGAGUCAAACCGGGGCAAUCGUAAGGGACAACAUGCCCAUCAGCAUCAGGGAAUGAAAGAGCAAUAGAAAUGAUCUAUACGCACCCCCGGAUACACAAAAGGAUAUGUUGUGGGCAAAUAUCAAGAAACACUUCACAUUUCCCAAAGGAUAUGUUGAAAAAUAUGUGAAAGCGUGGAUGUUGAAGAAGAUGGCCACCCAAUUCCAGACAUUCAAGAAGAUGUUGGAUGCCAACUUCAUCAAGAAGGGUCGAACUCCGGGUUUCAAUGAGUGGCCAAAGUUAAGGGACCACUGGGAGUCGUUUGUCGAAUACAAGACGAGCGAAGGUGGUGCGAGUAAGGUUCACAUCAAUGUUGCCAAUGCUAGCAAGGAGUACCAUCAUCAUCUAGGGCGACGUGGUUACAGCUCUGCAAUUCCCAGAUGGCGCAAGAUGGAACAAGACCUGAUCGAUCGGGGUAUCGUACCAGCAACUCUUGACUGGAUCGAUUGAAAAAUUGGUAUUAUGCUCAUGAAGGCAAUCUGAGCCAAGAGGAUCCGACAUUGGUCUUCAAUAAAACAAUACGUCAGAAGGUCGGAAGGCUUAUUAGGAACAUUGAAGAUGCUAAAGCUGGGAGGUUCAAGGUGGAUAGAGAGAAUGAUGAACUCACAUUGGCCCUCGGGACUGUCAUCUCUAGCACUUCCAGCUCCAGGACUAUCGUCACCACCGGGACCGUCGCUUCCUGCUCGAUCACAGUCUCCAUCUCCAGCACAUCCUGGUGGUGCGAGCGACGACGACAACAACACCCCUCCCUGCCCACCAUUGCCGGGACUAAGACCCGCAUUGAGUAAGGAACCUGCAACACCACUGAAGAAGUCGCGACCACCACCUUCAAGGCAAGUCAGCAAAAGAAGAAAGCAGAGAAGCCUAAACCCACUGAGAAGCCAGCGACUGAUAUGACCGAUGCGGAAAGAUGGAAGGCACUCAAAGAAGAAUGCAGGGAGUGGUUCAGCGAAGGCGAAGGUGAGAAAGUCGUAUGAAUCGAAUUCAAGGAUAUAUAUGAAGUGAACCAUCAGGAUGCCCUUGAUGUCUCUCUCAUCAGCGCCUAGGUUCUGUAAGUGUAUGUUUAUCUAUAAGUAAAUUUUGGCUCAUAUCAUUAUUUUUUUUGCGUGCGUCACCCUACUAACUUCGUCUUCCAUUUUAUGUAGGAUGCUAAUUCAGACGUGCCGCAUAGAAGCGUACUUCCAUGUUGGAUUCAUGGAUCCAUCCCUAGUUAACCAAAAGCCGAUACGGAAGUAGCUAGAGAAAACGUUGGAGGUGGUGUACAACCUCCUGGACAAACUAAACUACAGAAUAGGGGCAAUAUGUGAGGGUCUUGUAGGAUUCCUAGUGGACGAGGUGAUAAAUCCAUAAGGAGAAUAUCAUUCCAACGGACGAGCAUUAGACACACUGAGCAACACCUAGAUGGGAGGAUCCUAGGAAUGACCUCGACAGAUUUUGGUAUAAAUAGUAAUUGUGUAAAUACUAGUUUGAUUUGUAUAGGAAUAUACUAAGAAUUGUAUAUAUAGUAAUUGUACAAAUACUAGUUUGAUUUGUAUGAAUACUAGAUUGAUUUUAUUAUAAAAAAGUUUUAAGUCGUACGUGCAUGCGCCUACAAAGGCGCGGAUGCCUUUUAAUCCCAGUCGGAAAAACAAACUGGUACUAAAGGGGCUCGUGCCGCACCUGGCAUGACCACCCCUUUAGUCCCGGUUGAACGACCCAGGACUAAAGAUCUCCGCGUCUCAAAAAUUUUAUCUCGGAUGCUUUUUAGAGAGAUUUGAGGCCUAUCAACCAAGACUAAUAUCGAGUUUUCUACCAGUGAAACUAACUAACGUUCACAUGGUUUUGACAUUCACCUGCCAUUUGGUGUAGACAAGGGCACCCUAACAUAUGGUUAAUAUUAUUCUUGAAAGAAAAUCCUUUGAUUCAAAAUACUUCAAACCUAAUAAUACAAUACUUCUCACAUCUGAAAAAUAUGAGACGGCCCGACAGUAUUCUAAUCGACGCAAUAAUAUUUUGAGGGCAGCACUACUACAGCGACCCUCAUUCGUGCCGGUGCUGGGACUCCUAUCACGACCCUGAUACAAAUGAGGGUACAUUAUUGGUGCCAGUGCUAGAACAGCCACGAAUAACUUGCUAAACGUGCUGUUACACUCACUACAGGGACCAAGAAGGUAGAUAAAUUACACGACAUAGCCUUGGUUGCCGUGGAAGCGCCAAGAAGGGAGACAAAUUACAGGGACCACACCAUCAAGUAGAUAGUGACAAUAUGCAAAAGAAUACCCGCGCCUGUUAGCAUGUGAACUGACCACACCACGAAACGUGAUACACGGCAAGCGUACCAAGGCCUUGCUGUGCAGACUAUGCAUGGACAACACAUGGUACCUGACCGCUUUUGGCCUCAGACACAUCGAAAAACUGCAUCGUUCCACGUUGUACAUCCAUUGCUAGUUUAUCUAUAUUACAUAAUAUAUUAUUAGCUAUUUGAAUAGAAUGAACCAAUUAAAAAAUUGCGUUGUAUUUUUAGUACCGGCUGCAGGAUGGUGUUACCAACCAGUACUAAUUGGCCUGUAGGAGUGAUGGUUAUUAGACUUGGUACUGUUGUUAGCAUCAUUAACCUAAUUGUGCGCCGUAUGAAUUUGGGGAUGCAAAGCUAGCUCUCUAUGAAUGUGAGGGAUGGAAAGCUAGUUCUCUAGUAGUAAUUAUAUAUAUGACAGUCAAGAAAUCGAACACUAUGCUGCUACGAGUCACCAUCAUUUCCUUCAUUGACAAUCUGACAUAGGUGAAGCUGCUUCAAUAAUUUCCUUCGCGCAGUCGUGGAGCUUAUUGGAUUAUCACCAGGACGGGACACGGAAAUGGCCAGCAAUGAAGCUGAUUGCCGUCUGAGGAAGACUACAUACUUACCUAUGAAAUGAAGCGAUUGCAUAGACUAAUGAAGCAUUGCAUAUUUGCAUGUGAGUGUGGCAGAUAAUUCUGCAGGACAUGAUUGCAAUCCACGCACCAUCGAGAAGACUGGGGCGAUGGGGUUGCCUCAUCAAUAAUCACGUGGAUGCAUGCAUGCAUGUUCCCGCAACCGGACAAGGGUCUGAUAUAUGGCUAUAGUAUUACUGAGCCCACAUCAAUAAUUUCCACUGGUGUAUCGUGUGGGAAGAAUCAACAUACUACACCUCGAGUUCUUGGAACUAACUGACGUUCACAUGCAACCUCCACAAGGUGCUGUAUGCUUUUGACAUUCACCUGCCAGUUCGUGUAGAGAAGGACACCCUAACGUAUAGUUAAUAUUAUCCAUUUCAUGAGUAAAAUACUGUGAUUCAAAAAUACUUCAAAUCCCUUGAGACAAUACUUCUCACUUGACUAACCACUAACCAACCCCGAAACCCUAACUCAACUCCGAACCCUAACCCCUAACGGCAUAACCACUCCGUUUUGCCGGCGAGAUGGAGGAACUGGCUGGAAGGUAGAGAGGGCAGCGGUCCAGGGUUGAAAACGACGGGCGAGCGCAGUAACAUGUGGAGGAGGAAGUGCCACGUAUUCGUUCACCGCUAUUGGGCAGCGACACACGACACGCCCAAUAAGAUCUUCGCACGGUAGAAGGACGUCAUGUAUUCAAUAAUGUUAUUGGUCCCCCAUGUGCAGAAGGGCGCGCGCGUAUGGAAUAACAAGUAGGGACACUGCAACUAAUCUACUCUGCUCGUCCAGUCCCUAGCCUAUAAAUAGAUGCCAUGCUAGCUCUUGUUGUGCUCACAAUUAAUCCGAUUACACACGAGCUUCUCUCCCUGGCCAAGACACAACCAUAGUAUGAUGAAGAACAUGGCACUAGCCGGCAAUGGUAUGAAGAAGUUAAUCCUCGCUGUUCUCUUACUGUGUCUAGUUAUAGGGCAGAUACAAGUGGAAGCUAAGAGCUGCUGCCCAUCCACCACUGCAAGAAAUGUCUACAAUACCUGCCGUUUCACGGGUACAUCCCGUCCAACGUGUGCAAAACUGUCAGGCUGCAAAAUUAUCAGCGGGAACAAAUGCAAGCCCCCUAACGACCACCUCACCCUUGACCCGGACACUGGUAAAUAAUAAAUUUAUCUCACUUGAUUUCUUCGUGAUUUGAGUCGUUAAUGUAUUUUCCAUCUGAUGAAACGUAUUGGUUUUGCAUUGAAGAGGAAGUUAAUGUGCUUAACUUCUGCAAGUUGGGGUGUGCGUCGUCUGUGUGCAACAACAUCAACGCUGGUAAGCAACUUUUGCUCAGACAGAGAAAACAAUAAUCAUUAAUUAGCGGCAGCUAGAAUCCUAUAAUCUAAUAUAUAUAUAUAUAUAUAAUUUUAUCAGCUCUGGGAAAUGAAGAGGCGAACGAUGCCGUUGAGAGUUGCGACCAAGCCUGCUCUAGCUUCUGCAGCGUGCAUGUUGGCAGCGCCACCGUGGUUGCUUAAGCAAAUGCAUCCAACUAGAUCGUCCUUGUGCUGAAUAAUUGGAUAUCGUAUCCACUUAAAGCUGCCUUGUGUAGUACGUCUUUGUGUCUCUCUUUAUAUUCCAAUAAGGUCGGUGAUCUUGAUGCCACACACUCAGAUGUGUGUUCAUCUCCAGAUACUACUCCAUGCUACCUGCCCUUUGUGUUUUGUUCAAUAACUGGGUAUCAUAUCCCAGCCAGUAUGCCGUCUGUUUUGUGUUUGUUUCCUUCUAGUUCCAAAGGGGUCAUCAUGAUGUUACCUUCUUUCAAUAUGGUGCUUUGCAUGACUACUGUUGUAUGGUACCAUCUUGUGGCCAAUAAGUACAUCUUAUCCUAUGACCUUUGCUAUGACCCUUUGCAAAUAAGUAGAAGAUUGUUAUAAGCGUCAAUACUCCGUAUAAAUUGAUCGCUGCUGUGAGUUCCCUUUCAGCUUAUCGUAGGCAUACAUUAUUGCUAGCACGGUAAAGCCAACCAACACGAAUGAUGAAGUAAACGUAGCGGUACUUCUGUAUACCAACACCCUUACUUAAAUGUACCGGUGUCAUUCCCUACUGGCACAUAUAUUCUUAUAUGCUAGCCAGCUUGUAAAAUUAACCAAUUAAAAUAAUUAUUUCAAGAUAGAAAUAACUUAUCGGUUUCUGGAAGCAUGUGUAAUGUGAAUUCAAGGACUCGACGGAAGUUGAAUCACUUCAUCUAUAUUGCUUUCAGUAUUUUGGGUAACUAAAUUUAACAUUUGCACAUACAAAUGUUAAAGUACAAAUGUUAAAUCUAGUUACCCAAGCAGAAUAUGAAGAUAGUUUAUAGUAUAUAUAUACUAUAUAAAUCUAGUUAACAUUUAGUCUAAAUGUUAAAUCUAGUUACCUAAAAUCCUGAAAGCAAAAUGUAUAAAUAUAUAUCUUUUAAGGCAGUAUAAGCUUCGAUUCCUAUUGCUGCUCUGUUAAAUCUCAUCUUUCGUUGUGGCCCAACACUCUAGUAUGCAUGUUGCACCAAGCUUCUUUGAGCCGCUCUGCCCUCUGAUUUUGCUGCGUAGGGGAAUCUUUAUCAGGUUGGGCUACUUCCAGUUGUGCGAUGUAAAGAUUCGUAUUUUCUAGAAGGUAGACAAAAAACUCGCGUUCUCUUAAGGCAACAACCGGAAGAUUCUGCAGCGCACAGGGCAUACCAUUAUUGUAGAAACGACCUUUAGUACCGAUCUCCAACCCCCUUUAAAACUGGUUUUGCAACCGGUACCGUUAUGUCGGUCCUUUAGUACCAGAUCAAAUAAGUACCGGUUGGUAACCAGUAUCAACUUGUUUUGCGGCCAAAAAAAUAAAGAAAAAAACAGUCAGAAGGCUCGCACACACGCGCAUCACAUGAAAUAUGCGUGUGCGGGGUCCAUGGGAUUCGAACCCAUGAAAUCAAGCUGCACGCGACCCUUCGUUACCAUCUCACCUACAUAGCGCAUAUGCUUUCCUGAAGUAACCCGUGGAGGAGGCUUUAGUACCGGGUCAUAACACCACCCGGUACUAAAAAUGACUCUUCAGUACCGGGUCAUAACACCACCUGAUACUAGUAUCGGAUGGUGUAAUGACCCGAUACUAAAAGGCCUCUAGGGACCCUCAAAUUUGAACCCGGUACUAAUGCUAAUAUUAGUAGCGGGUCAAAGUGCAGCCAGAACUAAAGCAUGGGAUGAAAGGUCAUAUUUCUAGUAGUGUAUAGUUGUUGUGAAGGACUGACUUGGCUGUCCUCUCUCUUCUCCAUCCCCUUGGUCUUACGCCGCCGCUCGCACGCGAGCCGGUGCCCAACCAGAGGAGUGAGAGCUAGGGGCAGGUUGGGAGGUGGGGAUAGUGACUGGUGGCCAGGGUGAUGGUUGAUCCUGGUGGGGUUAGGGUUUCAGGGUUUUCGAGCUUCCUAUGGUCGGCGAACCUAGAGGAGAAGCUCAACAUCAGCUGCAACCCGCGAUGGUGGUGGUUUGGCCGGCGCCCGAGGCGAGGCAGCGCGGGAGUGCUGCCGGUGGGUUGGUGUUGGCACUCAUUAUUGACAACUAUUUUGUUCAUAAAAUAACACUCAAACUUGCUGCUGCUGCUGCUGCCAUCGCCACCCUAGCCAUAAUAUAAAGGCAAAAUUUGCUAAAGGACAUGCAAAAUGAUGCUAGUUUGCUGGCGGGCAUCGUUGACCUUGUAAUAUGCUACAAGACACUCUAGUUGUGUAUCAAUUUGCUGAAAGACAUUGCUAUGACUAAAAUAAUGUUUCUGGACUGAGUUGGAGAGAGAGAUGGAGUGAAAUGUCUGUUUUGCCCAUGACCCCACUGGUCAGAUCCUUCUUCUUCCACCCUCCUUUGUUCUUUCUUCAACCAUUACCCAGCUCCAGCGUGUUGCAGAUCUACGAGGGUGGCGGCCUGGGGCGAGGGGCAUCGCUCGCCCUUGGAGGAGCGCUGCGAGCGACGGCGCGGGGGCGGCAACAGCGCGUCAGAACCUGACUGUUCGUUAGCUCCUCUCGCUGCUGGGGAAGAAGGAGGGGGAUGGGCCAUGGACGGGGUUCCCUUGAAAACCUCAGCGUCGAGCUCGGGCGGCUACGCGCAGGCAGCACUAGGCUGCUUCACGGGGAGGGGGCGCGGCCAAUCAUUGGCACCCCACUGGUCCAAUGCUGAUGAAGAUGGUGCCAGCGUCGUGUGAGGACAUCUCAUCUCCUCGAGUUCCAUGGCCAGCACAGGUGAGCUGCCGCUACCACAAAACAGAGGUUUCGUGAGAGUCAAAAAACCUUAUGAAAAUAGCUAAAACCAUCAUGAAAAUAAUCCGUGACAUGACACUCUCACGAAAAUCCUCUCACAAAUAUGGUGCCAUGAAAAUACCAUUUUCAUGAGAGUGAACUGUCAUGAUUUUAUAAGCGUCAAUACUCGGUAUAAAUUGACUACUGCUGUGAGUUCCCUUUCAGCUUAUCGUAGGCAUACAUUAUUGCUAGCACGGUAAAGAGAACCAACACGAAUGAUGAAGUAAACGUAGCGGAACUUUUGUAUACCAACACCCUUACGUACCGGUGUCAUUCCCCACUGCCACAUAUAUUCUUAUAUGCUAACCAGCUUUGAAAAUUAAGCGAUUAAAAUAAUUAUUUCAAGAUAGAAAUAACUUAUCGGCUUCUCGAAGCUUGUGUAAUGUGAAUUCAAGGACUCGAUGGAAGUUGAAUCGCUUCAUCUAGAUUGCUUUCAGGAUUUUGGGUAACUAAAUUUAACAUUUGCACACACAAAUGUUAAUGUACAAAUGUUAAAUCUAGUUACCCAAGCAGAAUAUGAAGAUACUCUAUAGUAUAUAUGUACUAUAUAAAUCUAGUAAACAUUUAGUCUAAAUGUUAAAUCUAGUUACCUAAAAUCCUAAAAGCAAAAUGUAUAAAUAUAUAUCUUUUAAGGCAGUAUAAGCUUCAAUUCUCUGUUAAAUCUCAUCUUUCGUUGUGGCCCAACACUCUAGUAUGCAUGUUGCACCAAGCUUCUUUGAGCCGCUCUGCCCUCUGAUUUUGCUGCGUAGGGGAAUCUUUAUCAGGUUGGGCUACUUCCAGUUGUGCGAUGUAAAGCUUCGUAUCUUUUAGAAGGUAGACAAAAUACCCGCGUUCUGGAAGAUUCUGCAACGUGCACGUUGGCGCUGCCACCGUGGUUGCUUAAGCAAAUGCAUCCAACUGAAUCGUCCUUAAGCUGAAUAAUUGGAUAUGGUAUCCACUGCUUAAAGCUGCCAUGUUUAGUACGUCUUUGUUUUUCUCUCUUUAUAUUCCAAUAAGGUCGGUGAUCUUGAUGCCACACACUCAGAUGUGUGUUUAUCUCCAGAUACUACUCCAUGCUACCUACCCUUUGUGUUUUGUUCAAUAACUGGGUAUCAUAUCCUAGCCAGUGUGCCAUCUGUUUUGUGUUUGUUUCCUUCUAGUUCCAAAGGGGUCAUCAUGAUGUUACCUUCUUUUGAGGUGUCUAUGAUGACUUCGUUAAUAUCAAUAUUAACCAAUUCAAUCUGUCUUAACUAUUUGUAAGGGGUAUGAUGUAUGCAUGAUUAUAACAAUGAUUGCGCAUACAAUCGCCGCCAAAGAAACGGUCAAUACCAUUAAGACAUAUUACAGACAAUUCUCAUAAUCUAUAAUGAAUAUACAUAUUCACUACUGCAGAAGACUGUCAUUUGUAUCGGCUCAUACGUGCCAGGGCAAAGGUCACCCUUGCAUUAAGUACAUUUGCACGGUAAAGACAACCAACACGAAUAAUGAAGUAAACAUGCCGGUGCUUUUGUACACCAACACGCUUACUUAAAUGUACUGGUGUCAUUCCUCACCGGUAGCCGGCUUGAAAAUUAACCAAUUAGAACAAUUAUUUAUUGUAUCGGUGUGAUUUUUGACCUAUUGGAAUAUGAAUUUGACCGUUACUGCAUUCGUCAAGACUCAAGAGAGAAAUAACUGAUCGGCUUCUUAGAGCGUGUGCAAUGUGAAAUCAAGGACUGGAUGGAAGUUGAAGCGCUAGCACUAGUAGAGAAACGACUUUCCAUCCACCCCCUUUUGUCCCGGUUUAAAGUUGGCUCGGGAUAAAAGGUUCACCAACCGGGACUAAAACUCAGUCACUGGUGGGAGGCUCACCAACCGGAACCUUUUAUCCCGGUUGCAAAGGCUAAUGGGAAAAAAAGACUCUGAGAGGCCUUUUAUCCCGGUUUGAAACACCAACCGGGAUAAAAGACCCCCCUUUUAUCCCGGUUGGUAACACCAACCGAGAUAAAAGGGUCAAGAGCCUUUUAUCCCGGUUGGAAACACCAACCGGGAUAAAAGACCCCCUUUUAUCCCGGUUGGUGUUUCAAACCGGGAUAAAAGGGCCCCCACGAGGUGACUGGAAGGUGACUGGAAGGGGAUUAAAUCGUGGGGGACCCUUUUAUCCCGGUUGGAAACACCAACCGGGAUAAAAGGGGGUCUUUUAUCCCGGUUGGUGUUUCCAACCGGGAUAAAAGGGUCCCCCACGAGUUAAUACAAAAGGAUAGUAUCCCCUACAUAGUCAGAUGUGGUGUGUAGGUGGGAUGGUAAGGAAGCUACGCGCGAGCUCCGGAAUUUUUUUUUUUUUUUUUUGCAGCGUCGGCGCUCUCUACCCUUUUAUCCCGGUUGGUAUUACCAACCGGGAUAAAAGGGGGUCUUUUGUCCCGGUUGAGUGACCCGGGAUAAAAGACCCCCCCUUUUUUCCCCGGUUAGUUUAUCCCGGAUGCAUUUUCGGGAUAAAAGCACCCUACCAACCGGGAUUAAAGCUCACUUCUCUACCAGUGUAGCUUCAUCUUCCGCUGCAAGUUAAUUGCUUGGAUAAGAAGUUGUAGCCGCUGCAAGUUAUAAAUAGUCCCGCUGAUGCUGUGCUCCGAAGUCUAUACUAUAUAUGCGGAAACUAGAUUGCUUUCAGGAUUUUGGGUAACUAAAUUUAACAUUUGUACAUAAAAAUGUUAGUUUACGAAUGUUAAAUCUAGUUACCCAAGCAGAACAAGAAGAUAGUAUAUAGUAUAUACUAUAUAAAUCAAGUUAACAAUUAGUCUAAAUGUUAUAUCUACUUACCCAAAAUAUUGAAAGCAAAGAAAGAAUAAGUAUAUAUCUUUUGUUGGAAAAUUGGUCCACGGAGAGGCCCAUUUAGGCCUCGUUCGUUUCACCGGGAUGGGAUUCCAGUCAGGAUUACUUCCAAGUUCGGUUUGAGUGAUUCCACCCGUGUCACUCAAUCCGGCUAGGAUUCAUUCUAUGGGUGAGGAGGUAUGGUUUCAAUCCAGGCCAUCUAAUGUAGAAGGAUUCCAAUCCAGGCCGGUUUUCGUUCCAGGCCAGACUAAAACGAACAACACUUUCAAUGCAAGUCUGGUUUCAAACCGGGCCAUUUCAAACCACCCGGAAUGGACCUCGUUCCAGGCCAAUCCGGUGAAAACAAAUGAGGCCUUAAUGGAAUCCCAAAGCAAGAGUUCAGUGGCAUUCUAUAGUCCCAUGCUGCUAGUUUGAGUUGGUCGAAGCCAACUUAAAUAGGAGAGCUCUCUCACUUCUCUAAAUACGUAACUGAAGGAGAGAAGGGGGCUUGGGUUACACAACGCACGCACGCACGCAUAUUUGCGUUCUUUUCGCGUAACCAACCGCGUGACUUGAAACUUGCGACGUAGCGUGCUGCUAAGUCAAGUUGAUAUAACCUUUUUGCCGUUUGCAUGUAAUCUUUUGACAACGGUCAUUGGAGGUGAUAAGCACGCAGUCAAUACCUUAAUCUUGAGUUAAUAGGGUGGUUACUACUGCCAAUUAGUGGGGCAAUUUUGUAGGGGAAACGGUUAGCAGAGGGCUACCGUCUUCUCUAUAAGAAGUUCUGGAGACGUCCAGGAACACACAUGUACAUGUGAGAGACCCACAAAUUCCUUCCCUUCUCCCUUUUCCAUGUGGUGAAGUGUGCUGUGGUACUGAGCUGCUUGAUCUCGCCGCUCUUCUCCUUGGCAUGCACCGAGGAGGAGGGUGAGCGGUAUCUCCGAGCUAUUGCCGUCAGGAAGCCUGCACGAGGGACAACAAAAAGUUUUUGGGUAGCGCAACUGCCAGCACAACUCUCCCUCCGCCUCUUCUUCACGGUUGAUGGCCACCACAAGCAUAAACCUCGCCUUCGCAUCCACGCAAAAGGGUCGCUGGGGUGCCUUCUUGCAUCGCUUCUCAGCCUCCUUGACUUGCGGCCAGCCAAGAACUGCGCCACCACCUCGGGUGCACGCCACCACUCCAGGGCUGCUACCCCAUGCCUGCGGCCGCCGCCGGCCACCACGCGUGUGCAACCGCGUCGCACCGCUUCCUUGCUUUGUGCCACCACUGCUGCUGUACCACCAGCUCCACCACCUUGGGCUGGUCGCCAGAGUGACUGAUAACUUAUUAUCUGUAACUACUAUUAACUCAGGGAUACAUGCGUCUUUUGCUUCUCCUACUAAUAUGUCCUAAAAUAUCUAGGAUGCCUUAUAUUUCUGGACAGAGGAAGUAUUUGAAUAAAAUGAACCAAUUUAAAAAAAUGUGUUGUACACUACUACAGAAAGACCUAUCAGUGUCAAACCCAAAAAUGUUGUCACCGCCAGUUUUGGGCAUCAUUGGUGAAAGGUUGGCGGUGAUGGGCUUUCCCUUCAACAACGGCACUGGAGCCGACGGUGAUUGACAUUAGAAAACAAAAAAGGGGACCCUACCUAGCCACCCCUGCAACCCGGCCGGCCGUGCCUCCCCUCAUCCCCACCACCUCGCCUCCCCAUGACCCCCCGCCGGCGCCCUUGCGCCUAGCCCCCUCAACUGCCCAGCCGGCCACCCUCAUCACGAGAGAGAGGUGCAUGUUGUAUAAUUGCGUGAAUUUUUUAAUGUUUAAUUUCAUGUAAGUUCCGUGUAAUAAAUUGUACAAGUUUUAUUGUAUAUAUGAAUUCCAUAUAUAUAUAUAUAUAUUUAUAAUUUAAUGUAUGGUUUCAUGUGUAUAUUUCAAUCAUGUGUAUAUUUAGUAGAUUGCCGAUUUUCUUUUUCUACUAGACAAGGGUUGAUGUAUAAUUACGUGUAUAUGUUUAUUGUACGGGCAAUUAGGACAAGUUUUGUAUAAAUUUCUUUUAUUUGAUGGUUGUUGUAUGGUUUCAUGUAUAUACAUUUAUUGUACUACUUUAGACAAUUUUUAAUUUAAUGUUUCUAUGAUUAGAUGUGUGUAUAACUAAUUGUAUUAUUAGUUAAGAUGGGAGCUAAAGAGGAUGAAAGGUAUAUAAUGGAGCAGAUUAUUGCUAGCUCAAACGUUGCAAGAACCUACACCGAGGGUGAGGGUAGCUAGGUGGACAUGUACCUCAACAUGUCCAGUGAUGGCAAUGACGAUGAGGAGCACGAGCAUGACAUCUAUGAUAAUGCGGAACAAGACAUUGCAGAAUUGGAAGGUUCUAAUGAGGUGUGCUUCAUGUUGACAAUCUAGUUGGCUUUUUUUCGUUGGUCACACCUUAGUUACCAUAGAACUUCGUCUCGGGAGAAGAUUGGUGGUGGUAUGGUGAUUGGAAUUUUAUUUCCACGAAAUCUGAUUUCCAUCGAAUCAUAUCCCUUGUAUUUAUCUUCUUUUUAUUUGUGAGAGCAUCUUCUUUAUGCUUGCAAAACAAUUCAAGUGCACAUACUACCCCUAGGGUGACGAUUGGGAGUAGAAAUAAUUGCCAACAAAACAACACCACAUCCUAAGAUUCUUAACUUGUGGCAUAAUUAGUCUAGUAAAAAGAAAGAUAAAAACCUAAUGGGUGUAUGUGAGUGCAAUGUGUAUAUGCAUAUGAGUGGAAGGCAUAUAAGCAAAGACAAUAUUUACACAUAGUUCUAAACACCAUGUUUACAGCUAGGUUGCUGAAUUUCUCCAUAGCCAUAGAGAUUAAUUAACCAAGGUCAAAACACGAUGUCUAUCCCAAGAUCAGUAAUUAUUUAUAGCACAAGAAAAAGAAAGCGCAUUGCAAAGUUUAUAAACCAACCAAUACAGCAUGAAAACAAGAUGAAUAGCUAGCAAGGUUUAUUAAACUGAAUGAUGACGGUCUGUAAGCAAGUUUAAACACCAUCUUUACACAAGAUUGCAAAUGGAAAAUGCCCAUAUGAAGCACUAACAUGGAUAUGAAAUCAUUCAUCAUAAAGCGUAAAGAACAACCAAGCCAACCAUAUGCAAAGCAUGAAUGGAAUGCAAUGAAGGUGCAAGAGAACAUUUUUGGAUGAACACAUUAUGAUGAUGGCAAAAUGCAAUGCAUGCAGAAAAAAUAAAUAUGAACAUGAAUAUGAUGAUCAGGGGCGGACCCACUAUUGUGGCCUGGGUAUUCCUCGGCAUACCCAAUAUUUUUGGGAAAAUGUUUAGUAGUUUUUAAUGGCAUAUACAUGUAUAAUAUAGUUUAGGUGUUAAAAUUGAUAUUCACAGCUAUUUUGGGCUCCAAUUCGCGUCCAAACCAACCUGGCCCACAGACCGCACCCGGCCGCCCGGCCCAUCGGCCCAUCUUGUCACUGAUCCUCCCACCACCACACUCAGCCCGUCAGUUAGUCAGGUCCCGAGCUCCUGCCUGACCUAGUCCGCUACCACCGCCAGGCGCCAGGCACAGCUGUACACGCCGCCCCCGUCCACCCACGUCCGCCGCACGGCCGCGUCGCGCCCCCCCCCGGCGCCCGCUGCUGCCAGAACCCAUUAGGCCUCCACCGGCAAGUCCACCCACAGUCCCGCGCGACGCGGCAGCCUCUUGGCUCUCGGCGCUCGCGGCGCGCCAAUGCCUGCGCAGCCCCAGCAGGCGACUGCCCCCCCCCCCCCCGCAUCGGGCCUCGGCCCCUCCCCAGCUCCCCCUCCCCCCUCCACCAGGACUGCCUGCUGGCCCCCACCGCGAGGUAAUCGAAAUGGACUGCUCAAUCUCUCAAUCUGUUGACAUGAUGCACACGGUUGCAAAAAUAGAUGUGUCAAAAUAGAUGUAUUGCCAAUUGCUAUAGAUGCAUAUGGUUGACAUGAAGAAGUCAAAAAUGACAUUUGGUUCCUUGUAGGCAGUCAAAAAUGAAGAAGUCAAACAAUAUUGAUCUGAAAUCAAUGCGGGAAAGGGCUACGAAGACACACGGGUAGAUUCCCUUGUGAACUUUUUAUGUCGUUCGUCUAAAUAUAUUUUUGCAAUGGGCAUACCCUACUCUGAAAUCCUGGGUCCGCCACUGAUGAUGAUGGUCUAAACAUAAAACAAGCCUAGAUUAAUUAGCUACAACUGAAAUUAAGCAAAGGUUAAUGUCAUUGACCCUAGCUCUAUCCUAGCUUUUACUAAAGUCCCGGCACAUAUAGUGGUUGGGCCCACUCUCUCUACUUCCCUCUCUGCUGCAUGCACACACACGAGCAACUGGAGGCCCAACAAAGCCCAGAAGGGUUCGGCCGAACCCGUCCGAUCCAGUCUGAGCGCCGCUCCCUCCCAGCCUUCGCGCAGAUGCUCCUCCAACGUUCCUUGACCCCUCCCUCAGUGUCCCAUUGGGUUUAACAUUGUAGGAGAGGAGUCCCUUUUUUAAAAUCUCAACCACCUCCUCUCCUCAUUCACUCCACUCUCAUCUCCAUCAAACUCACCAAGAUCCACAUCGGAAAUACCUGCUUACCACCAUGGCUGGCAAAGCCCUCGUCCCUUUCACCAACUUGGGCUUGACCAUUGAUCUCGAUGGGAAAAUCACUCCAGCAAAUGUCAUUGUCCCUGUCGGCGAUCUGGCGAUGGAGGAGGUCCAGGCACUAGAGGUCGAGCCCCUAGCCAUCAUACCGCCCAAGGGGUAAAGCAGGAGCAUGACAGGCGCUGCUAGGGGUUCAGCCGAACUCCCAGUUCAGCCAAACGAGGACGGCGUCGCCUCGGCCUCCCGCUCGACUGCAUGCUUCCCCUUGCCAAGGAGGACUCCAGAACAGCGGGCGCGUGCGUCAAGUCCCUACAAAAGGCUGAAAUACAAUGAAUAUCCAGGGUCACCCUUGAAGAUGGGUGAACGCUACGCCGGGUCCUUGUUUGACUAGUACGGCGAUGCAUUCUGCCACCGCUAUGUCGUUGUCGAGAUUAGCGGAUCAAGACUUAGACUAGUAAAUUUCUUUUAUGCGCGUAAGGCUUCAGAUGGUGGCGUGGGAGACAUGGGUUUUAUACUAGUUCGGGCAAUGGAAUACCCUACGUCCAGUGUCUGGAGCUGCUUGUGUUGCCCACGCGGGGUUCUGUAGUAGGGGUUACAGGUGUGCGAGAGAGGGAGCUAAUCCCAGGUCUCUUAGGCGUGUUCCGGUCCUCUAGAUGGGAGAAGUGUGUUCUGUUUGCUUGGGAGUAUCGGUUGUGUCUGAGUUGUCUCCGGAGCCUCCUCCCGUCUCAGGUCCCCGAUUCUCCUUUCAUAGCACAAGGAGACCAUCGGGGUUACAGACGAGACCGAGCGUGGGGAGGAGUAAAGAGAUAAACAUAGCUAGGUAAAAAUACAACAAGAAAGGGGGGAACCAAGUUUCUAGGUCACCGGCGUCCUCGCCGGCCUUCGACUUCCGCCGGCGCAUUUGUCGGAGGAGGGUGGCCGCCAUCGCGUUCUGUCGAUGGCUUCCUCGGUGACUGUAGCCACCGGGCGUGAUGAUGGCAUUUCGUCGUGACCCUUUGUCUGUUGGGGGAGGCGGCGGAUCCUGCCAUUCUGCUGACGGCUCGCGGAGUGCGAACGUCGCAUCCCUGCCGCUGGGCACGCGGGGCGCGAGAACGUGCGAGGCUUCCCCCUACCCCAGGCGGCGCAGGCCAUGAGUGCCCUGUGGCAAAUCGGAGGAGGCCGCAGCUACUGUAGCUUGUACUGUGCAGCCACGUAUGGGUACUUGUGGCAGGUUGCGUGGUGGAUGCGGAUAUCCUUCUCCCUGACAGAUCUGCGGCGCAUUUAUGGCGAGAUCGACAUGGGGACCCACAAGACCCGCGCCCAAGGCGGAUACUUGUCUGGAGGGCCCGGGUUAGCCUGACCCCCUACGCUUGGGGUCGGGCGAGGCGGAGACUUGCGGCGGGGCGUCGGACGCUCCCGACACUAGACCUGCGGUCGCGCAAGGCGGAGCUUGGUCUUCCGGGGGUCGGGGGUGCCGGACCCCAGGAUGCGGGGUCGGGCGAGGUGGAGCGUAAUUCUUGCCUCCCAUGUUGGGCCGAUGGCAGUCUUUGUUACCUCUAGUGGGCUUGGGCCUUUAUGUUUUGUUGUUUCCAUGGGCUUCGAGAGGUCGUUAAUAUUUCCCCCCAACAGUAGCCCCCGAGCCUGUGGUGGAGUGGGGGCGCUCCUCCGGAGGCUACUAUCAUCGCCCCUAGGGAAUCCUCGCAGUUGAUCCGGGAUAGGAGGUGUUGUUUGCACGGCUUGACCGAGGGGGUCGAUUAGGCGACGCAUCCUGUGAGCGACUCGGUGCGGGAGGGUUUCUUGUUGUUCCCUUCUGUCUGAGAGCCUUAAGUCGAGACCACCUGCGUGGCCUUUGGUUGCAAGGCCAGCCCCCGAGCCCCCGCACGUUGCAGGGGACCGGUCGGAGGCUAGGUCGACUUUUGUUCAUUACCCUCAAGCGUCUGUUCGCUAGGACGGAGGGGGCGAGCCGUGCCAUGCUAUCCUCAUCGGACGAACCAUGGUGCUCAUUGAGUUACUAACGGGUUGAUUCGAGUGGGAUCCCGGUCCCCGUUCGGGGGGGGUCCGGCUUGGGCCAAGCUGGUGGCGUACCCCAGGCUCCGGUCGGCCAGUUCAUAUAGUUCCUGAGUCCGUUCGGUCGGACCGGGGGCUCAUUGCCUUUCUUCGGGGAAAAACCAUGAACUUUGAUGCCGGUCCAGACUCGAAUGUGAGAUUGAGACGCCCGGGGCUGUCGCGUGCCCGGGUGAUGGCCGCUAGCGGACCCGUCUCCUCUCACCCCUCACUCGGGGGUAUCCUGAGGCGGCUGUCGAACCCGUGGCGGGCCAGCCUUCGAACCUCUGGAUCGUAAUGGGCCGUAGGGGCGUUUUCAGCCCCGUAUCCCUUUUUACCUUUUGGUGGGCCUUGGGCCGAAUCAUGGAGGAGGUCGGGCCUUGGGCCGGAUGCGGAGGAUGUCGUGCCUUGGGCCGGAUGUGGGGGACGUCGUGCGUGUCUUCCGGGAGACGAAGUGGUGGAGGGUGCCAACCCGCGAAUCGAGGGAGGAGGGGAUGUUUCUACUGCAGGUCAUGCGCACGGUUUCCGAAAAGGCAGCGGGCGUGACGGGACGUACCUCGCGCCGCAUUUAUUGCGAUGGGGGCGUCUGUUCUGCUUCCCUCGUGCCUUCCCUAUAAAACGAGGACUUCGCCUCGCCGGUUCCGCCCGCCAUCUACCUUCAAGCCUUUUCGCCUCCUCGCGCGCCCUUAGCUUUCCUGUGCCCGCUUCGUCUUCCUCCGCCCAGUGCCGCGCCCUUUCUCCCCAUCCGCCGUCGAGUUCUUCUCCCUCCGGCGAUGGGAUCCUGGGCGCGUUCCCACUUCGGCCCCUCACGCGCCGAAGGCCUAGUGAGGAAAGGCCUCCUUUGCGAGAGGACGGAGACGGAUGAGUGGGGGUUCCCUGAGAUGGAAGAGGUGCCGACUCCGCCCACCGGCUACGUCGUUUCCUUUGCCCACUUCCACGAGAGGGGGUUUGCGACUCCGCCGAGCCUCUUCUUCCGCGGGCUUUUGUAUUACUACGGGCUUGAGCUGCAGCACCUCAACCCCAACGGGAUUCAGCACGUCGCGGCGUUCGUUGCGGUGUGCGAGGGGUUCCUGGGCAUUGAGCCCAACUUCUCGCUGUGGAAGUACUUCUUCACGGUCAGCCUAUACCAGAAGGCCGAGAAGAGGGGAAGCCAGCAGCGGUCGACCCCGGUGCCGAUAGGGUGCGUCGGAAUCCACCUCUGCCAUACUCGCGCCAAGGAGUAUAUCGCGAUGAAGACCGCGGCAUCCCACAAGGGGUGGCACCAGCAAUGGUUCUACGUGAAGAACUACUCCAACCCCCCCUGCCGGAGUUCACCGGCCGCAUUAUUGAAGCGGCGCCGGAGGUGUGGGUGUACGGCCCGGUGGAGAAGGAGAAGAAGCGGAUCACCGGCCUGCUGCAGGCCAUCGAGCACCUGAAGGAGAGGGGACUGACCGGAGCCGGAGUCAUCGGGGCGUACCACGCCCGGCGGGUGGCGCCGCUGAUGCUCCGGGUCCGCUCGCUCGCCGACAUGACCCCCGGUGCUCUCACCGAUGGCACUGUCCUCGCGACGGGUGCUCUCGCUGCCUCCGAGAUCCGGCAGCGGAUCCGGGAGGCGCUGGAGGACAAGGACGCCGAUUACCCGGUGCCCGGCCACCCUCCGAUGCGCCCGGACGAGAAUUUCAUUGAUCUGGUAAGGAUUUUGCGCGCCAGUUUCCCUCUCUUGCGUUUCUUGGUAUGCCGUUCUGACGCGAGGCCCUCUGUGUUUGCAGGGUAGCAUGACCCGGGUCGUCGACUUGCGUCCGCCAGUGUCGGAGGACGCCGAGUGGCGGUAGCAGAACCGUCUCCUUGCCGAGAAGCAAAAGUGACGCAAGGACAAGAGACAGCGAAGAAGAAGAAGAGGGCCGCCAAGGAGUUCCAGCGGCGGCGGUGGGGAUAGGUCGUGUCGGAUGACGAUGACGAUGAGAAGGAGGAGGAGGAUGACGAGGAGGAGGAGGAGUUUAUCCUGUCCCCCCGGUCAGGGGCGCUUGUUAUCCGGGAGCCGCGCUCCCAAGCGGCCAUGGGGGACAAGGCGGGCGAGCUGCCUGCCCGGACCCGAUCCUGCGAAGCUUUGGGGGCGCGCCCCAGGGGUCGGCGCAGAGCGCCCCCCGGGGGUCGACGGAGCCGACCCCCAUCCCUACACCUGCAGCCCAGGAGCAGAGGAGCAGCGACAAGCGGCCGUUGCCAGAUGCCCCGGGGUCGGCGUCCAGCUCAGAGGCGAAGCGCGCGCGCCGCCCUUGCGCUGGGGGAACGUGAGUUGAAUUUCCUUGCGAAUCUCGUUCCUUUCCAUGCAUUGUGUUUGUUUCCGCUGAUGCUGUUUGUUGUCUCACAGCACCGCCCCUCAAGGCCUUGUCCCGCCGUUGGCGCCAAAGAAGGCGUUGCGGUGUUGUCGCCUCUGCGGGGCGGACCGCGGCUCCGCCGGCGGCGAGUGGCGGGGUCACUGGUGAGACCGCGGGUCCUACCGCGGAGGUGGCCCCUGCGGCGGCAACCGGUGGAGUGGUGCCACCGCCGGGCAUGGGACAGGGUCUGGACCCCGCUCCGUCCUCCGCCUCUUCGGCCGACCCCGCGGUGCAGAGUAUCGCUCCUGGGGGCCCUCAGGCCGGGGAGGUGAUUGACCUCGACGCCGACGAGGUGGAGGAGACGGCGGCGGUGGAGACGGGGGCGGUUGCCCCAGCGGCCAUGACGGGGACGACGACGGCGACGGGGGAAGGAGAGUCUACCCCCGCGGCCACGGCGGGGACAGUGGCGACAGAGGAGGCGGGGACGCCCGCCCCGGCGGCUGCGACGGAGGAGGCGGCGGUGACGGAGACGGGGGCUUCCGCCCGGGAAGCCACAGCCGAGGUGGCAGCGGCGACGGAGGUGAAAGUGCCUGUUCUGGAGGCCACGGUGGGGGUGGGGACGCCUGCCUCGUGGCCACGACGGAGGGCGAGGCGGCCCCAGGGACACUUGCUCCGGCACCCGCGUUGGAGGCGGUGGCGCCGACGGGUUGGCCCGUGGCGGCCUCGACGGGGGCGGGGGUGCGUGCGCCGGGACCGUCGGUGAGGCCGGCGACUUCCGGGAUGGUGGUGCCCGUCUUGACGGCGGCGGCGGCGCGGUCGGCCCCCGCCCUUGCCUCUACCACUCCCAUUCCCAAGGCGUGGAGCGGAUCCGUCCUGCGUUGGUCGUCUCGUGACGACCCGCAGAGGCCCCUCUUCACGUUGGAUGAUGCCACAGAAUGGGGCAAGUGGCAGGCGCUGCAGGGCGGACUCGCUAACGUCCGCGCCGCUCUAUCUUCGGCGUUGGGGGAGCUGGACGGCGUCAUCUUCCCCGGUGGCCGGGUAUGGUGCUUUCUCCGUUGGUUAUUUUCUUCCCGUUACUUCGUCCCUGAUGGCACAUUGUUCUGCAGGCCCUCCAAGAAUGUAGCCGGGGAAAAUCUGAUUUCCUUUGGCUCGAGCAGGGGCUCUGGGAGCGCUUCAACUUGGAGUUGCAGCGGACCGGGGAGCUGACCAUGCAAGUCGCCACCGUCUAGCAUGUCAUCGACGAUCUGCGAAGGCACGAGCAGGCGGCACAGGAGGACGCGCGGCGGGCGGAGGCCAAGUUCCAGGUCGUUGCCGAAAGGGCUCGCUGCGACCGCGAGGAGUUCCAGGCCGUUGCCGAAAAGGCCCGCCACGACGCUGAGGAGCUCGCACGGCUGAAGGUGCAGCAUGAAGCUCUUCAGAAGAGCGGCAGAGGGCCUGGCAGGACCGGGACGCCGAGAAGGUCCGGAAGGAGGAGGCUGAGAAGGUGGCGGCCAACCUUGGGGCUGAGGUCAGCCAGCUCCAAGUGCAAGCGCGAGAGCUUCAGGCCUCCGUGGCCCAGGGGCUCGACCAGGAGCGCCAGCUGAAGGCCUAAUCCGAGGGUAUGACUCUGUUUAUUUCUUUGUCUUUGUGAUGUUGCGGUGAUAUUUUAUUUGGCGGGUUCUUCUGGAUGAUCCUUGCAGAUGAGCUCAACUGGCUGAGGGAGGUGCUUGACGCGGAGCGCGCUGAGCACGGCGACCUGCGGGACGCGGUCCGCGUCAUCUGUGACUUCCUUAGUGUGGUCCAGGGGGAGGGGACGAGCUCGCUGGCGGCUCGUGUCCUCGGGACGUACCGCCGGACCAGCGAGAUCGCCCUGGAAGCGCUUCGCACCGGCUUGAGGCAAGCCUUUGGGGUCUUCGGCUCCCACUAUUCCGGCAUCAACUUCGCCGGGAUGAGCGGGGGAUACGCCACCGGCUACUACGAGGCCGAGCUGGAUGAGAUCGACGUGUCGGUGCUCAGCCCGGCGGAGGCCUUGGUGAAGCUCCUCGAGGAUGAGGCCGUCCCGCCCGAAGAUCCCCGGACGAGUUAACUAUAUCGGGCUGGCGCCCCAGAUGUAAAUACGUUAGGGAAAGACUUGUUUUUUGUGAGGGCCGUAGAGGCCUUUUCUAUGAAUUGUCGUAAAAAAGUUUUUGAUUCCCUUUCUUGCUUUUUGGACUUGGAAAGUUUAGAGCACGUUGUCGGGCGUGUCAGUAAGCUUUGAUGAGCGAAGGCACCGUAGCCGCUGGGGCGUCGUUUUUUUUGCAGUCCGAUCAAUCUUGCCUGAACACCGUUCGUGCACUUUCUCCUUUUUAUGCCCAAAAGUUCAGAAAGAGGGUCGGCUCGGAAAGAGAAAGCGUUUUGAGAGGGUGUCAAGUGGCUUAGGUACUUGCGGCAGGUUGCGUGGUGGACGCGGAUAUCCUUCUCCCUGACAGAUCUGCGGCGCAUUUAUGGUGAGAUCAACAUGGGGACCCACAAGACCCGCGCCCAAGGCGGAUACUUGUCUGGAGGGCCCGGGUUAGCCCGACCCCCUACGCUUGGGGUCAGGCGAGGCGGAGACUUGCGGCGGGGGGUUGGACGCUCCUGACCCUAGACCUGCGGUCGGGCGAGGCGGAGCUUGGUCUUCCAGGGGUCGGGGGCGCCUUACCCCGGGAUGCGGGGUCGGGCGAGGCGGAGCGUAAUUCUUGCCUCCCAUGUUGGGCCGACGGCAAUCUUUGUUACCUUGGGUGGGCCUGGGCCUUUAUGUUUUGUUGUUUCCAUGGGCUUCGAGAGGUCGUUAAUAUUUCCCCCCAACACUAUGAGGAGGACUUGUGGGCAGAAAGUCAGCUACCACAAACUUGCCUCUGAAUAUUUGGAGUGCAAACAUUGGAUGGUGGUUGUGGAGAGCCCCAGCCAUACCUCGCACCCGUGGAGAGGUAAUUGUCGGAUUGCUUGGUUCGUCUCUAGAAUGCGACAAGGUCAGGCGCCACCUCUCACUGCUGCCAGUCAGAAGGCCGAGGGGCCAGUUUCAACAUAGUAAUGAGAAUCUCCGAAGGCCAAUAUGGUUAAGCAGCUAACCUCCAUGAUCAUAGACUUACGUUUAGAAAAUAGGAGGCUUAGCGAUGCGUUAACAGAGCAGAAGUUAGAAACAGAAGAACUUAAGGACGACUUCCGUGUCCUCCGCCUUGGUCUUUGUGCUAAGAUAAAGCGCUUGUACAAUGCCACGGGGAAUGACGGUCUCUACGAUGCAGCUCAAUAGACGUGCCCCUUGUAUCCUUUCCUUUAGGCACUUUAGAAUAUGUUUAUUUGUUUUCCUUCAUUUUAAUUUCCAAUAGAUUGUUAGCGCCUCCAAUUUAAUUUCAAUAAAGUGUAGACUCACCGGUCAUCCAACUUGAUGGAGUCCUUUUGUCACCUAGUUGUCUUUGGAAGAAGUAGCUGGGUACAAAAUAAGUGUGGGGGAGAGCCACAGACUCUCUAGAGCUGAAACAAUGCACAACACCCACAAAUAGAGAAAACCACGCUGCACCAGCACGUACGUGAAAGUGGAGCCAGAGCUGGACCCAUAGGGGUUUGGCCAACCCAAGGGGUGGCCCACUCGGGCCAUCUUCAUCCACCGCGUCGGUUUGUGUCUCUUUACCCCUGAUCUCCCUGAUUCAUGAGUUUGAAUGAAUUUUAAAUCUGAUCAACUAAUUCAAACUCAACUAAAAUGAAUCAACUGCUCCACCUGCUCUACAUGUUUUCUAUGGUUGGCUUGCAUAUGUUUUAUUUCAUGCUUAUCAUCUUGAUGCUUGUGAACAAAUAUCUUUAGGACAGCAUGCUCAUCUAAGUAGUUGAUGUGUAUGAUAUGGUUCGAUGAUAUGAUCUUCACUCUUAAUGCUUAAGUGCUUGGGAAAAUCUAUUUGAAAAUUUAAAAGCCUUUUUGAAAUCUCCUCUUUGAUGUGCCAAAGUCCUACCAAAGCCAUAUGAUAAGUUAUCUUGAAAAACCAUUUGCAUAUGUUGCUUGUCUUUGCAUUGAGCUUUGUCAAAUUGGUGUGACCCUUGUCACAAUUCUUUUCAUACUUUCAUGAUCAAGACUCAUGUGCACGCCAUAUACCCCUUGCUAUGCUUCUAUGAGAUGUUAGCAUUGUACCAUCCAUUCAUUCCACAAAAUAAAUGCUCCACCAUAUGUGUUGGUCUCCUUCUAAGAUUAUUGUUACAAAAGAGAUAUGGGCUAUCAAAAAAAAAUAUGAAUGUCCAAGAAAGUUGGACACAUGAAUGUCCAAUAAAAAGAAAAAGAAAGAUAGCCAUGUCCUCAGAAAUAUUUACAAAGGGAGAGAGAUCAUACAAAAAGGAGUUUCCAUUCCAUCCACCACAUCCAUACAUGUGCACAUCUUGAUCUGAUUGUAUGACUUAUUUUUCUCUUUGGAUCUGGUCUUUGACUUUGCAAUAUAUGUGAUGCAAGCAUGCCUUAUCCUUCAUAGCCUACCUUGAGCUCCACAUAUAGCCAUCAUUAGAAGUAGGAUGAAGAAAGGCAAGUCUAAUGCCUUGGUGAGGACAUAUACACAUUGAGUGAUCUGAGAGAAUCAAAUGAGGAGCUAAGCAAGGUUUUGUUUUGAAAACUAAUUGAAAAAUCCCAAGCUACUUGGCAUAAGGAGUUGAGGUGACUUGAUUCAAGACCAUUACAUUCCUCAACUACCCAAGAUGGCAUGAUAGACACUCCAAAGUUCACAAGUGCAGGUAUGGUUUGGAAUAUCUUUUAGGCUCGCUUCAUACCUUUGAAAGUUAUGUUUCACCUUAGUCCUUUCUCGUUCACUCAAGGAUAAGCAAAGGCUAAGUGUGGGGGUGUUGUUGAUGGCUCUUAAGUACAAAAUCUGCGCCAUCAACUCUUGCAUAAACACAUAAAAUAUGAGCAUCAACAAUAGUGGUAGGAGUUAUUACAAACGAAUUCCACAAGUCUUGGUGAAUAUUUGUAUGCAAGCCCAAUAGGAGAGAAAAGACACCUCAAAAGCAAGGAAACACACUCUCAACCAAUCAAGAGCAAGCACAUGGAACCAUGGGCCCACAACCAAAAGGAAAUCGACUACAUUCCAAACACCCUAUACCCACAUGAGAACCCAUAGGGCAGUGACCCAGAGCAAAGGUGAUGCCAGAGUGUAGAUGGUAGUUAGCAUGCCAAAUUUUGAACCGCAAGCGCUCGGAUUAGUUGUUUCUUUUCCCUUAGAGAUUCCCCCAAGGUUUAUCAAUCCAUGGAACAAGGGAUUUGCACGUUUCACUAAGCACUAAUCAAUGUAAUUGAAAGCUUUUCGAAUAAGAUAUGAUUAUGCUAACAAAGGAACUAAGCAAUCUAGAUUAAGAUGGAUAGAGAGUACAGGUUGUGAACAAGAUAGAUUAAACGCUUGUAGAUGCAAUCACCAUGCAUGAAUGAAUUAGAUCUAGGUGUUAUUGUGAGUGGUUGUGAACCAUGCCCAACACUUUCCCACCCGCAACAUUGUCACUACAUGUGGGUACUCAACUAUCGGAACAUAAGAACACAUCAAGAUGAUCAUUCUAGGUAAGCAAAUAAGCAACCCAAAGUAGCGCUGGCCAGCCUUUUCAUGAAAGAGCAUCAUCAAGAUAAGAUUGAUAACAAAAUAGAUCUCAACCAAAGGUUCAGCGAUUACAAAUCAAGAUCUUCGUAUAACCCCGAUGACAAAUAGAGGUAUUACCCCCAUGAUCUUACACAUGUUGAUGAAUUUUAGGGUAAAGGACACCCUGUAGAUCAACUGGACCAAAGAUGAUGAUGAACGGGGGCAGGGAAGGCCCAGGUUGAUCAGCCUGCGCACUUUUGAGCCGAUCAGCUCAGGGGGUUUCCUCCUCCCCUGGUGCUCCUCUUCGCGUGGCCUCCUCUGGAUCCAAUCUUCUCUUCAUUUCUCCUACUUGUGGCGGCAAUGGAUGGUGUUUGCAUGGUGAUUUCCUCUUCUCCCCAACUCUCCCUCCUUGAAGUCCAUGAGGGGGUAUUAAUAGUCUCCAAUAGGCGGCAGCUCUGGGUCAAUGUCAGUGAAAAAAUCCUAGAGAUCAUCGUACACUUCAUGCUGAGGAAACAAGAGGUUGACCGAGCCCUGGGAUAGACCAAGAGGAUCAUCCUAGAGGGUCCCAGGCUAAUCGGUCUAGGCCCUUCCUAGCCCUUCUAGUCCUCUCCUUCCUCGUGCUGGCUUUUCUCGAUGACCCUUGUCCAAAUAUCCAUGAAGCUCUAUAUACAUACCCCCUUGAUUAUGUUGUAUUUCCUGUCAAAAUACAAUGCUCCAAAAUACAACACAUAUGCAAUAAUAGGGUUAUUUCAGGUGCCAAUUGGUGGGUUAGUAUACGAAUAAGCAUGAAAAUACUGUUUAAAUGACACUAAAAGUGUGUCAAUAACGAGCACCAACAAUCCCCCCACGCUUAGAUCUUGCUCGUCCUCGAGCAAGUCUAGCGACUAAAAGAUCUUGAAUUAAACCUGAGCAAGCGAGUCAAGUACCUAGCCUUGAAACAAAAGAUUAGAGGAGCAGCAAAGAUAAUCAAAGUCUGGGUGUUCAAAGAUUUAUCUAAGCAAAGAUUCCCCUACAACUAUUAUUCAGAACCAAGUAACUUCAAAAAUCAACUACACUUAUUUUCUGGCUUUUUUCAGAGGGUUUUUCUUUCAUCAUAAAACAAUCUCCCUGCAACAAAAUUGAAAAAAGAAUUAUUUUCAAGGUGCUUACAUGUCGCUUAAAUGAAUGUUGGCUAUCCUACUUAUUUGCAAGCUCUCAUCUCUCAAAAUUCAUUCAAUUAUAUGGUGGAGUUUGGGUAAGGUUAGCUAGAAUCAACACGUAUAUUAUUGAAUUAAGAAAACCCUCUAACGGUGGCCUACCUUCCGAGCCAUUGAUCAUAAGAAUAUCCACAUAAUGUGAAGUUUUCAAGGAUGAGAAGAUAUAGAAUGGUGGACAUGUGCAAAGGCAAAGAAAUAUAGUGACUCUGAGGCACAAGCAAUGUCCUCGUCGUUGGAUUGCAUAUGGUUGUAAUGAAAAUAUGUUCCUUAAACAAGUCUAUCUUUUCUUUGCACCACUCUUGAUCUUCAUGACAGUAAAAACUCCUCCUUUAUUUCUUUCUCUCUUUUCCUAUUAUUUCUUUUUAUUUGUCUCAAUACUUUUAUUUCUUUAUUUCUUUAUUUUAAUCUCUUCUCUGAACCUCUUCUGAACACCACAUAAUAAAAAUAAGUUUUAGAUCCUUCCAGAGACCUUCCAGGAAUUUGCUACAUGAAAACCGAGGCAAGGAGACCCCAGGCCGAUUGGCCUAGCCACUCCUUUGCUCUCCUCUAGCUCUUCUUUCUGGUGAAGCUUCCUUAUCUUGUAUCUUUCCAAAAAUUUCAUAAAGCUCGACUAGAAACGGAACAGAUCUUCAUAUAAUGAGUUGUGUUCAAGGAAUUGGUAAUAAAAUUGAGAAAUUUGUGGUUCGGGUUUACGAAUUCAGUACAAAAAUAUGAUUGUUCCAAUGAAGAACUCUCAUUACUGAAUAUUGACGAGGCAAGCAUUCAAAGAUGGUAAAAAGGAUAUGAUCAAUUCUCAAAAUUAAAGCAAACCAAGAGAGAGCGAUCCUAAUUCAAUUCAAAGUGUCAAAUGUUGCUUAUGGUGGUAUGAAUAAAUAUUUUUAGGCAUUGGGUAGGAUAAAUAAAAACUCUCAACCUGGUUAAAAGAUAUUGAUCAAUCUUGUUUUUGCAGAGGUUUUAAAUAAAAAAUAAAAUUUUAAAUCACCUCCAAUUCAAAGCCUUACUCAUAAAUCAUAAUCAAAACUGAAGCACUUGAUCAUCAUAAAGCAUGGGUAUUGCAUAAACAAAUCGAUUACUAAAACUCCACAACUACGAUUUAGAAUUCAAGACAAUGCUCAUAAUCUAAAGUUGCAAAGAUAAAAUAAAAGACAACCAAGCCAAGGUAGACACUAAAAACACUUGCACGAUCCUUGAAUUUUAUUCAUGCUUCUUCUCACAAAGACGCUAAAGUAGCCAUGUAGGCCUAAGUCUUCCCAAAAGCUUAAGAAAACUACUACUUUAUCUACUUUUGGUUGAAAUAAAAAGACUAAUCUAGACUCUCACAUGAUUCGACUCGACCAAAUUAGAUCCAAAAACUCAUACGAGCGACGAUCUCCCCCCCCUCACGCUUAAAAUCUACGACCUCCUCGUCGUAGCCAUAUGGAGUACAAGGAAAAGAAGCUUGUAAACGCUCUAAUGACGCUACCCGCACUACUUGCACACGGGAUGGUUGCUGCUUCCUUCGCUUUGUUCUUCCUCAUGUUGCUGCACAUCCCGAAGAGCUUCCUCACGUUCCUCUGCAAGAACUUGAACUCGUCCUCCUGACGGCGAUCAUUAUCUUCUGCCUUUUGAUCCAGAGCUUGUAAGGCUUGCAUGAUGUCAUCGAACGCAUCGAAGAGGUAGUGGAUGUUCUUCCUGCAAGCUGUGGAACAUGUACGAUCAUGCUCCUCCGAUUCUGGCCCGUCGUCUUCUAGAUCCUUCUCUUUGCCCUUGUCUUGACGGUGGCUAUCUUGCUCCUUGCUCGCCUUCUUGCCUUCAGCCCAAUCCCAGUACGUGUUGUCAUCUUCUUCAUCGUCACGGCCUGCAGCACCCUAUGAUCCAUUGUCUAUCUUGUAUGAAAGAAUCAGAAGCUUGUUCUCCUCAGGGUGUCUUGCGCGGUGCAGCGUUUGCAAGUGCAAGACUUGCUAGUUCCUUUUACACAUUGUAAUGUUCAUUGCAUGCUCUAAUUGUUCUACAUUUGUAAUUUCUUGGUGAAGUUUGGUUACUGAUCCACUGUUUGAUUAACUCUUGGGCCCAAACACUGUACUACUUCUGAUUAGAUAUCUGUAUCUUGACUUUGACCAAAAAAAAUAUCCGGCAGUUUUUGCCAUUAAAGUUUCAUAAAUCAUCUUGCAAAAAUCGUACUAUACAACAAGGGACGGUUUAUUAUAAAAUAUACGUUCCCCUUAUCACAUGCCACUUCCACUCAAAAGGCAACGAAUCAGUUUUCAAUCCUGAGUGAGCAAUUUGCUUUUAUUACCGAUGCCUCCUAUUCCCUUGUGCACCAAGUUUAUUUUGGAUAGGGCUGCAAAAAACGACUAACCAGCUCGGAUUCUCCACCUGCAAAACCGCAUCUGCAGCAACCAACCCCACGCGGUGGAAAAAAAAACAAAACCUAGAAACCGGACGGGGGUGGAUGUGGGGCUCGGAGCCCAAGCAAAAAACGGAUCGGGAGCGCCGGAGCAGGCCAUCACCGGAUGUUAGAGAUAGAAAAUGGUUGAAGUUUGGAGUGGAAAUCAAACAAGCCUUGGAGCAAAGGAAAAAAAAAGAUCAAACCACUCAAGCAUUCAUUUGAUUUAGAAAAGAGAACAUUUGUUAAGGUGGGGAGUUGAAAUCAUCUUUUAAUUAGUUCCACGUAUCUGGUAUCAUUACAGUUGGUUUACUUGUGUAAGUAUAAGUAGCUCUGCCGAAGCCUUUGCUCCUAUAAUUUAGUAACUAGUACAAAUGGAUCAAUAGGAAAAUCAAGUUGCAAUCAUUUCUCAGCCAACCAAACCUAUGUAAAUCAAAUUAUUGUCCAUGCCCGGCAUGCACAGGUGCCUGCCAUGCAUGCAUUGUUGCUCCAUUGUAAUAACCAUUAUUGUCCAUCGAUGUUGCAGCGCAUGUGUGCACUGUGCAGACACCAAGCAUCGAGAUUAUGUACUAGUAAGGUGUUGAAAUAAUGGGCCUAGCCCAUAAGUAAUUUCAGAAUUUCAAAUAAAUCUCAAAGGCCCAUGUGGGCAAGAGGUGGAGUGGUGCAAGUCUUUAGUCCCACAUUGCUAGUCGAGGGGAGGGAUGACCAACUUAAAUAUGGAAGUUGUCUCCACUCCUCCAAGCUAUGUGUGAAGGGCGCGGGCGCGAGGCACUUGCGUGAAUGGUCCGCCGAAAUCUGGCCCCCCUUGCGGGGGCGCGGCUUCCUUUUGCCGUUUUAUUUUUUGGUUACUUGGUCGUUAAGUCAUGGAAUCCUAACCGGUUUAGAUCACGAUCGUGAAGGUUUUUGGGAAGCGCUCUGCGCGACUGCUCGAUCGCUUCUUCCGCUUCGUCAAGUUCUUCGUCGACUCCUUCACCACGGCUCGUCUACCUCUUCGUCGCUCGGGCCUCACUCGUCGUCGCGAACAACGUCAGGCUGCUGAUCGUCGUCGCCUGCUGUAUCCGGUAGUCGUCCAGGAGCCGGUUUUCAUCAAGAAAGAAACGUACGGUCUCUUAACUCACAUUAUGUCUUCCAUACUAGCUAUUAUGAUUGUUGCAGUCUGAUAGCUCUGGAUAGUAUGGUAGAAUGUCUGAUUCUAUUUGCAAUGAUAGACUUGUCUAGAUCUUGCGUAGACAUGUCUAGUUUAAUCUGCUGCUUGUUCAUCAUAUUCAUGAUUUAUUUCUGGAUUAAGUUAAAACUAAAAGUGCUUAUAUAUCCAACAUAAGGUACCAAGAACACGUGAAGCACCCGGGGGAGGCUGCUCCACUCCGCAUGCACAGGUGGGCACGGCACCACUACUCGUCUCCUUCAGGCUGAGGAUAAGUGAUGUACGCUGAUCAACAGACCACGACGGAACCAGCAAUAAUAGUUUCAGCCUGCCUCACAGUAAUUAAUAUAUCCUGUAUCCUCCGAGGACCCCUCCCCUUAAUCUUGGCCUAUUGCAUCCAAUAAUGAUAUGUGUGUUUAUCCAAAUUUACGGCACCUUUGGCGGGGGUUCCACCCAGCUCCGCCCUCUCCACCUUCGGUACUCCAUGGGAAACCAUUCCUUUGGAAUCAAGGAAGCUUGAACAGUAUAACGAAUAAAGUUUCAUAUAUCCAUUUGAUUUCACAUGAAAUAAAAUAUUCUGUCAGAACCAAUGGUUUCACUGAAGCUCCAGGCAGCGAGCGAAGGGGUGAGAGAGGAUAACGCUUACUGUGUGUUACCAUCGCGUGCACCAUGGAUGACCAACGCGCAGCCGAGAUGAAACGGCGGACCUAAACAGGUCCUCGCUAUUUUUGCAGGUUCUCGACCAGGCCAGUUCUUUAGGCCAACCUAUCAUUCACGAGUUAAACAUACGGUGGCUGGAGAAAUGUUCUAUUCUUUUAAACAAUACCAGCUGGUUCCUCCGUUUUUAUUCCACCAAUACAAGCACCACCUUGUAACAUUUCCUAUGUUUUUUUUCCUUUCGUCUGUUUUCUCACUACAUGCGUUGCUCUUUCAUGCAUUUUUUUCCAUUCCUGUAUUCCAAAUAGGUCUACAUGAACACAAAAUGAACUAGGGGACAGAAAAAGCCAGUGAAGUUAGUUUUGAGCUUCACCAGCUACUUGCUACAUAAAGUGUGCUAUAGUCGCAGAAAAGCUAAGCUGGAUCAGACGUGGCCGAAACAAUGCCAAAGAGCUAGGUCCCUAGCUGAUGGCAACACAUCAGAUGACUAGCCUGCUUUUCUGUAAUAAUGAUAUUGAGCAAUACACUGCAUGGCUAACCUGCUUUACAAUAAUUGUCAUUUUAUAAUAUUGGUCAUCACGAGAGAUGCACAUUGCAUACACCGGCCCAUCCCUAUAAAUAGCCAAGCCUUUCAGCCAUCUUGGGCACCUCCUCUCAGGGCCUCGUCUCACCAUCAGACAUCUCGUUCCCAGUUAUAAUUUGCGAGGUUAGAUCAGGCUGCGCCAUGGCGUCCGCAACUGCUGUCAAGAUCGUCGCCACCUUCAUGCUGGUGCUGACCAUGGGCCACCUGAUGGCCGAAGCAUCACCGCAGCCUCGGCGUGUGCUUGCAGAAACGGAGCAUGCUGCGGUGUCCGGGAAUCCUGGCCUCCCAGGUGAUGCUAGCGUCAUGCAGGUCCUCGAACCCGCCCUAGUUUCUCGGCUUGCCUGCAAACCAGAGUGCACAGUCCCUUGGCCUCCUUUUGUAUGUAUCUGCUAGAUCCUCUUCCUGGCUCAACGGAACUUCAGGGAAAUGGCUGUGACGUCGGCCAAAGAAUAAAUUGGAUGAACAUAAUAUACCCCGGGUAGUGUAGCUUGGGCUUUUGUUGAGCGUCUGGUGCUAGUUGUAUUUUGUUUGCUCAUGUGGCUUUGCUUCUGGUUGCAUAUUGGCUUUCCUAUCGCUCUCUGUUGCAGCUAUGGUUUCUGCCAGGUGUGUGUUAAUGCGGUUUGUAAGCGGUGCUUGUUCCUACCUUCUGUUUUCAAUAAAAGAAGUCGGAGUCUCCCUCCGACUCUUGUUAUCAGUCAACAAAAAUGAGUUGUAUCAUAUAUAUCUGCGUCUUUUUUCUACGUAUCUUUGGGCUGCUUCAGCUGGAAGUUUAUCGUAAGUACGUGUAUCAGGAUGAUCGUUUGAAUUAAAACGAAAUGAUAAUGUGUGGCUGCUAGAAAUGGAAUGAGCAUCUUACUAUAUUACUAAUUGGAAGCCUCCACGUGAAGCCACCUAGAAAUUCUAGGUGGACGUUUUAAAAAAAACAAAACUCAUAGAAGCCUCCACCACCUAGGAAUCCUAGGUGGACACUCUAAAAAGAGACAAAUCCUAGAAAUUCUAAAAAAAGAAAAAAAUAAUAACAAUAAGAUUUUUUUGCAGUCAAUUACAUAUAUUUUUUUGAGACACCGUGCUGCUAGCUCUUGCCAUUGCGACCAGUAAAGCAAGCAGAUAGUAAGAUGACAUGCGUGUGGAUUGAUUAAAACAAAUUCAGUUAGUUGAUUCUAAAUCGUAUGUAUCCUAAAAGGAAGAUAUGUGCGUGCAUGGUCCCUAGCGAUGACAUGUAGACAUGUAUUGCAAUUUCUUUUUUAAAAAACAUGUCUAUCUCUAAACCAACAAACAGAAAAAAUAUCAAUCUAAAUCUAAAUCUCUUCCGUUCUCACACGCCUAUUAAAGAGAAGACAACCAAUCCCAUCCAUGUUCCAUAGAAUCCAUCUAAAAGCUUGCUCACUGCGGACGGCAUUUGACGGCAAAUCAAUGAAAGAUCAUCCUCUCCAAAUAGCUGGACGGCAUCACCAUCUUUAUCUCACCAACCUACAGAGCUACAACGAUGUUGUAGAGAUCAACUAGGUAACCUACCAAUCACCCUCCCCUUUUCUAUAUGCUCUAAAGAACACGUGGAGUAAUUAUAGGCCUAUAGGAGCCGACUAACCUAGAUUAAUAUGAAAAAUAUUCCAAUAUUAAAAGCAAGCAGAUAGUAAUACUUGCCUUUGACCAUUUUUCUAGAACUGUUAUUCCUAUUGAAUGUUCAAGUGCUACGGCCAGGCAUCGAAUGCCUGCACGGAACCUUCCUAUUGAAUGGUUACUCUAGAGAUCAACGCACCGCGAGACAUUUUUAUGGAAUUUGUUUGAUUCCCCUUCUACAAUUAGAUUAAUUUUUCAUGGCAUAUAUUACUACUAUUAAAUUAUUUGUUUAUUGUCGGGCCUGCUGCAUGUGUGGUAUAUAUGACUUGCUUCUCACCAUUGUUCUCAAACUAUUAUUCCUAUCGAAUCUUUCUAUCGAAAUAUAUUUUAAUUACUUGAUUGUUGUUUGUGUACCAUAACUUCUGUAUAGAAAAAUUCCAUGUUUGUAGAUAAUGUCUUUUGUAUAGAAAAAUAGCCCAAUUAGAUCCAUCACCAUCUUUUGCUUAUGUAGUUGAACAAGUUGCAAUGUUGAACAAAACUUUAAGUGAAAUUAGACCAGGAAAAGGAAUUGUGGAACAUUAAGGCAAGGGUAACCAGAUUGUGGAAUGCAACCUUACUCAGUAGUGGCGAACAAUUAAGUCUUGACAUGAUCCUUAUUGAUCAAAAGGUAUGAUAGAUGUUCACUUUGAUUGCAUUAUUGGUAUAAUUUUUGGUUUACAAAUUAUUAAUGAUGAUGCAAAAUUAGGGAACCAUGAUCCACGGUGUUAUCAAUAAGCCCUAUAUGAAAAAGUUCAAACCAUUGAUUGAAGAAGGCAAUGUGUACAUAAUUGCAAAUGUCAGAAUCACACCAGAACCACAGAAGUAUCGGCCAGUGGAAAAUGACAGGAUAGUCAACUUCUUACCCACAACUGCACUAAAAACGAUCAAAGAUACUGAAGACAUUCCAAAGUAUAGUUUUAACUUCAUGAGCACGGAUAUGCUUUCAGCAAGAAUAAAUGUGGACAUGUACCUAUUAGGUAAAACAUUACUGGCUUUUCAAUUUUUACACUUCCACUCAUUAAAUGACCAUCUAAUAAUAAUACAUAUUUAUGUUUCAUAGAUGUUAUAGGUAUCUCAGCUCACAUUGGACCGAUAGAAGAAACAAGGACAAACUUCGGAUUUACUAAAAUCCGUGAUAUUGUGCUCCUGAUCGAGUAAUUCUCUUUUCUUUUGUAGAAAACAACUACAAAACUUUCAACAUUUACAUGUAUGUUAUAGAACUUCUGUUGAACUAAAAAAUAUCUUCUACAGUGCCCCUACAAAUAAUUAAUUUCGUAGUUGGAUAUUUAAAAUAUUUAUUAUUCACUUUUAAAUUUGUGGCCAUGAAGUUAAAGUUAGAUUUUGGGGAGACAAAGUUGAGGAAGUUGAUGAUAAGACAAAAUCCCAUGUCAUUGCAAUAACAUCUACAACUGUGAGUAAAUUUGGCAGUAAGUCUUCAUUCAAUAUGAGUUAUUCAAUAUUAGUCAUUCAACAAACUAACCUCGUAAGAAAAAUAAAUAAUUGAUGUUUUAUCAGGGUAUUCUCUAUCGUCAACCAAUGCAACAAAACUUUAUGUAGAUCUACCUAUUCCUGAAACUAAGGAUGCACAUGAUAGGUGAGAAAAAUUAGAUAUUGUUUUUCUAUUUUAAUCUAUGUAGCAUGCACUCUAACAUGAUACAUUCUUUCAUAUGAUAAAAAAAUGUUAGUUCAAUUGAAAAUAUUGUCAAAGAGAUUCAUAUUGAGGACCAUCUAAAAGGGACAUUGGAAGACCAAAUGCAGUACAAUAGAAGAACUUUAGAAGAAUUAAAUUUCAUAUUAUUUGAAACAUCAAAUCAGGUAUGGAUUAGUAUGUUCAUUGUACACUAUACUAUUUAAAGACUUACAUACAUAAUGAUGGUAUUGUUCCUACUUUCAGGAUGAGGUAUUUACUAUUGAAGCAACAAUAAAUGAAAUUAAUGCAACAUAUGGUUGGUUGUCACACCCGAUUUUAAGGACAAAAUUGAGUGCAUUAAAUACAUGUGCACCAGGAUCAAGUUACACACAUCCUAUGAGUACCGUCCUUCUUUGGCACAAAGAUAACCGGUGCUCCCCAUGGUGAUGAACUAGGCCGAAUAAACUAUUUUGCUGAUAAUUCCUCUAGUUGUUGUUUCAAUUCUUUUAAUUGUUCAACCAACAUUCUAUAAGGACGUUUGGAGAUAGGUGCAGUACCAGGUAAAAGAUCAAUAGCAAAUUCAAUGUCGCGGUCAGGUGGCAUACCUGGUAAAUCGUCGGGGAACACAUCCGGAUAGUCACACACCACUUUGAUAUCUUCCAAGGAUUUUCCAGCCAACUGAUUAACUGCACAAUCUGCUGCUGAGGGUAGAGUAGCUACAAACUCCACUUUCUCUCCAUCAGGACCUGUUAGCAGAACUGUCCUCUUGGCACACUGAAUCGUUGCAUCAAAAGCGGCUAACCACCUCAUCCCCAGAAUUACAUCGAUUCCACUGGACUCAAGGACGAUAAGAUCAGCCGGAAACUCUAUACCCAUUAUUCUCAGUUUAACUUGUGGACAGAUGUAUUGAGCCUUCAUUGACCCCCCAGGUGAACUCACUAGCAUAUGACGCCUCAUGGUAUGCAUGGGUAAAUUAUGCUUUGCUACAUAAUGACUAGUGACAAAAGAAUGCGAUGCUCCAGAGUCAAAUAAAACUGAUGCGGGGGCAGAGUUGACAAAGAACAUACCAAGCACUACAUCUGGAGCCUCCUUAGCAGUCUCGGCUUCCAUGUGGUUCACCUUGCCACAAACAAAGCUUUGCUGCCCCUGAUUGCCUUGUGGGGUCUGGUUCCCAUUCCUCGGUUGCUGCAUCUGAUUCUGCCGAGGAGCACUGCUGUUCUGCACGGGGGUAGCUGGCCCACCUCUCUUAGGACAAGAGCUGGCAUAGUGACCAACCUCGCCACACUUGAAGCAGGUAGGACCCACUGGAGCAUUGGGCCUUGUUGGAGUGCCAGUAGGGGUCAUCUGGCGGUUCUGCGUAAAGCUUGGGCGCGGAGUCUGCAUAGUCUGCAUCCCUGGAUGCUGGAACUGAGGGCUAGGGCGCUGGAAUGACUGCUGAGCAGGGCGCGGAAAUGAGUGCUGCCAAAAAUUCCCACUCGGGCCCCCUGCGCGGAACGGCGUCCCUUGCUGUGGAGCAAAGCGAGGGCGGGUGUUGCUUCCUGAAGACUACUGGGAAUUGAAUUUCCUCUUCAUCUCCCCGAGCUCGUUCCUCUUGUGUUCCAGGCCAAUUGCCUUGUCUAGCAUCUUCUGGAAACUGGGGAAGGUGUGCGACAUAAGCUGAUAUUGGAGUGGUCCAAUCAACCCAUCCAAGAAUAGCUCCUGCUUCUGCUCAUCAUCAGCAACAUCUUCGGGAGCAUAUCGGGACAACUGGACAAACUUGUCCCUGUACUCUGCCACUGUCAUGUUCCCCUGCUUGAGAGCAAGGAACUCCUUCUUCUUAAGCUUCAUCAAUCCGGAAGGAAUAUGAUGACUUCUGAAGCUAGUCCUGAAUUCAUCCCAGGUGAUGCCAUUAGCAUUGGCAUGGGUGGUGGUGUAAGCAUCCCACCAAUCAGCAGCUGGCCCUUCCAGGCGUCCUGAAGCAUACAGGACCUUCUCCCUGUCAGUACAUUGGGCGAUAUCCAGCAUCUUCUCCACUGUUUUCAGCCAAUCAUCAGCAUCUAAUGGAUCCGGAGAAUGUGAAAACGUCGGGGGCUUGUGGCUCAUGAACUCCCUAUGCCUGUCCCUUGGCGGCGGCUGCUGCUGGUUGUUGUUGUUGUUAUUGUUCAGCUGAGCUUGUAAAGCUGCCACGGUGUUGGUCAGUCCGGCGAGAAGCUGAGUCUGAGCUGCUAGAAACUGCUCCAUCCCUGCAGGUGCUUGUUGGUUCUGUUGCGGAGCGGUGUUGGGAUUGCUGCUGUUGUCCCUGUGGCGUGGCACUGUGGGACGGUCAACUCCUGAUCCGGACCUGGUGUUUACCAUCUGAGCGUUAGAGACAAUGGAUUUAGAUAGAUGUGUGAAAGAAUAACUGAGAAAGAUAAAGCGACCAGAUGUAAAAGUAACACAGAUUCUGUUAGCUCCAUUUAAUUAGGUGUGGUCGUCAGAAGAAGUGUCCAUAAAUUCUGAACAAUUACCAAGUCGUAACUUAUUAAAUUUGUAAACCAACCCAACUGGAAUCAUCUCAAUCGGACUUCUGGAUCUCGAGUUACAAAAUUAACAAGCUGACAGUGUCGGUCGAUAGGUUCAGAUUCUGAGUGCUUUACUAAUUCGCAUACACCUCCCAGACAGAUACACCAAAAAUUCUGAAAAAUUUACAGAUAGUACUCCACGAAAUUCUGAAACUAACCCCACUGGUUUCAUGUCAUUUGGACUUCUGUAGCUAGAGAUAUAAAUAAAAAAGUACUGGCGUGUCAGUUAAUGUCGAGAACAGAAUUGAAUGUCGCUUAGCUUGCGUGAUGGAUAGAUUUAGACAGAUGGUAGAUCAUGAUUAAGGAAGAUUAAAUACUGAUUUAGAACAGAAAUAAAACCCAACUAAGCACUUUAUUUAUUAAGACCAGUAUCGUGUGGCAAUUGCCCCACAUACCGCACUCAUUACAAAAUCCAACUCAAACAUGUAGCACAAAACCAAUCAUCUAAGCACACUUUAACUAACACACUCGAACGACGUCUAACGAUUACAAGAAUUUAAACUAAAACACUCCUAAUUUCCUAGAGGUCUUCUGCGGCGGUGCCGGGCGAGUCGUAGCGGGGACGCUUAGGCGACGGCGACGAAGCGGGAUGAACAGCAAACUCCUGCGGCGGCGGUGCUCCCGUCGCGGCAGCCAUAUUCGCAUCCCUCUCCCACCGGAGUUCCUGAACCUCCUGUUGAAGCUCCUGGAUGUGGUUGUUUGCUUCAUUCAAUGCGGUGAGAGCUGCCGACGUGUACUUGCGGAGGAAGUCUGUAGCCAUGUCAACCCCAUCGUUAGUAGCGAUGAAGGUUCUUGCUUCCCCACUAGCUCGGUAAGGAAGGAACCGAUGGUAAGUGUGCUGCAAUCGCGGCCGUUCCUUGUGGGAGACGACCUCAAGUGCCCUCCUGGCGGCCUCGGCAAUGCCGGAUUCCAUGGUCCUCCUUAUGGUCACAUCAUGGUGAAAAGCCUUCACCUCCCAUCCUCCCUCGUGCUCCUCACGAAGGACAACCUUCACCUCCCAAAAAGUGGGAUAGCGAGGGUGGGUGAACCGGGAGCACUUGUAGAGUGGCCUCAUGCCGUACCCCAAGCGGUGACAAGUCCACCUGAGUAUGUCGGCCAUGUGCACUCCUUGGCCAUAAUCUUCCUUCACCCAUUUGAUCCAUGUCUCGGGCUCGGGAUCUGCUUCGGGCUCAUCAUCCGUCAAGUCGACGACCGGUACGGGCGUCGGGGCUGGUGCAGGAGCGGGCGCCGGUGCUGGCGACGGUGCUGGUGACGGCGUGGUCUCCUGCUCCACGGUCACGGCGUCCCCGUCAGAGUCAUCCCCCGGAUGCUGGAAGAUCUCUUCCUCUUCUUCCUCGUCCCAAGGCUCCAUGGGGGCGUACGACGGCGCGAUGCCAUGACGCGGCGGACGGGUGCUCUUGCGUGCGGUCAACCGGGUGCGAGCCAUCUAACAGAAAGAAAGAAGAAAAUUUUAGAAUAAAAUUUUGAACAAAGCUAGAUAAUAAAAUAGCAAUAAGGAUGAGACAAAUCAAGUUUAAGAAUAAUUAAGUAGAUUUAAAUUAAGAAAGGUAGGAAUGGCUACUAGAUUAUUAUAAUCCUUAAAUACGACCAUUUUCUAACUAGGCUAACGUCCUACAGUCAACACGGCUCUGGUACCACUUUUGUCACACCCGAUUUUAAGGACAAAAUCGAGUGCAUUAAAUACAUGUGCGCCAGGAUCAAGUUACACACAUGUACGACAAUAGUGAAUAGUAAAGCCAGUGCUAAAUCGAAUAAAGAGAGUAUUAACCAUUAUUACAUGACCGAAUGUCUCAAAUAAACCACAAAGUCUAAUUAUUACGCAGCGGAACUCCAAAGAUGACGACGACUCCAUAGGCAGCUGACUGAAGAAACGUACGCCUAGAACUCCUCGAAGUCGUGGAAGUACUCCUCUUCCCAAUUAACUUGGUCUGAACAGCGGUUUUGCAAGGGUGAGUACACUUAUGGUUGGUACUCAACAAGUCGUGGGAAGUAGUGUAGUGUAAGGCUAAUUCAAGGUAUGGCUAAGGCGUAAAUAGCAUUCGCUUUUAAUUAAGUUGGUCAAAUUUUAUUAGCAUUUACUAAGUAUAAGUUCAUACCACCCGAAAUUAAACAUGAACAUAAAGUAAACCACAUGUGCAUGAAAUGAUAACAAAUUAAAUCCAUCUUCCGAUAAUAUUAUCAUGUGAGGGUCCAGGCCGCUCUUAACCGUGAGCACGGCUGAUUGAUCAGUUUAACACUCUGCAGAGGUGGCACAUCUUUACCCACAAGUCGCGUAAAAGUUCAAAAGAACUUUGGACCCAACCAUGCGGUGUUUGCAAGGCACCAUACCACACUUCCGAGGUGUGAUUGCAUAGGGACGCUACGAGGCCUUUACAAAGAUUCAUUAAUCAGUGGUAACCCGCUAAGGUUUCGGUGUCUGGCGUGCACCACCCAUCCCAGGUAAAAUGCAACGACUCAGUCCCCCCCCUUGAAUCAUCACGAGUAAGGUCACCCCAGACUAAGGUUUCUAAUUAAUCAGCCAAGACCAGAGCUAUUUAGUCUUGUGGUAGCACUGUUUUCCUGGGUGGUCGCUCCAUGUUCUGAUUAACAAAUAAUGAUCUUGUCUUAAUGAAAGGUAUAACAGAAAUAAGGCAAGAUUAAGCAUUGUUUUUAGUUAAACCACCAUGUACCAAGUAAGCACUAAGCAUGAGCUACCCAACAUAAAGUAAACCGGUUGGUCAAGGCAAAGGUAAAACAAUCUAGGCCAACCUUAAUUGGGACCCAUCAAUUUAAUCUUAAUAUGUGCACAGCAUAAAUGUUGAGUACGAGAAAGUAAAGGUGUAUAGGACAAAAAGGUAGUGAUCAAGGACACGACUUGCCUUCUUGGCCUUGCUCCUGCUGUUCGUACUCCUCGAAGGCUUGAUCGGCAACUCCCUCGAACUGCGGGGCGUCUACACGCAUCACACGAGCACAUACAAGCAAACAUGGGCAAAAGUAAGAAAACAGUAUACCAAACAUAGUCAAACAGAGAAAACAAGCUUGAAAAGAUGAUCUACGCUUUAAAACGAACACGCGGAUAUAAAGAACGCGAAAAACGGAGUUAAGAUGCAAAAGAUAUGAUUAAAACAAAAUCCAGGGACUUUUCUGUAAGAAAAACAAAACUUUUAGGGCCUAUCCGCGAAAACCGAGGGCUUAUACGUAAUUAUGCGUAUAAACCGAGGGUCUGAUGCGUAAAAACAUCAAACCCGGACGGCGGGUUGAUUUCUGGAAAGGUCAAGGGUUAAACCGAAAAAUGCGAGGGCAGAUCUGUAAAUACUUUCAACGCGAUCUGGACCGCGGGUUGAUUUGCGAAAAAGGCGGGGGCUAAAGUGCAAAAACUGCACGGCGCGGCUCGGUUGACCGGUACGCGAUCUUGAUUGACUCGCGUCCGGCCGUCGGAUUAAGAUCCGACGGUCGCGGUGAUCCGCGACAUCGCGGCGGCGGCGGCGAGCGGCGGCGAGCGGCGGCAAGCGGCGGCGGGUCGCCGGAGUUAGGCAAAAUAGCGCCACGAGGCACGGUUUAACGCGCGGGUUGCACCAAAAAAGAGAGGGGAACACGUCGAUCCCGUUUUGGGGGUUCUUGUCGACGGGGGCUCACCGGCGACGGCGAACGGCGGCGAGGAAGAGGCGGCGGCGCUAGGAGCUCGGGCGGCUAGGGUUUCGGGGAGCUGCGGCGCUGGUUUUGGGCGGAGGAGACUGGGAGGAGGCGGCGGCUUUUAUAGGGCUUGGAGAUAGAGCCGGCGCGGGUUCAAAUCCCCCGGAGGAGUCGGAGCGGAUGGAGUCCGGGGCGGAGACGGCGCGCGGCGGUUGCGGAGUUCUGACCGGAUUCGGCCGGAGGUGGGAGACGAUGGGUGGGGUCCACCCGUCAGUGGCGGAGGGGAGCGGUAGACGGGCCGGCGCGACCGUGGGCUGGCGCGCGCUCGUGGGCUGCGGGGAGCGGGAGAGAAGCGGCGAGCGGGCGCUGGCGGAGCAGGCCGAGCGGAGGUAGAGCUGGGCCGCGGAGAAAAAGGAGGAGGCCGGCGGGCUGCUUCGCAGGCCGGUAAGGAUGAGGCGGCCGGGCCGAAGAAGAAAAAGAAAAGGAGGGACAAGGAGCUUUCGGCCGAGGGAAAAGAAGAAGAAAAAGAAAAGGAAGAAGAAAAGGGAAAAGGUUUUGGAAUUUGAAUUUAAAUCUGAAAUUCAAAAUUUGAUUCAAACUCAAGCAACCAAAAAUUAUGCUCCAGCAUGAAUGCACAAAUAAUUCCUAUGAUGAAUUAAUUGAAUUAAAGAAAAUGAAUUUAAAUGCCUAGAAAUUAAAUAACACCCUAAUUUGAGCAAAUUUUAAUGAAUUUGAAUUAUUGAAAUUUUGGGUGUUACAUUGGUACUACAUCUCAUGUAGUAGAGGCGAUUGUAAGAAGCAACUUGAAAAGAAGUUUGAUCACUACUAUUGCAAUAAAUGUGACAAGAGAGCCGAACCUAAAGCCCAGUAAAUUAUUUAGUAGUUUACAAUCUUAUUAUAAUACUUCUAUUUCUAAUAGGAGAAUAAUAUUUUCAGAUUCAAAUUAAGCUUCAAAUAAGUGAUCCAACAACAAGUGCAACUUGUGUACUUUUGACAAGGAAGCAGAAAUGAUAAUUAAUGAAUGAGCAGAUUCGAUGAUCACCUCAGUUGAUCAUGAUAAUAAGUAGCUACCAAAAUCAAUUCAGGAAAUAUGUGAAGAAACAUUGAUUUCUCAAUUCAGAUUGACCGAGUACAACUUGACAAGUUUUAGACCUGAUUAUACUGUUUCAAAGAUAUUUUUUCCAAAAGAAAAGGGCAGUUCAAGAAUUGGUAUGGAAAGUGUAAAAAAGGUAACACUUUAUUAUUAAUUUUUUAUUGCACUUUUUUCUUUUGAAUCCGUAAUACUUAAUAAUUUUACUAUAUCAAUGAAACAAAUUCUAACCUAAAUUUAUUUUCUUUUUUAUUAUUUGUAGGAAGUAGAAGACAACUCAGACAAAUGCUACACGAUAACUACCGAGAAUGAAGAGGUAGACACUGAUGACUCUUUUACCGAGAAAGUAACAUUCGUAGAAGAAGCCAUAAGGACUGGGGAAAGAUUGGCUAGAAAAGUAUACUCACUUCCAUGUCAGUGUUCAUUCUAUUUACAAUACAUGCAAAAAAAAUAUUAUUCAUGCAAAAUUGCAGGUCUACUAAGCAUUAAAGGAAUAGCGGAUAGUGCAAUAUGUAAUCUGAGCAGCAUGCAUUACAAAGUGCUCUACUGCAAUUAAAUUAAAAAACAUGAUAUAUGUUGAAUUCUUAGACUUUAUUAUUAUACUUUUCUACGUGACAAUUCACAAUUUUUUAGAAAAAAGAAGAUCCCAGAAGAAGUGACCAUGAAAAAAGGUCUAUGACCAGCAAUAAGAAAAAAUGCAAGCAUAGAAACAAAUCCGUAGAAAACAUAGAAAAUAAGGUACUCCAUAAACAAAAGUAUUCUCUUAUAUUUUUAUUAAAUAUUUUUUUAACACUUGACAAGUUCUUUUUUAGGAUCAAUAUAUCAGCAAUUCAGAUGUCAUUGGAGAUGAAACCUUAGUUCAUCCAAAAGGUCAAAAAAAAACAUCUGAAGAAAGGUGUUUGGCUGAAAAGGAAAAGCAAAAAAGUGGUAAUGCAGACAAACACAUGCAGAAAAAUAUAAAAACAUGUCAUAGGGAGGCAGACCAAUCUUGCAAGGAGGUAUAGACGAAACGUGAUACACGACCUGCCUACCUUGUCGUGGAUACCCCAAGAAGAUGUCAUAGAGGUGCAGACCAAGCUAGCAAGGAGGUCGAAACGUGAUACACGGCCUGCCUACCUUGCCGUGGAUAUUAGCCCUGAGAUCAUUCUACUGUUCAAGGAAUAACACUCAAUGCUGCUGCUGCUGCUGACCUGGCUCCAUAAAGUUAUACUCCUCUAGGUGCUUGCACUAACUUUAUCUGAAGUAUUAUUCUCUCUGCACUGUAUAUAUGGUUAUGGAGUUUGCUGGAGUAUCCGGGGCGAAGAACCUACAUAAUACGUCUUGGAACUAAUUGACAUUGAUUCACAGACAAACUCUACAAGGUGCUGUUCUUGCCAUUUUAGAGCAUCCAAAGGACUAUAAAUAACAUAGUUUACCAUAUACCAUAUACCAUAUACCAUAAUAUGUUAGCUAAAAUAAGAGCAUACACAUGUUGCAGGAGUCCAAAAGCACCGGUUGAGGACCAGGUACAUUGAAUUACUAGAAAAAGACAGGGGACAAGGUUUAGGUAACCACAUGAAACAUUUGAAUUUAUUGUACUAUGAACACUUAGUUACCAUGCCAGGAGCACAUAGUUAACACUAACAUUUAGCCACUUUAGAUCAUCCCGAAUCACCAAUGACCCUCAAUAGUGACAAAUUUUGGUUUAAAUGCCAUCACCAAUGAUCCUCAAUAGUGACGUAUUUAGGUUUAAAUCCCGUCACUAAUAACCCUCAAUAGUGACCUGUUUUGGUUUAAAUCUCAUUACCACUGAUCCUCAAUAGUGAUGUGUUUUAGCAAAACAUGUUAUCAAUGACUUGUCAUUGGUGACGUGUUAAAACGCGUUAUCUCAAUGGCAAAUCAUUGGUGACGUGUUAUCUCAAUGUUAUCAAUGUUCUAUUCUUUUCAACAAUACCAGCUCGUUCCUCCGUUUUUAUUCCACCAAUACAAGCACCACCUUGUAACAUUUCCUAUGUUUUUUUUCCUUUUGUCUGUUUUCUCACUACAUGCGUUGCUCUUUCAUGCAUUUUUUUCCAUUCCUGUAUUCCAAAUAGGUCUACAUGAACACAAAAUGAACUAGGGGACAGAAAAAGCCAGUGAAGCCAAUUUUGAGCUUCACCAGCUACUUGCUACAUAAAGUGUGCUAUAGUGACGUGUUUUAGCAAAACAUGUUAUCAAUGACUUGUCAUUGGUGACGUGUUAAAACGCGUUAUCUCACUGGCAAAUCAUUGGUGACGUGUUUUAAAAAAACAUGUCACCGUGAGAGUCAUUGGUGAAGGGUAAUUAAAAUGCGUCACUAAUGUUGUAGCAUUAGUUAUGAUAAUUUAGUAACGCAAAAAUCUACCAUCAGUAUUGAGCUUUAGAGCCAUCGCUAAUGUGGGUUUCUUACAUAGUGAUGCAAGCUCUACAAGGUGCUGUUGCUGCCAUUUUAAAGCAUCCCAUGACUACAUGUUAAUAACAUAGUUUACCAUAUAUCAUAAAAAUAUUAGUUACAAUAAGCACAUACGCAUGUGGAAGAGUCCGAAUGCACCGGUUGAGGACUAAACACAUUGAAUUACUAGAACCAAAUGUAUGUUUAGAACAAAGACAGGGGUCAAGGUUUGGGUAACCGCAUUAAAAACAUUGGAUUUUACUGUACAUGAACACUUAGUUACCAUUACCAUGCCUUGAGCACCUAGUUACAACAAACAUUAAUUUAGCCACUUUAGAGCUUCCAGAAUCGCUAUAAAUAAUAUACCUACGCCGUACCAUGAAAACAUCAAGAAGAGAGACGGAUACAUGGACCACCAUCAAGCGAGUAGUGACAGCACGCACAAGAAUACCCGGAACCUGUUAGCUUGUCUGUAGUGAUCUGUUUUCUUCCCCAUAAAAUCCAUGAGUAUUGCCACAAAUAAUGAAAGAGGCUGACCAAGCUAGCAAGGAGGUAGAGCAAACGUGAUACACGGCCUGCCAAGAUUGCCCUGGAUACGCCAAUAAGAGCGACAGAUACAUGGAUCACACCAAUAUGGUGAAACGUAUAUUCAUCACACAAGCAAAGCUGGUCAGUUUAUCCAUGGUCAAAUUGUGGUCUUUGUUUUCACUUGAGAGCUAAUUGAGGCACUAUAAUAUGGGCAGGCCUAUCUUCAACAGACAUGACAGCUACAGGGAACUUGACAUAAUUUGCUGGGCCGCCUGUGCACAAUUAUUUGUUUUAUUGUCCUUGCAUAGAAUGCUAAAAUACUCUUUACAAAAUGUUGGAUCUAAUAUUUGAAAUAUAGAGUAGUAAUCAUAUAUUGAUCAACAACUUGAAAUUAUCUGUACAUUCUCGGUGAAGCUGUUGAACUAAUUUUUGCAAAUUAUUAAUUCAUCUCAUUACGUAAAGAAAAAAGUAAGUGGAUAAGAUAUUUCGUGGACCACAUCACUGCAAACAUGUCAUGGAGAGACAGACCAAGGAGGCAGGACGUGAUACACGACUUACCCUAGGUUGCCGUGGAACCGCCAAGAAGAGAUACAGAUACAUGGACCACACCAUCUUGGGAGUAGUGACAGCAUAUAUGCAGAAGAAUACCCCGUGCCUAUUUGCAUGCAUGUCUCAAGUGAUCUGUUUUCUUCAGAAAAUACAUGAGCAUUGCCAGAAAGAAUGGCAAGAGACAAACAUGUCAUAGAGACUUGCAUGUCUUGCCUUGGAUACGCCAAGAAGAGGGACACAUACAUGGAUAACACAAAUCUAGUGACACGUAUAUUCAUCACAAAGGCAAAUCUGAUAAUUUUAUCCAUGGAGCAGACCAAGGAGAAAUUGAUGACGGACAUGUGAUCUCUGUAUUCAGUUGAAAGCUAAUUGAGCUACACUAAUAUGAGCAGGACUAUAUUCAAGAGACUUGUUGAGAGCUACAGGGAACUUGUAAUAAUUUGCUGGGCGGCCUGCGCACAAUGAUUUGUUAUACAUAGUUGAAAUAUUUCAAGAAUUUAUCAACCUCAUACUCUGAAACCCUUGGUGCAAUGUACUCUGCUUUCCGAGGUAGACUGUUCACGUAAAAUGAGGUCAUGCGUAAGACGGAAUCGGAUUGGAUUCACAGGGAAUCAGAUUUGGAUAGCACCUUUUAGCAGGUUUUUAGUCAAAUGCAAAUUCGGAUCCACAUGUGGUUGAAUGCGAGUUCAAAAUUCUACUUGGAUAUCCAUUUAAUUUAGGUGAUAGCAAUUAGCACAAAAUGUUGGAUGAACAAAAUCAUAGUUAGACAUACAAUUACAUGUAUGGUUAAAGUAUAAUACAAUACACCAAGAUUAUUCCUUGAAAAUAUUUCUUAAAAAUAUUAUAAUAAAUGAAUAAAUAUAAUUGUGGCCACCAACAAAUAGUCGGUGGUCGCUAAGUUGGAGCCAUUUCUGGUUACUAAUGCGGCCUUCUCCUCGACCAGCGACGACAGCUGAGCUUGUUCCUUCUGACACUAAAUCAUCAGAGUCUUCCCUCCACUACUAUAGAAUGCACCUUUAGCACCAAUUGGGAAAUCCCCUUCAGUAUUGGAUGCUGCAACCAGUGCUAUAUAUCAAAAUGGAGACUAAAAGCCUCGGUCUUGGGUACCGGUUGCAUAACGCAUUACUAAAGGAGGCAAAAGAGAAAUGUAACAAAAAAAAUAUUUUGAAUUCCAAGAAUGUUUCACUAUUCAAGAUGACUAGCUGAGAGUCAACAGACAAGAUACUAGGAAUGUGGGUGCUUGAAUGCAUUUGUACAGAGGUCAUACUAUUUACAAACUCUUCUAUGUUUCCAUAUGACUACCUACUUCAAUGUCACGCGAGCCAUUCAGCUGGACACAUGGCACACUAGCUUGCAUGUCGAAUCCAUGAUUAAUUAUUUGCACUUGUGAUCUCUUACCAGUAUUUGUCCAGACUAGAAACGUGCAACACAUUUUUAGGAUAUGGACACGCAUAUAUUUGGACUAGUAUACAGGUCACCUUUGGAUGCGUACAAGGAUGACCGGGAGGGACUAAUGGAUACAAGGAAGGGACCAUCAGGAUUAAUAUUGACAUAUGCCACAUGACAAUCUUCAUUGUCAUGCAAUCCCUAUCAACAAUCAUGGAAUCCCUAGUGUACUAAUCCCUGGAGGGUUGUGUGGAAAUUUAUUUUACCUUGCGGUGAAAAUCUCAUGAGCAGUCAUUAGUUAAGCUGACUAGCUGAGAUAUAAUAGACAAGCUAGUAAGAUUGGGAGCAUCAAUGCAUCCAUACAGGGUCACAAUAUCCUUUCCAUUCACUUUUAUAUAUAACCCUACGAAUACAAGUCCAACGAAAUGCGGGCCUUUCGAUCAAGAUAAAUUAAAUGGCCCACUUGUAUUUCUAAUCCAGGAUUAACUAUGCCCUCUGUUCAUCUCUUGCAAGCACGUGCAACACAUUUUCACGAUAUGGACAUGCAUGGAGGUUAUUAUACUGUUUGGACAAACUCUGAUGUGCCAUGACCUAAAUGCUUAGGGCCUGUUUGGUUUGAGUUGCUUAUUAUAAGCAACUUAAAGUUGCUUAAAGUUGCUUAUUUGAAGUUGCUUAUUUUUAGUCUAAACUGUUUGGAUACCCUUGCUUAUGAGCAUUGAAUGAGUUGGACAUUGUCAAAUUUGCCCCAUGUGUUGCUACCCCUCCAAUUUGCCUCCCCACCCUUCUUCUUCCUGCACACGUCCGAUCCCGGGGGCCGACGGCGGGCAGGGAGCAGCAGCAGCUGGCCAGGGCGGCGGUGGGGCGGGAGCGGCGGCGCACACCAGCACGCGCUCGCACGCCAGGUGCUAGGGCGCGGCGAGGCAGUCGUCGUAGCCCACCGGGAGCGGGUGCUCGGGCGCGAGGCGGUACUCGACGGAGAUGCCGAGCGUCGGGCGCGCGGCGGCGAGCGCGUUGAGGAAGCGAUGGUAGUGCGGCGACGUCGCGGACUCCGCCACGAAGCCGCCGCCGUGGACGUACACCACCACGGGCAGCUUCGUCUUGCCGUCGGCGGCCGCGGCCGCGGCCUGGGGUGGCAGGUAGAGGCGGACGGAGCAGGAGCCGAGGUCGACGUCCCUGGAGUCGACGCCCGUGGCGGCGUCCAGGCUGGGCCCGACCGGCGGCGGCACGAGCGGGCGCUCGAUGCGGCCGCUCUUGUAAAUCCGACGGGUCUGUGCGGAGGCGGGCGGCGGGCGGGAGCGGCGGGUGGGAGCGGCGGCAGGUGGUGCGGAGGCCGGCGGCGGCGGGUGGCGCGGAGGAAGGGGAGCUGGUGAGUGGUGACAGGGGAGGGGGGGAGAGAGAGGGGGGGUAGGGUGCAUUGAAUGAGGGCAGGAGGUGUAAAGUGCACCUUUUAGUCCCCAUGAGCAACCAUAAGCAGCCCAAGAGUUGCUUAUUUGCUUAUAAUAAGCAACCUCAUAAGCAAGAGUGAUUGGUUUCAUAAGCAACUUAUUUGCUUAUUUUAAGUUGCUUAUGCAUAAGCAUGUGAAACCAAGCAGGUCCUUAACCUAUGGUUGUGGCACCACACAGUACAUAGUAUUUAAUAAUGCUAUUCGUUUGGUAUGUGCACAAGGGCACGCAUGAAAUGUCUGGCCCACGGUAAACAAGUACGGACGCUGCAAAUAAUCUACUCUGCUCGUCCAGUCCCUAGCCUAUAAAUAGAUGCCAUGCUAGCUCUUGUUGUGCUCACAAUUAAUCCUGACUACACACGAGCUUCUCUCCCUGGCCAAGACACAAUCAUAGUAUGAUGAAGAACAUGGCACUAGCCGGCAAUGGUAUGAAGAACUUAAUCCUCGCUGUUCUCUUACUGUGUCUAGUUAUAGGGCAGAUACAAGUGGAAGCUAAGAGCUGCUGCCCAUCCAUUACUGCAAGAAAUAUCUACAAUGCCUGCCGUAUCACGGGUACAUCCCGUCCAACGUGUGCAAAACUGUCAGGCUGCAAAAUUAUCAGCGGGGACAAAUGCAAGCCCCCUAACGACCACCUCACCCUUGACCCGGACACUGGUAAAUAAUAAAUUUAUCUCACUUGAUUUCUUCGUGUUUUGAGUCGUUAAUGUAUUUUCCAUCUGAUGAAACGUAUUGGUUUUGCAUUGAAGAGGAAGUUAAUGUGCUUAACUUCUGCAAGUUGGGGUGUGCGUCGUCUGUGUGCAACAACAUCAACGCUGGUAAGCACCUUUUGCUCAGACGGAGAAAACAAUAAUCAUUAAUUAGCGGCAGCUAGAAUCCUAUAAUCUAAUAUAUUUAUAUAUAUAUAUAAUUUUAUCAGCUCUGGGAAAUGAAGAGGCGAACGAUGCCGUUGAGAGUUGCGACCAAGCCUGCUCUAGCUUCUGCAACGUGCACGUUGGCGCUGCCACCGUGGUUGCUUAAGCAAAUGCAUCCAACUGGAUCGUCCUUGUGCUAAAUAAUUGGAUAUCGUAUCCACUUAAAGCUGCCUUGUGUAGUACGUUUUUGUUUGUGUCUCUCUUUAUAUUCCAAUAAGGUCGGUGAUCUUGAUGCCACACACUCAGACGUGUGUUCAUCUCCAGAUACUACUCCAUGCUACCUGCCCUUUGUGUUUUGUUCAAUAACUGGGUAUCAUAUCCCAGCCAGUGUGCCAUCUGUUUUGUGUUUAUUUCCUUCUAGUUUCAAAGGGGUUAUCAUGAUGUUACCUUCUUUCGAUAUGGUGCUUUGCAUGACUACUGUUGUAUGGUACCAUCUUGUUGGCCAAUAAAUACAUCUUAUCCUAUGACCCUUUGCUAUGACCCUUUGCAAAUAAGUACAAGAUUGUUAAAUACUCGGUAUAAAUUGACUACUGCUGUGAGUUCCCUUUCAGCUUAUCGUAGGCAUACAUUAUUGCUAGCACGGUGAAGACAACCAACACGAAUGGUCAAGUAAACGUACCGGUACUUUUGUAUACCAACACCCUUGCUUAAAUGUACCGGUGUUACUCCCCACUAGCACAUAUAUUCUUAUAUGCUAGCCGGCUUGAAAAUUAACCGAUUAAAAUAAUUAUUUCAAGACAGAAAUAACUUAUCGGCUUCUCGAAGCAUGUGUAAUGUGAAUUCAAGGACUUGAUGGAAGUUGAAUCGCUUAAUCUAGAUUGCUUUCAGGAUUUUGGGUAACUAAAUUUAACAUUUGCACAUACAAAUGUUAAUGUACAAAUAUUAAAUAUAGUUACCCAAGCAGAAUAUGAAGAUACUCUAUAGUAUAUAUAUACUAUAUAAAUCUAGUUAACAUUUAGUCUAAAUGUUAAAUCUAGUUACCUAAAAUCCUGAAAGCAAAAUGUAUAAAUAUAUAUCUUUUAAGGAAUCCCAAAGCAAGAGUUCAGUGGCAUUCUAUAGUCCCAUGCUGCUAGUUUGAGUUGGUCGAAGCCAACUUAAAUAGGAGAGCUCUCUCACUUCUCUAAAUACGUAACUGAAGGAGAGAAGGGGGCUUGGUUACACAACGCACGCACGCACGCAUAUUUGCGUUCUUUUCGCGUAACCAACCGCGUGACUUGAAACUUGCGACGUAGCGUGCUGCCAAGUCAAGUUGAUAUAACCUUUUUGCCGUAGGCGUGUAAUCUUUUGACAACGGUCAUUGGAGGUGAUAAGCACGCAGUCAAUACCUUAAUCCUGAGUUAAUAGGGCGGUUACUACUGCCAAUUAGUGGGGCAAUUUUGUAGGGGAAACGGUUAGCAGAGGGCUACCAUCUUCUCUAUAAGAAGUUCUGGAGACGUCCAGGAACACACAUGUACAUGUGAGAGACCCACGAAUUCCUUCCCAUCUCCCUUUUCCAUCUGGUGAAGUGUGCUAUGGUACUGAGCUGCUGGAUCUCGCCGGCUCUUCUCCUUGGCGUGCACCGAGGAGGAGGGUGAGCGGUAUCUCCGAGCUAUUGCCGUCAGGAAGCCUGCACGAGGGACAACAAUAAAGUUUUUGGGUAGCGCAACUACGCAACCGCUCGAUUCGAUCGACUAUGUUCUGCGCUGCCUCAUCUUCGAUCUGCACUGCAACACGUAACCCUGCAGCAAGUCUACACAAGGACGGAGCACUAAUCUGUAAGUCCUAGAUUGGUUUCUUACAGAGUUGUAGGUUACACAAGAUCUAGAAUUGUUACAUACUUAUUAUUAUGGGUUACAUGAUGUUUUGUACGGUUACGUCUAUUUUGCAUAUGCUAUUUUUACAUACCGUUUACAUGCAUAUGUAAUGGUUACGCCUAGCUAUUUGAAUCUAGAAUUGGGUUACAUAGCAGUAGCAAUGACUUACGUAAUAUGCCUCAUGUUUAUAUCUGGUAGAAUUUAACACGUAUCUCCAACAUAUUUUGAGGCAGUAUAAAUUUCAAUUCCUUUUGCUGCUCUGUUAAAUCCCGUCUUUCGUGUGGCCCAACACUCUAGUAUGCAUGUAGCACCAAGCUUGUUUGAGCCGCUUUGUGCUCUGAUUUUGCUGUCUGUAUCAGGUUGGACUGUUUCUUUGUCUUGCGAUGUAUAGCUUCAUAUCUUCUAGAGGUUAGACAGCAAAACCCGCGUUCUCUUAAGGCAACAACUCGAAGAAUCUGCAGCGCUCCUGAUAUAUCACUGCUGCAGAAACAAUCUUUAGUACUGAUUUCCAACCCCCUUUAGUAUCGGUUUGGCAAUCAGUACCACUACGUCGGUACUAAAGGGAGUUCUCUAGAAUCGGGUCAAAUAACUGGUACUAAAAGUGCUCCUCUACUACCAGUUGGUAACACCAAUAGGUAGUAACUUUUUUUGCACCCAAAAAAUUAAAGAAAAACAGCCGGGAGGCUCGCGCACACACGCAUCAUGAGUAAUAUGCGCGUGCAUGGUUUGUGGGAUUCCAACCCACGACCAAGCUAUAAGCACGUAGUUACAAAAAAAUUAAACACUUAGACAUUUUAGAGCAUCCCAAAUAACUACAAAUUCUUUAGUUUACCAUAUACCAUAAAAUAUUAGUUAAAAUAAGAGCAUACGCACGUCGGAAGAGUCCCAAUGCACCGGUUGAGGAUCAGACCAGGCACUUUGAAUGCACAUGCCAUAAGAUAAUUCUGCAGGACGAUGAUUGCAAUAAUGGACCAUCGAGAAGAUAGGGGCGAUGGGGUUGCCUCAUCAAUUAUGACUUGGCGCAACAAGACCAGCAAAGUCUUUAUCGACAGGGGUGGAUCAAGGGGUGGGGCGGGUAGAGCUCCAAUCUUCCUACCGCCGCUCGAACAAUGGAGCCCCCCUUAGCCCCUCCAUAAAUUUUUAGGUAGAAGAAAAAAGAAGAGAAGGGAAGGAAGGGGAAGAAUAGGGAGCCCCUCCUAAGUAGGUCGCCAUCGUGCUUCCCAACGCAUGAUCGCCGCACCGCAUCCAUUCCUCUACAAGCCUCCAGCGUCUCUCCUGCCGCUACCUCUGAACCAUGUGCAGCUGCAGACCCAACUAGUGUCUUGUCACCCAUCUCAAUCCCAACAGAGCGGCGGCUCCUGCCAGCACAAAUCUCCCUCCGCCUGUUCUUCACGAUCGAUGGCCACCACAAGCAUAAACCUCGCCUUCGCAUCCACGCAAAAGGGUCGCCGGUGUGCCUUCUCGCAUCGCUUCUCAGCCUCCUUCACUUGCGGCUGGCCAAGAACCGUGCCACCACCUCGGGUGCGCGCCACCGCUCCAGGGCCGCUACCCCAUGCGUGCGGCCGCCGCCGGCCACCACGCGUGUGCAACCGUGUCGCACCGCUUCCCUGCUCUGUGCCACCACUGCUACUGCACCACCAGCUCCACCACCUUGGGCUGGUCGCCAGGGUGACUGAUUGGUGGAUUAUUACUACAAAUAAGUUCCUUAUUAUCUGCAACUACUAUUAACUCAGGGAUACAUGCGUCUUUUGCUUCUCCUGUUAAUAUGUCCUAAAAUAUCUAGAAUGCCUUAUAUUUCUGGACGGAGGAAGUAUUUGAAUAAAAUGAACCAAUUUUAAAAAAUGUGUUGUACACUACUACAGAAAGAACUAUCAGUGUCAAACCCAAAAAUGUCGUCACUGCCAGUUUUGGGCAUCGUUGGUGAAAGGUUGGCGGUGAUGGGUAUCCCCUUCAACAACGGCACUAGAGCUAACAGUGAUUGACAUUAGAAAACGAAAAAGGGGACCCACCUAGCCACCCCUGCAACCCGGCUGGCCGUGCCUCCCGUCAUCCCCACCACCUCGCCUCCCCCGUGACCCCCCGCCGGCGCCCUUGCGCCUAGCCCCCUCGCCUGCCUGGCCGGCCACCCUCGUCACGAGAGAGAGGGGUGCAUGUUGUAUAAUUGCGUGAAUUUUUAAUGUUUAAUUUCAUGUAAGUUUCAUAUAAUAAAUUGUACAAGUUUUAUUGUAUAUAUGAAUUCCAUAUAUAUAUAUUUAUAAUUUAAUGUAUGGUUUCAUGUGUAUAUUUCAAUAAUGUGUAUAUUUAGUAGAUAGCCGAUUUUCUUUUUCUACAAGACAAGGGUUGAUGUAUAAUUACGUGUAUAUGUUUAUUGUACGGGCAAUUAGGACAAGUUUUGUAUAAAUUUCUUUUAUUUCAUGGUUGUUGUAUGGUUUCAUGUAUAUACAUUUAUUGUACUACUUGAGACAAUUUUUAAUUUAAUGUUUCUAUGGUUACAUGUGUGUAUAACUAAUUGUAUUAUUAGUUAAGAUGGGAGCCAAAGAGGAUGAAAGGUAUAUAAUGGAGCAGAUUAUUGCUGGCGGUAGUGGCUCAAACGUUGCAAGAACCUACAUCAAGGGUGAGGGUAGCUAGGUGGACAUGUACCUCAACAUGUCCAGUGAUGGCAAUGACGAUGAGGAGCACGAGCAUGACGUUUAUGAUAGUGCGGAACAAGACAUUGCAGAAUUGGAAGGUUCUAAUGAGGUGUGCUUCAUGUUGAUGAUCUGGUUGGCUUUUUUUCUUUGGUCACACCUUAGUUACCAUAGAACUUCGUCUCGGGAGAAGAUUGGAGGUGCUAUGGUGAUUGGAAUUUUAUUGCCUCCAAAUAUGAUUUCCAUCGAAUCAUAUCCCUUGUAUUUAUCUUCUUUUUAUUUGUGAGAGCAUCUUCUUUAUGCUUGCAAAACAAUUCAAGUGCACAUACUACACCUAGGGUGAUGAUUAGGAGUAGAAACAAUUGCCAACAAACGAACACCACAUCCUAAGAUUCUUAACUUGUGGUAUAAUUAGUCUAGUAAAAAGAAAGAUAAAAACCUAAUGGGUGUACGUGAGUGCAAUGCGUAUAUGCAUAUGAGUGGAAGGCAUAUAAGCAAAGAUAAUAUUUACACAUAGAUCUAAGCACCAUGUUUACAACUAAGUUGCUGAAUUUCUCCAUAGCUAUAGAGAUUAAUGAACCAAGGUCAAAACACCAUGUCUAUCCCAAGAUCAGUAAUUCUUUAUAGCACAAGAAAAAGAAAGCGCAUUGCAAAGUUUAUAAACCAACCAAUGCAGCAUGAAAACAAGAUGAAUAGCUAGCAAGGUUUAUUAAACUGAAUGAUGACGGUCUGCAAGCAAGUUUGAACACCAUCUUUACACAAGAUUGCAAAUGGAAAAUUCCCAUAUGAAGAACUAACAUGGAUAUGAAAUCAUUCAUCAUAAAGCGUAAAGAACAACCAAGCCAACCAUAUGCAAAGCAUGAAUGGAAUGCAAUGAAGGUGCAAGAGAACAUUUUUGGAUGAACCCAUUAUGAUGAUGGCAAAAUGCGCCGUGCCCCCCAGCCCCCGCGGUGAGAUCCCGCCGCUCGCUGCCGCCAGACCCUAUUAGGCCUCCACCGGCAGGUCCACCCACGGUCCCGCGCGACGUGGCAGCCUCUUGGCUCUCGGCGCUCGCGGCACGCCAGUGCUGGCGCAGCCCCACCAGGCGACUACCCUCCCCCCAUAAGGCCUCGGCCCCUCCCCAGCGCCGCCCCCCAACACCAGGACUGCCUGCUGCCCCCCACCGUGAGGUAAUCGAAAUCGACUGCUCAAUCUCUCAAUCUGUUGAUAUGAUGCACACGGUUGCAAAAAUAGAUGUGUCAAAAUAGAUGUUUUGCCAAUUGCUAUAGAUGCAUACGGUUGACAUGAAGUCAAAAAUGACAUUUGGUUCCUUGUAGGCAGUCAAAAAUGAAGAAGUCAAAAAAUAUUGAUCUGAAAUCAAUGUGGGAAAGGGCUAUGAAGACACGCAGGUAGAUUCCCUUGUGAACUUUUUAUGUCGUUCGUCUAAAUAAUUUUUUGCAAUGGGCAUACCCUACUCUGAAAUCCUGGGUCCGCCACUGAUGAUGAUGGUCUAAAAAUAAACCAAGCCUAGAUUAAUUAGCCACAACUGAAAUUAAGCAAAGGUUAAUGUCAUUGACCCUAGCUCUAUCCUAGCUUUUACCAAAGUUCCGGCACAUAUAGUGGUUGGGCCCACUCUCUCUGCUUCCCUCUCUGCUGCAUGCACGCACACGAGCAACGGGAGGCCCGACGAAGCCCAGAAGGGUUCGGCCGAACCAGUAUGAGCGCCGCUCCCUCCCAGCCUUCGCGCAGAUGCUCCUCCAACGUUCCUUGACCCCUCCCUCAGCGUCCCGUUGGGUUUAACAUUGCAGGAGAGGAGUCCCUUUUUUAAAAUCUCAACCACCUCCUCUCCCCAUUCACUCCACUCUCAUCUCCAUCAAACUCACCAAGAUCCGCACCGGAAAUCCCUGCUUACCACCAUGGCUGGCAAAGCCCUCAUCCCUUUCACCAACUUGGGCUUGACCACUGAUCUCGAUGGGGAAAUCACUCUGGCAAAUAUGCGUGUAACACUGCCCCCUUUGCCGAGGGUUAAAGCCAAAACACUCAGCAAAGUGGAUAGUACCCCCCUUUUUACCCGUUUUGUCAUGUAUAACGGACCCCUCUCAAUUCACAAUAGACAUCAUCAUAGGCAUUUAUAAUAAACAAUCACAGGCAUAAUUCACAAUCACCAUUACAAGCAUUAUUCAUAAAUAUCACAGACAUAAUCCAAAGUAAGCAUGAAACAAGCCAUAAAUCCAAGUUCAAGUCACAACUAAGUUUCAUCCAAGUUCAAGUCACAAAUGCAAUGUCUAAAUCCAUGGAGGCCAAGGAGACCACUGCGACAAAUCUUGGUCUUCAUUAUUCGAAGCCGCCGAUUGAUUCUGCACAUAGGAUAGGACAUUCUGAGCUAACAUCUAAAGUUGUCAAAAUUAAAGUAUUCAAUCUUAAGCACAAUGUGUCAAAUGACUCACAGGAGUAGUUGUGGGUGGCUGAGGCGGAGGGAACAGCAUCGAUGGCGGUGGCAAAGAUUGACCCAUGCUCGAAGCAAAAUUCUGCAUGUACUGGAACAUCUGGUCCAUCCUCAUCCGAUUUUCUUCCUCCAUCCUCUGCCGCUCGGCCUCUAACCUCCGCUGAACCAUCUGCUCCAUCCUCGCCGCCAUCUCCUCUUGUUGCUUCCUUGCUGCUUCCACCUGGGCCUACAAUAUUUCAUUGCAAUGUUACAAUGCAAAGCUAAAGUAUAGCAACCAACGAACAAUGAAUGGAAGAGAAAGAACCUGGAGAGCCUCCAUCUGGAACUGUCCAAUGGUUGGUCGUAGCCGUAUCGCCGGGCUCGAGUCCGUGCUCCUUGCUUGGAUCUGGGAGAGAGUGGCAGUAGAGGCCGUGUUGAUUACGCCGUCGCCAAUCCAAUAUCGGCCAUGCUUCUUGCCUCCUCCCACCCUCAUCACGAUUUCUCCAUCAAUAUCCUCAGAGCUUGAAUCGAAGUCUGGCCCGUGAACCUCCCUUGCCAUCACUGUAUAUUCCUUUGCCGAGUGCCCGAGAUAAAGCACUCGGCAAAUAGAAAACACUCGGCAACUUUACUGUUUCCCGUAGUGUCGCUAUUUUUGCAGGUUCUCGACCAGGCCAGUUCUUUGGGCCAACCUAUCAUUCACGACUUAAACAUACGGUGGCUGUAGAAAUGUUCUAUUCUUUUCAACAAUACCAGCUGGUUCCUCCGUUUUUAUUCCACCAAUACAAGCACCACCUUGUAACAUUUCCUAUGUUUUUUUUUCCUUUCGUCUGUUUUCUACAUGCGUUGCUCUUUCAUGCAUUUUUUUCCAUUCCUGUAUUCCAAAUAGGUCUACAUGAACACAAAAUGAACUAGGGGACAGAAAAAGCCAGUGAAGCCAAUUUUGAGCUUCACCAGCUACUUGCUACAUAAAGUGUGCUAUAGUGACGUGUUUUAGCAAAACAUGUUAUCAAUGACUUGACAUUGGUGACGUGUUAAAACGCGUUAUCUCAAUGGCAAAUCAUUGGUGACGUGUUUUAAAAAAACAUGUCACCGUGAGAGUCAUUGGUGAAGGGUAAUUAUAAUGCGUCACUAAUGUUGUAGCAUUAGUUAUGAUAAUUUAGUAACGCAAAAAUCUACCAUCAGUAUUGAGCUUUAGAGCCAUCGCUAAUGUGGGUUUCUUACAUAGUGAUGCAAGCUCUACAAGGUGCUGUUGCUGCCAUUUUAAAGCAUCCCAUGACUACAUGUUAAUAACAUAGUUUACCAUAUAUCAUAAAAAUAUUAGUUACAAUAAGCACAUACGCAUGUGGAAGAGUCCGAAUGCACCGGUUGAGGACUAAACACAUUGAAUUACUAGAACCAAAUGUGUGUUUAGAACAAAGACAGGGGUCAAGGUUUGGGUAACCGCAUUAAAAACAUUGGAUUUUACUGUACAUGAACACUUAGUUACCAUUACCAUGCCUUGAGCACCUAGUUACAACAAACAUUAAUUUAGCCACUUUAGAGCUUCCAGAAUCGCUAUAAAUAAUAUACCUACGCCGUACCAUGAAAACAUCAAGAAGAGAGACGGAUACAUGGACCACCAUCAAGCGAGUAGUGACAGCACGCACAAGAAUACCCGGAACCUGUUAGCUUGUCUGUAGUGAUCUGUUUUCUUCCCCAUAAAAUCCAUGAGUAUUGCCACAAAUAAUGAAAGAGGCUGACCAAGCUAGCAAGGAGGUAGAGCAAACGUGAUACACGGCCUGCCAAGAUUGCCCUGGAUACGCCAAUAAGAGCGACAGAUACAUGGAUCACACCAAUAUGGUGAAACGUAUAUUCAUCACACAAGCAAAGCUGGUCAGUUUAUCCAUGGUCAAAUUGUGGUCUUUGUUUUCACUUGAGAGCUAAUUGAGGCACUAUAAUAUGGGCAGGCCUAUCUUCAACAGACAUGACAGCUACAGGGAACUUGACAUAAUUUGCUGGGCCGCCUGUGCACAAUUAUUUGUUUUAUUGUCCUUGCAUAGAAUGCUAAAAUACUCUUUACAAAAUGUUGGAUCUAAUAUUUGAAAUAUAGAGUAGUAAUCAUAUAUUGAUCAACAACUUGAAAUUAUCUGUACAUUCUCGGUGAAGCUGUUGAACUAAUUUUUGCAAAUUAUUAAUUCAUCUCAUUACGUAAAGAAAAAAGUAAGUGGAUAAGAUAUUUCGUGGACCACAUCACUGCAAACAUGUCAUGGAGAGACAGACCAAGGAGGCAGGACGUGAUACACGACUUACCCUAGGUUGCCGUGGAACCGCCAAGAAGAGAUACAGAUACAUGGACCACACCAUCUUGGGAGUAGUGACAGCAUAUAUGCAGAAGAAUACCCCGUGCCUAUUUGCAUGCAUGUCUCAAGUGAUCUGUUUUCUUCAGAAAAUACAUGAGCAUUGCCAGAAAGAAUGGCAAGAGACAAACAUGUCAUAGAGACUUGCAUGUCUUGCCUUGGAUACGCCAAGAAGAGGGACACAUACAUGGAUAACACAAAUCUAGUGACACGUAUAUUCAUCACAAAGGCAAAUCUGAUAAUUUUAUCCAUGGAGCAGACCAAGGAGAAAUUGAUGACGGACAUGUGAUCUCUGUAUUCAGUUGAAAGCUAAUUGAGCUACACUAAUAUGAGCAGGACUAUAUUCAAGAGACUUGUUGAGAGCUACAGGGAACUUGUAAUAAUUUGCUGGGCGGCCUGCGCACAAUGAUUUGUUAUACAUAGUUGAAAUAUUUCAAGAAUUUAUCAACCUCAUACUCUGAAACCCUUGGUGCAAUGUACUCUGCUUUCCGAGGUAGACUGUUCACGUAAAAUGAGGUCAUGCGUAAGACGGAAUCGGAUUGGAUUCACAGGGAAUCAGAUUUGGAUAGCACCUUUUAGCAGGUUUUUAGUCAAAUGCAAAUUCGGAUCCACAUGUGGUUGAAUGCGAGUUCAAAAUUCUACUUGGAUAUCCAUUUAAUUUAGGUGAUAGCAAUUAGCACAAAAUGUUGGAUGAACAAAAUCAUAGUUAGACAUACAAUUACAUGUAUGGUUAAAGUAUAAUACAAUACACCAAGAUUAUUCCUUGAAAAUAUUUCUUAAAAAUAUUAUAAUAAAUGAAUAAAUAUAAUUGUGGCCACCAACAAAUAGUCGGUGGUCGCUAAGUUGGAGCCAUUUCUGGUUACUAAUGCGGCCUUCUCCUCGACCAGCGACGACAGCUGAGCUUGUUCCUUCUGACACUAAAUCAUCAGAGUCUUCCCUCCACUACUAUAGAAUGCACCUUUAGCACCAAUUGGGAAAUCCCCUUCAGUAUUGGAUGCUGCAACCAGUGCUAUAUAUCAAAAUGGAGACUAAAAGCCUCGGUCUUGGGUACCGGUUGCAUAACGCAUUACUAAAGGAGGCAAAAGAGAAAUGUAACAAAAAAAAUA
This 131498-nucleotide long non-coding RNA is filed under the name Setaria viridis. RNAcentral's name for it is "long non-coding RNA (SVIR_LNC007217)". The record is from RNAcentral. Lineage: Eukaryota; Viridiplantae; Streptophyta; Magnoliopsida; Poales; Poaceae.